Molecule: long non-coding RNA, 90246 nt
Filed under: Ananas comosus (pineapple)
Lineage: Eukaryota; Viridiplantae; Streptophyta; Magnoliopsida; Poales; Bromeliaceae
Description: long non-coding RNA (ACOM_LNC004980)
Source: RNAcentral
AUUUAUUUAUAUAUAUUCUAGGGAAACUUCAAAUACCCAUGUAAUUUCACACUUUCUCACUUUAGUACCUGUAAUUUAAUAUUUCGUUAAAUUAUAUACAAAAAACUUUAGAUACUCUCUCUAGGUUUAUCGAAUAUUUAUUUUAGUACCAUUUAGUUUUAACUUUAUCACUGAUUUAACGAAAAAAAUAUCCCAAAAUAGUUAACAAAAAGAGAAAAAUGAAACCACGGGAUAAUAACUUGAUACACUUUAAACCACAAGGUACUAAAGUGAGAAACUGUAAAAUCACAGGGUAGCAUUUGAAGUUUUCCCUAUAUUCUAUAUCUAUAUCUCUAUCUAUCUCUUACUAUAUACUAAAGAGGUCUUUGUGCUCUCACGUGUCUUUUGACUAUUUUUGUUGAAUCUGGGGUAUCAUAAAUCACCCUCCCAUUCUUUCUACCUAUAAUAUAUAUGUAUAUAGAAAGAGAGAGAGAGAGAGUUAAGCUAGAAUGCUAUCAGUAGUAAACGGGUUCCGUUGCCAUCCAUUUAUUUUUAAUGAUGGAGCUUCCAAAUCGAUGAUCGGUACCGUUGAAUAUGAUCUAUACCACUUGAAGUGUUUAGAAAUUAAAUUUCAAAUCUUUUCGACAUCAUUUGCCUAAUGAUCAAAAGGUUUCAAAAUUUGUAAUUUUAAUGGUCGAUAUGAGGCGUUUUCUUGUUUAACGGCGUAAAGAUAUCCAAAUCAAUUGAAUUUUUGUUAGAAAAUUCUUUAAACUAUUUAAAACAAGAUCUAUACUCUUGAUCUUGACUACAAGACUCAUAUCAUCAUUUUUUAAAAAAUAUUUAUUUUCAGCCGUUCAUUUUUGUGUCCACUCGAUGGAUAAGAGAACAAUAUCGAAAAUGUAUGAAAUUUGAUUUCUAAACACUUCAAGUGGUAUAGAUCAUGUUCAACGAUGCCGAUCGUCGAUUUGAGGCUCCAUCAUCGAAAACAAAUGGGUGAAACGAAGCCCGUUUGCUAUCGAUAGUAUUCUAGCUCAACUAUAUAUAUAUAUAUAUAUAUAUAUAUAGAACUAGGCUACUAUACUAUCAGUAGCACGGAGCGCUCCGUGCUACCAAGUUGUUUUUGAUGAUGCGGCUUCCAAAUCAACGAUCGGUUCCGUUAGACUUGAUCUACACCAUUGAAAGUAUUUAGAAACUAAAUUUCAUAAUUUUUCGAUAUCAUUUACCUAUCAAACAAGUAGUCUAAAAUUGAACGCUGAAAAUAAAAAUCUCAUGAAAAAUGAUGAUAAAAGAUUUAAAUUUAAGAUCAGAUAUACUGAUCUUACUCUAAAUAUGAAAAGAAUUUUCUAUAAAUUUUCAUCGCAUUUGAAUUGUUUUCAACCGUAACCUCACAAACACACCACAUCGGCCAUUAAAAUUGUCAAUUUUGAGAUCUUUCGAUCACUAGUCAAAUGAUGUCGAAAAAAUUUGAAAUUUAGUUUCCAAACACUUCAAUAGUGUAGAUCAAGUCUAACGGAGCCGAUCGUCGAUUUGGAAGCCGCAUAAUCGAAACAACUUGGUAGCACGGAGCGCUCCGUGCUACCGAUAGCAUAGCAGCCGGACUCUAUAUAUAUAUAUAUAUAUAUAUAUAUAUAUAUAUUAUAUAUAUAUAUAUAUAUAUAUAUAGGGUAAAUUGCAUUGUACCCCUCGAACUCCUAAAAUGGACAUCUAACACGCUAAACUCUAAUAUUUCGUUCAUAUUAUCCCUUCCGUCAGUUUUCCGUCAAGCUCCGUUAACCGAAAACUGACGGAAAGGGUAAAACGAAUGAAAUAUUAGAGUUUAGGGUGUUAGAUGUUUAUUUUAGGAGUUUGGAGGGUUAAGUGAAACCUGCCAAAACUUUAGGAGGUAGUAGUGCAAUUUACUCCGUAAGAGAUUCUUGACUAUAAAUUAUUUUAUUAUAAUAUGUUACUUAUGGAUUGACUACUAAUCCUCAAGUUAGUGAUUAUUCUCGAUUUUGAAUUUAUAUAUAUUUUUUAUCCUAAAAUAAAUCAUAUCAUAAUUUAUCCUACAUUUUAUUGUAAUAAAAUAAAAAUGAAAGAAAUGAAUUAGAGUGGCUUAAAGAUAAAAAAAAGAGCGAUACUAACUACCUACGAUGCUCGAACACUCUACUAUACUGUGUACUCGCUAAUAUGGUUGNAAAUGAAUUAGAGUGGCUUAAAGAUAAAAAAAAGAGCGAUACUAACUACCUACGAUGCUCGAACACUCUACUAUACUGUGUACUCGCUAAUAUGGUUGAUUUACAAUAAGUGUCCUCACUCGGAUAUAGAGAUUUUAAUUCUCAGUUAAUUUUUUGUAAUACUCGUUUGUUCCUUUUAUCUUUAGAACCAUUGCUCUAUAAAAUACACCUAAAUAAAAUUUUUAUACUUUAUUUCAGCCAAUUAGAAAUUUUUAAUAUAAAAAUAUAAAAAUAAUUUAUAAUAAAAAUUUGGGUAAAUUGUAUUGUUACCCCCUGAACUUUUGGCGAGUUUCACUUAACCCCCCAGACUCCUAAAAUAGACAUCUAACACCCUAAACUCUAAUAUUUCAUUCGUUUUACCCCUUCCGUCAGUUUUCGGUUAACGGAGCUUGACGGAAAACUGACGGAAGGGGUAACAUGAACGAAAUAUUAGAGUUUAGGGGGUUAGAUGUCCAUUUUAGAAGUUCGAGGGGUAAAAUGAAACUUCACCAAAAGUUCAGGGGGUGACAAUGCAAUUUACCCUAUAUAUAUAUAGAGUUUGACUAGGCUACUAUCGGCAGUAAACUGCUCGGUUUACUACCGAUUUGUUUUUUAUGAUAGAGCUUCCAAAUCGACGAUCGGCACCGUUGAACAUAAUCUAAACCAUUUAAAUUAUCUAGAAAUCAAAUUUCAUGAUUUUUUGGCAUCACUAACUGAACGAUUAAAGGGUCACAAAAUCUAUAAUUUUAAUGGCCGAUAUGGUGCGUUUGCUCGUUUAAUGAUAUAGAAGAGUUCAAAUCAACUAAAUUUUUGUUAAAAAAUUCUUUAAACUAUUUAAAAUAAGAUCUAGACUCUAUAUCUCAAAUAUAAAAAUUGUAUCAUCACUUUUUGAAGGAUAUUCAUUUCCAGCCAUUCAUUUUUUUGUUCACUUGAUGGACAAGAGAACAAUAUCGAAAAUGUAUGAAAUUUAAUUUUCAGAUAGUUUAAAUAGUUUAGAUCAUGUUUAACGUUGCCGAUCAUCAAUUUGGAAGCUCUAUCAUCGAAAACAAGUCGGAAGUAAACUGAGCCGUUUACUACCGAUAGUAUUCUAGCAAAACUAUAUAUAUAUAUAUAUAUAUAUAUAUAUAUAUAUGCUGGUAUACUAUCGAUAGUACAGAGGCCUCCGUGCUACCAAGUUAUUUUCAAUGAUGCGGUUUCCAAAUCGAUGAUCGGUUCCGUUAGACUUAAUCUACACUAUUGAAAGUAUUUGGAAACUAAAUUUCAUAAUUUUUCGGCAUCAUUUACCUAUCAAACGAGUAGUCUAAAAAUGAACGGCUGAAAAUAAAAAUCUCAUAAAAAAUGAUGAUAAAAGACUUAAAUUUAAAAUCAGAGGUACUAAUCUUACUCUAAAUAGCGAAAAAAAAUUUCUAUAAAAAUUUCAUCAGAUUUGGAUUGUUUUACACCGUUAAAUUCACAAACACAUCACAUCUAUCAUUAAAAUUGUCAAUUUUGAGACAUUUUGAUCACUAGCGCCAAAUGAUGCCGAAAAGUUAUAAAAUUUAAUUUUCAAAUACUUUUAAUAGUAUAGAUCAAGUCUAACGAAACCGAUUGUAGAUUUGAAAACCGCAUCAUUGAAAACAACUGGGUAGUAUGGAGGCCUCCGUGCUACCUAUAGUAUACCAAUCUAUAUAUAUAUAUAUAUAUAUAUAUAUAUAUAUAUAGAGAGAGAGAAGGAGAGAGACGAGAGAGAGAGAGAGAGAGAGAGAGCUAGGGCUCCUAUGCUUCGAAAAUACGAUGGGCCUCCGUGCUUGUAAGUUGUUUUCAAUGAUGGGAUGUCUAAUUAGGCGAUCAGUUCCUUAAACAUGACCUAUGUUAUUGGAACUAUCUAGAAACCAAAUUUCAUAAUUUUUCAACUUCGUUUGCCUAGUGAACGAGUAGCCUCAAAUGAACCGCUGAAAAUAAAAAUAUCAUAAAAAAAGUGAUAAAUGACUCAAAUUUCAAAUCGGAAGUAUUGUUCUUGCUAUUGAUGUUAAGUAGAAUUUUCUAUUAAAGUUUCAUGUAAUUUGGAUACUUCUACACCGUUGAACUUAAAAACGUGCCACAUCGGCCGUUAAAAUAGUCAUUUUGAGACCUUUGAUCGCUUGGUAAAUGAAGUCGAAAAAUUAUAAAAUUGGUUCUAGAUAGUUCCAAUAGUAUAGAUUAUGCCUAACGGAGCGAUCGUCGAAUCGGAUGUCGUAUCAUUAAAAACAACUUACAGCACGAAAAUCUCCAUACUUUGAAAGCACGGAGACCUACUUCUAUAUUAUAUAUAUAUAUAUAUAUAUAUAUAUAUAUAUAAAUAUAUAUAUAUAUAUAAUAUAUAUAUACACUAUAAAAUUUUAAAUUGUAUUGUACUUUCUUUCUUACUUAAUUUUUAUUAAUUUCAUAUCAUAACUUUCUUUUCUUUUUUUCCUCUCUUCGACAAAUAUGCAUGCAACUUUCCUCUCUCUCCCUUACUUUAAUUUUUAAUUUAAUGUUAUCUUUUUUUUUUUUUUUUUUUCCUUUCAUUUUUUUUUCCAAAACAAAAAAAGGAUAUUUGGAAAAAAAAAAAAAAAUAUUUAAUUGUAAAAUAAUUUUAAACUUGAAUUUAAUAAUUAUAUAUUUUUUAAAAUUUUAAAUUUUUAUUUUUCUACAUUAUGAGUAAAAUAUACUAUAUUUGAAAGUGCUCUCUCUCUAACUUUAAUUUUUAUGUAAUUUCUCUUCUCUCUCUCCAAAUAAGAGAUAUAUAUAUAAAUUAUAAUUUUUAUUUGACUCUAUUAAGUAACUUUAUAUAGUAUAUAGUAUAAUAAUUGUGAACUUAAAAAUCGCACCCACUAUAAGCGCGGGUACAUUGCUAGUAUCUAUCUAUAUACUAAAGCAUUCUCCAAUAAUUGACAUAUAUCUCCUGCUGUAUAUUCGGUGCACCCGGUACACCGCAGAUGCACCAUAAUACUAUAAAAAAAUAUUAUUUUAUUUUAAUAUACAAAUAUCUAAAUUUUAUAUUUUUUAAUAUAUAGAUAUUUAAAGUACUAAAAAAUAUAUUUAAUUAAUUAAAUUUUAUUUUAAAAUUUUAUUUUUGACAUUUCAUAAACAUACACUAGGGUGCAGGCAAUAAUUUUCAAUAAAAAUUCUAUAUACUAAAAUGUGUGGAGCACUCUCCUAUAGUUUAUCCAUGUACCUGGCUAUAUAUUUGAUUCAUCCGGUACACAGCGAAUGCACCACAAUACUAUAAAAAAAUAUUAUUUUAUUUUAAUAUAUAAAUAUCUAAAUUUUAUAUUUUUUAAUAUAUAGAUAUUUAAAGUACUAAAAAAUAAAUUUAGUUAAUUAAAUUUUAUGUUAAAAUUUUAUUUUUGACAUUUCAUAAACAUACACUAGGUGCAUACAGAAGAGGAAUUGUUUGUAAACAUAUGUCCAUUAUACUGGUGCACCCGAUGCACCAUGAAUCCAAUAAAAAAUAUAUUUUUUUAUUUUAGUGAAUAUAUUUUAAAUUUAUAAAUAUUAAAAUAUAGAUAUUUUAAAUCUAUAAUAGUACAACGUUCUUCUAAAAUAAUAUAAUUUUAUCUUAACAGUGCAAUUCUAUCUUUUUUUUUUUCUUUUCUAGUUCUUCUUCUUUAUUCUAUAGUUUUUUAUUUUCAGUUUUUUUUUUUUGUUUUAAGUAAAGAAAAGUGCUUGAUCAGAGAUGCUCUCGUGCACCUCCACCCUCCUCGCCUCCGAACUCACCGAGGCCGCACUCUUCGGUGCUCUCUGGGAUGCCGCGCUCGCAGCCGCCCCGCCCUCUUCUCCGGCGUCGUCGCGCUCUCCUCCGUCUGCACCUCGCUUGUCGCCUGCCUCAGGUGGGCGCGGUGGGUCGCGUCUCGCAUGCCCCCUCCCUCGCCAGCGAGUUUUUUGAUGCCGAGAAGCGCUUCCUUUACGUCAUUAGCAGUGGUGGUGAGGACGGCGGGUUUCCAGAAGUGGGUUUGGUGGGUGAAAAGUUUACUGCAGUGGAGAUGAAUGUAGAGGUGGGUCGCGAAAGGCCACGGAGACGGUGGAGGAGAUUUAGAGAGAAAAUAAAGAGAAUCGUGGCGCAGUCUCGGCGGGAUCGGAGGCGAGGAGGGCGGGGGAUGAGCGAGCGCGGGCGAGAGCACAUGGGGCGAAGGCGAGGAAGGGUGUCCCAAAGGGUGGCGGCGAGCACGGUCUUGGAAGGGUCGAAGGCAAUGAGGGCGGGUGGUGUGCGGACGCGGGUGAGAGCUCGGGGUGCACAAGGGAGGCGAGCCGCCUCCGCCUGUACCUCCGCCUCUCUCUUCGUAGAGAAAAAAAAAAGAAUGAGAGAGAGAAAAAAAUAAGGGCAUUUUAGUUAAUUUUUAAAAAAUUCAAUUCAAAUCUAUAAAAUUGAAAAAACGGUUCAGUUUUGCAAAAGCUCAAAACUUGUAAAUUUUUUAUAUAAACUGGCCUAAGAAAUAAGGCAAACCAUCCGCACUUUAUCUUUUUUAUUUUUCAUUUUUUCAUCGCGCCGCUGAAGCUUUGUUUUUGAGACGCUGGUGGUGGCGCGAGGGUUCCGGAGGCUGCCAAAAACAAAUGGCCAGGAAGUACUUGCAGAAAAGGAGUGCACAUGAGAAAGUAAAUUUCCUUCUAACUUCAUGUUUAGGAUUUUUUUAUGCACGGACUCAUAUUGUCGUUGAUUUUUAGCAUAUUAAUUCAUACAAUUCGAUAUAGACGGUGCAGAUUAAUUUUAUUAAAAUUCAGUUGCAGUAUCAACCCCAUACGUAGUGAAUCCUAAACAUGAGCAUGCAACAACACGUAUUUUUCUAACUAAAAAGUUCAAUACAAUAUUUAGAUAUUUAAAAUAUUUAUAUAUUUUAAAAUUAUAUUUAACUAUGUCGAUUUAUGAAAAAAAUAUUUCACCAUUGAAAUGAAUUUGUACCCCUCUCUCUCUCUGUCCUGGAGCAUAUUUGUAACUUCCAUCCAACUUGCAUAUAAUUUUUUUUUAUUUUUAUUUUUAUUUUUUUGCCUUAGUUUUUCAUUUGUUGUGUAUUGCCCGUAACAACAACUAGUAGAUCCGAUCUCGUACGCAAAUGGAGUAAAUUAUAUUGGAGAUCCUUUACUUCUUACCGAAGUUACAGUUUAGUCCCUGGGCUACUCGCUUUUCAAUUUAAGACCUUAACAUUUUAAUUAUCGUACUUAAGUCCUUAAUCUUUUACCUAAAGUAUUGGUUGAGGCCUUAAUAUUUUUAUAUUUAGAUUUUUAUUUACUUGUUAUGAUUGUAUUGCGAAUCAAUCAUCACUUCUUUUGUUUUCUAAAGAGAAAACGAUAAAAUGAUUUACCGCUUUUUAAUUUUUAUUAAAAAAAUAUUCAAUCUUCGUCUUUUAGUUUUUGGAAUGCGCUGAGUUCGACAAAAUAGGAUUAUUUUGGCCAAAUAAAUACUUUAAAAAAUUAUGAGGUUUGAAAAUUUAUUACUUAAAAAUCAAAUAAUUUUAAUAAUUUAUAGUAGAUACAAGGUGAUUAUGAUGUAGUAUAUGGAUCAUACUUGUGCACCAGUUGCAUGCAAUAAUUUGUCUACACCCUAGAAUCCCUCGGCUGAAAAUUUAUGGAGACCCCCUCAACUGUUGCCUAAUUUGAACGAGAGGCCUCAACUUUUAUUUUGCUUUUUAGUGCAACCCCUUUAACUUCUUUUUUUUUUUUAAUGUGGUUACUAUACUUAAUUAAGUUAAAGAAAUUUAUUUAAUGUAAUGAUUCUAUUAGUCGUUAUCCAUUAAUGAGUCUAUUCUUAUUUGGUUAAAAAUAAUUAAUACUAUUAAAUUUGAUAAAAAUUAUUAACAAUUUGAAAAUAUUUUAAAAACUUUUGACUAAAAUUAGAUAGUUCCAAAUAAUCAAAAGUUGGAUAGGUGUCAAUAAAAAAAGGAAAGGGUUUUAUUUUUGCUUUUAGCCCCCUCAGAAAAUCUUUUUUUCACAAAUAGCUCCAUAAAAUUUAUAUUGUAAGAUUGGCCUUAUUUCUGCAACGCAAGCGCCACGCGAACGCCACAUGAGCGUGGCCGGUUAAGUUGAACGCAAUGAGCCACUCACCCAUAUUUGGACACGGUGAAUGAUUCAAUAUGUUCUUUUAAUAUUUUACUUAAACCGUAUCCUUUUCACAUUAAGUUAAAUUGAAAACAGUGAACGAUUCGCCGUGUCCAAACAUGGUGACUAGUUCACCGUGUUCAACUUAAACUCUUGACCAUAUGACCCAUCUUGUAAAUAUAAAGUUUAUAGGACUAUUUGUGAAUUUUUUUUAAGCGGGCUAAAAGCCAAAAAAAAGUCUAAAAAAUAAUAACUGAGAUAGUAAUUUCAGAAUAGCUUAUAGUUGAGGGGUCUCUAUACAUUUUUAUCUCGAUCCUUUUUUGCUUUUCUGAUUAGCACCUCCACAACUUUUAAAUUUUUUGAAUCAAGUACUUUUAACUAAGUAUUAAAUUAAAUUUUUCAUCAAAUUCGUUAAUAAUUUCAGAAAAUUUAUGGACUUUAAUCACCUUUUAGUAAAUAGAUUUAUUAAUUUGAUAAAAUUUUUAAUAUAACUAAGUAUAAAAAUCUAAAUAUAAAAAUAAAAAAAAUUGAGAGGUCUCCGUAGCAGAUGAAACACGUAUACAUAUCUCUAUAGCGAAUAUCGGGGUGCAAACGGGUCGGGUCGGUCGCAUUCAGAGUCAAUUUUUAUCUUUUUUUUUGGUCCCCAUGAAUCGUUUUAUUCGAGGCGGGUCCUUUUACCCUCUGCUCUAUUUUCUUGAUGGAUUAGGGGGAUGCGGGCCGGAUUAUUUUUUGAAUUAAUUUCAUACAGAUCCCUAUAAACAUAAGAAAUUAUAAAUAUAUCUCUACAAACUUCAACUUUUAUAUAUUAUUUAUGUAAAAAUUCUGAUAUUUUCAAAUAUGUCCAUGUUGUUAGAAUUUAUUAGAAAAAAUUAGUUAACCAAAGAUAAAAUACUUAACCUUAGUUAGUUAAUGAGGUAAAUUGAUCUUUUUCCUUCUCUUUAAUUAAUAGUUGGGAUUUUUGGAGGAUUAUAUUUGUGAUGCUAAAAAAGUCAUUUUAUUUAUAAAAUAAAUAAUAUUUUAACAAUAACAAAUCGGAAGAAUAUACUUGAAAGCAUUAGGACUUUUAUAGAAACAAUAUAUAAAAAUUAAAUUUUUUAGGAAUAUAUUUGUAAUUCACUAUAUAUGCAGGGACCUGUAUGAAAUUAAUCCCUUUUUUUUUUAUUUUUGGUCUCUGCUUACAUCCUCAUUUGGGGGCGGAUCGGGAUGGAAGAUCCGACAACCUGGAUCCAUUUGUAGCCCUAACAGCGAGAGUAGUCCGAACGCAUCAAUUAGCAUAUAGCCCAAAGGGUGAAGAAAAAGAAAAAUUAAAAAAAAAAAGAAAAAAAAGACAAUCUCUCUCUCUCUCUCUCUCUCUCUCUCUCUCUCUCUCUCUCUACGCAAUCCAAUCCCCCUCUCUUUCUCUCUCCCUCGCCCCAAAGAAACCCUCCUCCUUGGAGUUCUCUCUCUCUCUCUCUCUCUCUCUGUCUCUUCCUCUUCUGGGUGAUAGGAUCUUCUUUAGGGUUUUUUUUUAUGCUCCGAUCGAUCGCCGCCGCGUGAAUACGCAUGCUCUGCAGGUGAUAAUCAGAUUGGUUUGUUGAAGCUAUUUCCGAUUUUUCGUUGGUAAAUAGUUCUUUCUAGUACGUGAAUUAGAUGAUGUUGGGUAGAGUUUAGAAUUGAUUGUAAAUUUCAGAUUGUGCAAAAUUUCGCUAUUAGAACUCGUAGUUGCGAGUUAAUUUGCAAGUAGUUGAAUUGCGAAUUGCUGAUGUGCAACAAAGAGAACAAGAAUGUGAAGUUAGGGUACUUGAAUUAUCUGUUUUUCUUCUUUUUUUUCUUGUUUUUAUUAUGUUUUAUCUUUGUCGGAGACGGCUAUAUGUUCUUGGAAGCUAAGAUUCAUUCUUCCUUUCUGUAUCAUGCAUGUCUACAUAUGUAUAGUUUAAAAGUGGAAUUAGAUAGUGAGUCAAAGAACAAAUUAGGGUUAUCGUUUUGGUAUAUAGAACAUAGUAUUCGAUCACAAGAUGCAAAUAUUGAAGAAAAGAAGUUGCUUUGGAAUUUUAAAUUGGCCAACAAGAAAGCUUUUUUAUUCUAGGAAUCUAGGGAUACAUAUCUGCAACUAAGAUACAGCAAUUGAGGUGUUCUUCCUAUAAAGUUAGGGGCUUUCUUUUAUUUCUACUCUUCUUGCACCUUCAUGGUUCAGCAAAUUGUCUUCCCUCAGUAACCAGGAGAUAGAGUUUCGAGCAGAUUGGGGAUGUUAUUAGAGGGAUGGACUUAGAAGAGACCAUAUAUGCUUAUGCUUAUGAUUAAUGUGAUAUCGUACUUCUCUUUCUGAUUGAGAGGGGCAGGUAUAAUGAAUAGCGUUUUCGGAGAUAAAAUCAGAGUUGGUAUGACUGGUCCUGCUGUGCACUGGCUAUAUGAUAGUUUACAUGAUAUGUUGUUGACGUAAAAUUCUUGUGUAUUGUAGCUCGUUACAUAGCUACUUUCUGUAUCAUGGAUCUAACUUUGUUGUUCUCAAAGGUUUGAUAGCAUGACUUGUGGUUGAAACUCAAAUAAUUCAUCAAUGAGGGGGUUUAAAGUAUGUCACUUGUGUAUUUACACUUUUAGACAAUAUUGGCUUCUGAGAGGCCUUAGAGAUCUCGUGUGAUCAUUUUCAGCAUGAUGGAAAGGUCUUAAAACUAUGUUAGCUCUUGUGUAAGACUCGCAUCUUAAAUAAUUAUAUCAAAAUAAAAACUUCACACUGAGAGCUCUAGGCUGAGUUAGGACCUACUUAACUUCGUACAUGUAAACUAUUUCCCGUUCGCACUUAAUGCGUAAAUAAUAUCAUGCUAAGGUUUCCAUCCAAAGUUUUUUAAAUUCGUUAGUGUUUGUUAUUUAGGUGAAUCACUAUAACUCUAUAAGCAAGCAACCUAAUUUGAUCAAACUGACAUGUUUGAUAAACUGCAUAGUGGACGACUAAACCAAACAAACUAAUUUGAUCAAACUGACAUGUUUGAUGAACUGCAUAGUAAAUGACUAAAUUAGUUUAGUAUAGGAAAUCAAGAUUUCGUGAAGGUUAUUGAUUAUCAUAUAAACUCUGAUUGCUUACUAUUAGCAAUAUCUAAACUUUAUUUUCCACACAUCCUUUAUUUUUCGUGAAGGUUAUGGAGAGCUAUUGUGCUUUGUUUUUUUGUUUUAUUCUCAUCUGAUGCUUUAUUCAAGCUCAAGUUGCUCUGCUUAUAAAUAAUUAUUGAUGAAAUUUUAUGAAGGUUAGUUGAAAAUGUGGUGACUUCAAAAGAUCUGUGGGAACCUUUAGUUUAUAGAUUCCUGGCUCCUCUAUUUUUUAGGCCACCUUUGUACAUGGGCUAAUUUGCAGAUGGCUAUAAACUACCAUUUCACUGUGUAAUAGUUGGUUUUUGAACUCCUUAAAUUCACUCAGUGUGAUCUAUUUCACCCCUAGAAUCAUGCACAAGGAGGUUAUAAAAUAUAUUGUUUCCCAACAAUUAAAACAUCCAAACUAUGGAUAAAUAGCUUUUCUUUGAAAGAUUUGAGAGUCACUGUGCAAGAUUUAAGUCGAGCUCUUUGGAUUGAAGUGUUGCAUCUUCAGUUACUCUCCUUCAAGCAUCAAAGGAUUGGGGCAUGACACUCUGUGGUUCCUCAAGUGGUUUCGUGCACUUGAUGGCACAUCCAUGUGCUGCCCGCAUGCUACUACGUUCCACCAGCACAAUUUUGAUUAUUUAGUUAUUCUUUAUCACAAGGCAAUUUUAUACAAGUCGACUUCUAAAUAUAAGAUUACAAGUUGGAAGCAUCCCAUCUUUGCUAAUAGUGAUUCCAAUUACAAUGAUUAAAAUGACAACAUAUAUUAAAUAGCGUACAAAAGGCAAAAUCAUUUUUUGAUGUUUUUAUCAGUAUGUAAACCUAGGGAAAGUCAAUAUGACACUUGAAGCUUGUUUUCUUUCAAUUGUAAAUUACAGCAGGCCUUUUACCUGCUAAUAUAGAAACUACAGAACCUUCUUUGCGAAUGGAUGUCAGUACAAGUUAACUUACUGGAACUUGUAGAUUAAAGUCUGAUUUUGACUGUUCAUUUUUAUUUCAUAUUGAUGUUGUAGCAAAACUAUCUACUGCGACAUAUUGUUGAUCUUGUUGGGGAGCUUUAGACAAAAAAAUAAAAAUGCAUCCUCUAUUACUAUAUAAUUGAAAACGCUGAAAUGCACUUAAUUGGUUUCCAUCUAGCAUCUAAAACAAUGUUUUCUUUGACAUUCAGAUGAUCAGGUUGUGGCAUGGACUGGAGACCUUUAGCUGGUUUGAGAUCUUGUGAAAAUGUCCUCUUCUCAUAAGGGUGCAUUAUUUGCUCCCCUAAAAUUUAAAUGGCCGUGGAGAACUGAAUCACCUCUGAAUACUCAAUUGCUUAUUGAUAUUCCACCUGAGAUAGAAUUAUCCGAUUAUCGAAAAUUACCAAGCUCUGGCAGCGAGAGCCCAUCUAGCCUUCUUAAUGGUGAAGGUCUAAAGGCCAAGCCAAUCACUGAUUUAGAUGUGUUCUUUGAAAGGCUUUAUGAUUACUAUUGUGAAAAAGGUCUAUGGUGCAUCAUAGUUAAGUGGAUAGUAGAGAUACUCUGUGUCAUUUUCAUGGUAUGUUUUAUUGGUUUUUUCUUAUUAGUCCUUGAUUGGAAUGCUCUACGACAUGCAAAGUGUGGGAUAGAUGCCGUUGAGGCAGGAGAAAAGCCUUGUGAUCUGGCAAAGUUCAUUAAGAAGCAACCAUUAGUUCCCUUCACGUUUCCCAAAAUGGUUAUUGUGGGAUGUAUGGUUAUAUUGACAUUAUAUGGGUUUCUCAACUUUCUCAAGUUCUUUGUACAGUUACAGAAUACAGUGCAAAUUCGCCGAUUCUAUCAUAACUGGUAAUGCUUCUUUUCUACUGUUGAUACAUGAAUGGCUAUUCCUUUUCAAAUUGUUAAGGACUAUUAUUAAUUUAGAGCCACUGCUUUCUUUUCCCUCUCUUGCACAGUCUACAUGUUACAGAUCGUGAGAUACAGAUGACGGCCUGGCCAAAAAUUCUGGAGAAGGUUGUUCGACUACAAAGGUCACAACAACUUUGUGUUGUCAAGGAUCUAUCUGAACAUGAUGUGGUAAUGCGGAUAAUGCGCAAGGAAAACUAUUUAAUUGGUAUGCUUAAUAAAGGAAUCCUCUCCUUUCCGAUUUCUUGGUGGGUCCCAGGAGCUGGUCCAGCUGUCAAUUCCCGCAUAAAUGGAAGGAAAAAUCAUUUGAUACUCCCAAAGACUCUCGAAUGGACAUUAAAUUGGUGCAUAUUCCAAAGCAUGUUUGACAGGUAGGAAUAUACUUUUGAACAUCUAGUUUCACUUUCACAUUCACUAGGUUUAGUGCCUCUUUUUUGUCUGGAGCUUCUCUAGAAGUGUUGUGUGAUUAAAUUUAGGUUUAGUGCCUCUUUGUUGUCUGGAGCUUCUCUAGAAGUGUUGUGUGAUUAAAUUAUUAGAAAAGGCACUAACAUGCCGCCUAUCAAAAUGGCCCCAACAACUUCAUACUGCUGUAAAAGUAGAAAUUUUCAGUUAGAGCUUUUGCUUUUGAGGCCUAGAAACUCAUUGCAACUUACUAGUGCAGCAGAAGCUUGAGUUUUUCCUUGCCAAACAUUUUAAUGCUACUUCUCUGUGUAGAGAAUCUACUCUUGUAGCCAGGCCAAAUUGGGAGAUAGUCAUUGUGCAUGCUGAUUUGCCAUUUCUAUAGUGCUCUUUAUUUCUUUCAACUUCAUCAGUGUGAGUUUCGCUGUUGUUAUGUUAGUGUGGACUUGUAGAAUUGAUGUGAACAUUUGAUGAUGUAUGCUUGUGUUGUGCUUAGCUAGUUUGGUAGAAGUAUUUGUUCUACUUGAUGCGAAAGUUGGUUUUCUGACAUCCCCUAUGGGUUCAGAACCAAAAAUAACACGAGGUUUUGUUGUACCAAUUAAAAUCUGUUCAGAACAAAAAAUUGUAAACCGGUAUUGUUGACCAUAUCCAAAGAGCCAAACAACAUAUCAACCUUGCCUUGAUCAAGAGAACGGAAGAAAAGGUUUCAUGUAACUUAUCACUCCUAAUUGGAAUUGAGAGGCUCUAAAAUAGCCAUUAGUUGUAGGCUGCUGCUGCUGCUAACUUCUUGUAUGUCGAUGAUGCUUUUUAGAAUAUCUAGUUCUAACUAGCAUACAUAGAUAUCUAGUACAAUACUGAGCUAGAAUGCUUUCGGAAGCACACACUCCUUGGUGCUUCCACUUUUUUGAACUAUACAUCAGCUUUAAGAGCUGUGCUUCUUGGCUCUGCUUUUGAGAUCUCUGCUCACAGGCUUCAAAAUGUGCAGCCGAUGAAGCACAUCAAUCGCUAAUUUCUAGAUAGCGGCAGGAUCUCGAACCAAUCAGAAUGCUCCAAAAAUGGCAACAUCAGCAUGUUGCAUCCAAAGCAUUCUAACUCGGCUACUUCCUUGUUCUCUAUAUUAAGAGCUUGCUCUCAUAAAAGUGAUCGUUUGAUUCUCAUGUUUGAUCAUGGAUUCGAAUAUUUUUUGUAACCUUAUCAGCAUUAAGUUCAUGCCAAAGAAAGAUUAGUAAGCUAUUAGUAUAAAAAAUAUCGUGAAUCAUGAAGAAGUAAAAUUCAUCAUGAUGGUGUCACAUGUUUGGACUGAAUUACUUGUUACUCUGACUUAAUAGUUGAUUAGUACUUUGUCACCUUAUUUGUCUGUAGUAAUAUCAAUGGUUUCUUUAUAUGUUCUUUGGUUUCUUGUUCUAAUGCACAAAAGUUUCCUUACGUCAUAAAUUUUAAACUUGAAACAUGAAAUUUAAAUACUUGGCUUUACUACUGCUGCAUUUAAGAAUGCAAUCAUCCCUUUUUGUCUUUUACAUCAAUCACUUUCCAGUUAUCUUUUGGAUGAGAGCUCGGUCCUUAUUCUAUGUCCUCUUGGACAAAUUGUGAUAGUAUUUUUUUUUCUUGUGCAGAAAAUUCUGUGUUCGGAAGGAUUUCCUCACAAACCCAUCUUUACUUAGAAAUAGGCUUGUGUUCCUUGGAGUAGGGAUGCUCCUCAUAUCACCAUGUCUUGUUAUAUUCAUGCUGGUAUAUCUAUUCCUAAGUUAUGCUGAACAAUUUUACAAUCACCCAAGCACUGCGUCAUCUCGAAGGUGGUCAAACUUGUCAAAAUGGAUCUUGAGGGAGUUCAAUGAGGUGCUUAUCUGAAGAUUAACUUCAUUUACUCUGUGAUUGCUUCAUAUCUUAUUUUACUAUUUCUUUAGAGAUGAUUAAAUCUCUGUAGGCUGUGGUGUGCUGUGUUUUAAUGAAAGUGUAGAAGGCCAAUCUUAUAGAUGAGAAAGGCUUGAAUGAUGGAGGACUCAUAUAUAAGUUGAUAACUUGUUUCACUACUUCUCUAGGUGUUCAGAUGUUUAUUUACACAUAUUUUAGUUGAAAGUUUGUUAUAUGUUCAAUUUACAUUAGUCCCAUCUAUAUAAAUUUGUGACCAUGGAAGUUCUACUUUUUCCAUUAAAAUUUCACAAUAGCUUUCUGCAGAAAUAAAGCUUUGAUUUGAGCUUCUUCUUCUAUGGUCUGGAAGUUUAUUUGCAUUUUCUACUUCCUAAUUAAUCUUAUUAUGUUUCCACUUUAUAUUCAGGUUAACCAUUUGUUCAAACAUCGGCUUAACAACAGCGCAGUCCAUGCCUCAAACUACUUGAAGCAAUUCCCAUCUCCUCUUAUCUCCAUUAUUGCAAAAUUUAUCUCUUUUGUUUCUGGUGGCUUUGCCGCCAUUUUAAUCAUCGUAGCAGUCUUGGACGAAUCUUUGCUAGAGGGACAUGUAAGUCUGUUACUUUGUCUAUCUUGUUAUUAACCUGCUGAAGUAGUAUGUAUAUAUCCAUGCGGAUUUAUCAUUUUACAUAUAUACCAAUGUUAAACCUAAAUAUUUUUAUAUGCCCUUCACUCAAUUUCUCACCUAUAUAAUAUGAACGAAAAUACUCUUUAAAUUUUUUUUUUCUGAUAUAUAACCAACUCUCCCCAUGAAUCCGAUGCCCCUUUUUGAGAUUUUAUAGAUUUUUAUCUGUAAAUUGAAAAUUUUGCAGUUUAUGGCUGUAUAUCUGUAUAUAAGAUAUGUUCCUGGAAUAUAUAUGUAAAAGCCCCAUCAUGAUAAAAGUUGGAACUUGUUAAUUUUAUUACAAUAUUAAAACCACAGAUAUUUGGCCGGAAUUUGUUCUGGUAUGCUGCUGUUUUUGGGACGGUGACAGCUAUAAGUCGUGCUGCUGUGAGUAAUGAGCUCCAAGUUCUUGAUGCUGAGGGAGCAAUGACCCUUGUUGUCCAGCAAACUCAUUAUAUGCCGAAGAGGUGGCGUGGCAAAGAAAAUACUGACUUAGUGCGAAGAGAAUUCGAAACUUUAUUUCAGGUGAAGUCAUUUGUUUUUUAUUUAUAUUGUUAAUACAGUAUCCUUUUGAGAAUGUAUUAGAAUAGCGCCCUAGUUCAAUGGUUUAACGGAGCAUCAGUUUACUAAACUUGAUACUAGCAUUCUCUUCUUUUAUAACUCUGAGAGGGCACUAGUACAAUUUAUUUGCUAUUUAGUAUUCAACUUUGUGGAGUUGUUCUUUCUCACAUUGUUGAAAAGCUUCUAGAUUUUUUUGGUCAUCAAGAAUGGCCAGCCAAAUAUUAAACAAAAGAAGCUUUCAACAGAAAACUUGUAUUUUUUUUAUAUUGCCGCAGUGAUAAUUCAACUAAGAGUUAAGGAAAUUAUGCUUCUAUGGAACCAAAUAUAUAUAUAUAUAUAUAUAUAUAUAUAUAUAUAUAUAUAUAUAGAGUUGAGCCGAUAGCAAACGGGCUCCGUUGCCACCCAUUUGUUUUCGAUGAUGAAGCCUCCAAAUCGACGGUCGGCGCCAUUGAACAUGAUCCAUACCACUUAAAGUGUCUAGAAACCAAAUUUCAAAUCUUUUCGACAUCAUUAGCCUAAUGAUCAAAGGGUUUCAAAAUUUGUAAUUUUAAUAGUAGAUAUGAGAUAUUUUCUCGUUUAACAGUGUAAAACUAUCCAAAUCAAUUGAAUUUUUGUUAGAAAAUUCUUUAAACUAUUUAGAACAAGAUCUAUACUCUCGAUCUUGAUUAUAAAAUUCAUAUCAUCACUUUUUAGAGGAUAUUCAUUUUCAGCUGUUCAUUUUUACGCCCACUUGAUAGACAAGAGAACAAUAUCGGAAAAGCAUAAAAUUUGAUUUCUAAAUACUUCAAGUGGUGUAGAUCAUUUUCAACGGUGCCGAUCGUCAAUUUGGAGGCUCCAUCAUCGAAAACAAAUUGGUGGCAACGGAGCCCGUUUGCUAUCGAUAGCAUUCCAGCUCAACUCUCUCUCUCUCUCUCUCUCGCUAUAUAUAUAUAUAUAUAUAUGAAAUCUCUUCCAACCAUGGAUUUAAGUGUCAUGGCACAGGAUUGUGCAAGAACUUGCUGGCACAAUAUUACAUGCUUGUCAUGCUUGGGGAUGUCAAUGGUAUAAAUACCAGAAUUUUAUCCGAACUCGAAUCCAAAUAGGGAGGGUUUACUCGGUGCUAAACAAAAAUGGUUUCGGAUACGGGUAUAAAAAACGAAAACCUAAUGGAUUCAUGUUCGGGUAUGGAUUUUGUGUACACCUGAUCCGAACCCAAACCUGAAUAGAUUUUACAUGUUUGAUGUUAUAGUUGAUUUUGUAUUUUGAAAAUUUAGAUUUUAAUAUAAUAUGUUUUGAAAUAUGGUAAAGAGAAAUGAUUGUUUCGGGUUCGGGUUUUCGGGUUUUUAGUUGGGUUCCGGUUUGGAUAUGAAUUUUCAAAACCUGUCCGGUUUGGGUUCAGGUUUCGGUUCGGGUUUGGUUUUCAGUUUUAGUUGUCGAGUUUGGACUUGGAUUUUUGAAAACUCACCCCGAAUCUGACCCGUUGGCAUCCCUAUCUAUGCUGGUUCGUGCUGGUCAUGGCAUGAAUAUUUAUUUAUUUUGGCACCAACGUAUUCCAAUUGAUCAUUAAAUUCUCAUUAUGUUACUCUUUCAGAGUGUUGCCUCAUUUUAAUCCUCAACUCUCAUCGAGAUCUGGCAAUAGUAUGGCAAGUUAUAUUACUCCAAACUCUUCAUGCUCAUAGAUGUGCUCCUUUUGUCAGAACGGCUUGUAUGAUGUGACAAACACCAAAUAAAAUUAGUUUUUUAAACUAUAAAUGCAAUUUAAUGCUCAUCUUCCUGCCUUUCUCACAUUUUGACUAGUGUUGCUUUGUUACUUGUGGAGCACAUUUUGCAUCAAAUUACUAAAGUUUUCUUUUUGGAAUUUCCGGUUUCGUAUUUCAUGUCAGUUAGUGUGGUUAUUGUCUUGCUUUCAUGGGUUGAAAUGCCAUGAUAAUAAUAUAGAAUAUUCUUUAUACAGUAUACUGGAAUGAUGUUGCUAGAAGAGAUGGCCUCGAUACUCAUCACUCCUUACUUGCUAAUAUUUGUGGUACCGAAGGUACAUCUUGGAGCCUUUUUAUUGAGAGAAUCUGAUAUUGGACCCUGCUAUAGCUUGUUAUCUAAUUAUCUUUGUUAUGAUGUCACAGAGGGUUGACGACAUUUUGCGUUUUGUUUCGGACUUCACCAUUUAUGUUGAAGGAGUUGGCGAUGUUUGCAGGUUAGCAGCGUUUUCUUUUCGUUUCCUAUUCUUUUCAGAGUGAUGUGAAAACUUUUAUUCUCCCCAAGAGGUCAUUUCUAUGAGCUCUAAAUUGAUCUUUCGCUUUAUUCUUGUAGCUUAAGUUUGUUCGACUUUGAAAGACACGGAAAUAGGAACUAUGCUUCUCCAUUUGGUGCAGUUAAAUAUAUGAGGAGUUCCCAGGGGAAAAUGGAGAAAUCAUUCUUAAGGUAUAGUUUUACUUUGCUGGUUAUAAUUCAUUUUAAUCCAGUUGUACCAUCUAUAAGAAUUUCAGCCGCAUAGCCCUAGUUUUCAUAUUUCACACAAAAUUAGAUAGUAGGUUAGAAACUUAGUUCAAAGCAUUUUCUUCCGCAACGGAUUAAAACAAUGUAAUUGUUAUUCUGAAUGUUAUUUUGAACUUAAUUUCAAAAUAAAAAAAAAAAAAAAUUGUCAUACAGUAUUAGAUGGUAGGUUAAAAACUUAUUACAAUGUCAAGUAACGUUUAUUUUAAGAUGAAAUCUGGUAUGUUGUUUUGAAACCCUUAUCAAACAAAGACAACUUUCAGAUGAAGGCUAUAUAGAGUUCUGAGAAAUUUUUAUUUUUCAACUAAAAGCAAGGAAAGAUUUUUUUUCUUUUUUUUCUUUUUUUAGGUCUUCUGAUAUCCAAUUAACUCUCGGCCUGUGUGCUUGUUUUCAUAUGUGCAGCUUUUUCUUUUUUCCUUAGCUGUAUAUGUUAUGUUGUUUCAUUCUUUGGUUAUAUCUAUUUUAUUUUAUUUGAUGCUUUUGUAAUACAGCUUUCAGAGCACCUAUCCAUCCUGGGAACCAAGCGAGCAUGGUCGAAGAUUCCUCUUCAACCUCCAGAAAUUCAAAGAGCAAAAAAUGCGCCACACAUCAAAUCAGGAAUAUUCUACAAGUCAAAUACACCGGUUGUCCUCAACAAUUCGAAGCCACGGCGAUAAUCUAAUUCACAGAUUCCCCUCGAGGAGCAUGCGCCCGCCCGACAACUUUGAUUCACUGUUGUCUGUGAAUUUGGAUCAAAGGGCUCAACCCUAUCUGCUCGACUGGUAUUACACUUCACCACCGGCCAAUGCGGACAACUCAGAGGAAUCCCCUUCGCCACCUAAUGAAGCAGCUAUCCGAAACAAAGCGCUAUCAGAAAUAGAAGAGGAGGAUGACAGCUGGGCCCCACGUUUCUCCGAUCGGGUUCAGAGCCACUUGGAGGCUUCCACGUCAAAUUCUUUCCUCAGAAACGAAGCAUAUCAUCACCACAACCUAGAACAGCAUGCCUUUAAUAAGUGGUGGGACCGCACUGUUCCCCAAUCGUCCGACCCUCAAACCAGCUUCCUCGAGCCCCCCGUCUUCAACCAUCACAGUAUACCGAACCACAAUUUUAGCCAUCAUAGUGAUGAUGUAUCCUAUCGAAGCAUGGAGGAGCAAGAAGAGAAUGACGGCGGCGGCCGCGGCGGUGGGAGCGAGGGAGAAUGGCCGAACUCCAAUUCCUUGUCGAGGACGAGAUAUAUAGAAGACUCCGACCAAGAGGAAGAGUUUGGCUUACAUUUCGCCGAUACCCCAGAAAGGAACGAGGGCUCGAGUGGUCGGGUAAGUGAUAUUUACGGCGGGCCAUUGGUAAGCCUCCCUGUAAGGAUAAUACCUAGGAGCAACGAUCCGGUUUAGGUUUUAAGCAUUAAAUUACUGUGAUUACUGUGAAAAGGACUACACAAAUUGUUUCAAUAGGAAGGUUUAUCAACAAAGAAAGGCGGUAUUCAUUUACACAGUGGAGAAAGUUUAAGUUACCAAACUGUGAGAGGGGAAUCUGCUAUUCUUUUGUACAUAAAUUCAUUGCUGUCUAAAAAUGUUCCUCUGUGGUCUUACACUUUCUGUUCUAACCAAACAAUGGGAAACUAAUAUACUCUUCCACUGUUACAUUACAGUAUUAAACAGUAAAUGUGCCCUUUUGAUGACUAUAUUUCAUUAUUUGGUCAUUAUUUUGUAUGACAUGUAAUUUAGAAAUCUACGAAGCUCGAGUCUGGGGCUUUAGCAGGUGCGGUUUCUCUGCAGCCCAUGCGCAGGGAAAUCUUGUGCUCUGGUCCACCCGCGGCACUUCCGUGGCGGGAUGGGCCUCAACCGUCGGAUGUUGGCGGUUUUAUAUACAUCUUGCUGUGCAUGCGUGGUGGCUGAGCCAAUUUAUUUGGGCUGUAAAAAUGCAUAGAAUUUUUCUGCGCACGAGGCUGAACAUAAUGUGCAUAUGCUUUAGCCUAAACCUUGGUAUAAGCUGGGAGAUCUCAUUGAUGAUUUAGAUGACACAAAGAAAUAGUCCAAUUUGCUUGAUAAUGAAGUAUGCGAAUUUUGGGUCUCUAAUAUCAAAUUUGCUCUCUCUCUCUCUCUCUCUCUCUCUCUCUCUCUACAUGUUCAGGUGAUGCAUGGUAGAAAAGCAUGAAGACUAUACUGCAAAUCAAUGCAUGGUCCAGGCAAACAAAACAAGUUACGGACACCGGGGAAUGCCUGAUACAUUGGCUUUGCCUAUUCGACUAAGGCUUAGUUUGAUAUUAAGGUCCAUCUGACGCUGUUAGAUAAAAUAGAGUUAGGGUAAAAAGAUAUAGAAAUAUGUUUCUGCAUUCUCCGGUGGGAUUGCAGAAAAUAUAUCGUAACCUACUCAUCGUGAUAUACAGAACGCAAACGCAAUAUUACGUCCGGAAACAAAUAAGAUAUUUAUCCAUCAUAUUUUUUCACCGCACGUAACGCAAUCUCUCUGCAAUCCCGAACGAAACCUACCUGAAGUUUCUGCAAAAGUUUUGUUUUCAAUGGGGAUACUUGAAAAAGCACCUGCACUUGAAAAAAAAUAAAAGUGUUUUUUACAAAAAAAAAAUCUGAAUGUCACAUUCCGAUUCAGUCUAUUCGACUUUAUUAUAAGAUGAAUUGGAUAAGCAUCCAAAUUUUAAAAUUCCAUCUAAUUUUCUCUGUUAACAUAUUGAACAGGUUUAUAAUUAUAUUACACUCCUCUUGAGUAAGAUCUACUCAAAAUAUUAAACCCCUUUCCACCAACGAAUACUUAUUUUAAAGGUUAAAUACUAUAUUUUAUUUUUUCUUUUUUGUCGAAUGGAUGAUCUGGUGAGCAACAUUUUCUAAUUCACACACUUUCUACGAAAUUUCCUGAUUAACUUACCCUUUUAUAUAUGAUGAAGUUUCCUACUUGGACUUCCUCAAAGAUGUUGUCACCAAUUCAUUAACUAAAUAAUUACAAAUUUUAAACCUUGAUAAAAGGACUGAUGCGACUUUAACAAAAACAUCUAUUGAAAUUACGAAAUAGAAUACUUCUGACCGGCUUUUCCGCCUUUCAAUUACUAAACUGCUUGCUCCCACUAAAUUUCAGACAUUCAAGGACUUUCAAGAAUAAAAUCAUAUAUAUAUAUAUAUAUAUAUAUAUGUAUACUCUCUUUUUUUUAGUAUUCUUUUAUAUAAAUUCUAAAUUCAAAAUAAUAAAAUUUAAAAUUAAUGACAUAUCUUUAUGGAAUAAGGCAUAUGGUAAUAAUAAUACUUUCUAUUUCUAUUUCAAGCGUGCUAUUUUUUCCUCCAAGAAAAAAACAGAAAACAUACUCUACUUAUCAUGUCAAAUUUUUUUAUUUUACCAAAAAUUAUUUAGAUUUCUAUCAAUCUUAGGAUGAGGGAUGUAAGAUCUAUGCCCCUUUUUUUGGGUGUACAAGAAAUUUUUUCAUAUUUUAGAUUUUGUAUGGAUAUUUAUGAUAUUUUGAAGUUUUAGAAUAAUAGAUUUAAAAUUGCCCCAAAAAUAUUGAGCAAUACUAUAAUAAGUGUACCACCCAAACGAGUCGUAAUCCCUACAUCUCCUCAUCCAAGGGGUUGUAGGGUUUACUAAGCCCUUUUUGGAUUUUAGUAAAAAAAAUAAAAGAAAACAUAUGAGGAGUGAGACUAGUAGGAAAAAAUUUGGUCAUUGGAUAAGUGAGGUUCUAGAGUACAGUCCAUUUUGGAUUUUAGGUGUAGCAUUGCUAAAAAAUAUUUGGCUGAACUUCAAUACUAAUAGUAUUUUGGUUCUCAAACUUUAAUUUAUUAUAUUUUUUACUCAAUUUUUUUAAAUUACUAUAAUCAAGUCGCAUAAAUUGAAUAUAAUUGUCUAAAUAGUGAUGCACGCUAAUACAAUAUUGAUAUGAUAGUAUUUUUUUUUUUGAGAGAGAGAUAGGUAGCACGCUAUCCGCUUCGUUUAUUUAUUUAGAAAUAAACUUAGCUGGAAAUGUGAAUCAACUAGGAUUCGAACUUGGGUCUCGGAUACCAACCACAAAGCCCUUGGCCACUUGUUCUAGGGACGGUCGGUGAUAGUAUUAUGAUAGUAUUAUGAUAGUAUUAUAACGGAUAACUUAUCGUGCGGAGUUCACUGAUAUUGAUAUGAUAGUAUUAUAACGGAUAACUUAUUGUGCAGAGCUUAUUAAUUUGAUUAAGAUAUAAUUUCUAUAAUCGUCAACAACUGAAAAAAUAUAUAUAUUUUUAUAUGCUCAUACUAACAAUUUAAGAUUGUGUAAACUUUAGAUGGAGGGGUGUAAAUCAUAUAUUCCUUGUAGGUGUAUAAGUAAUAUUUUUUUUUAUCUCAUUUUUACUUUGCCAUCUUAUGGAUCAAAAAGACGCACUUGAUUAUUCUGUGAUUUUAUCUAUAUUUUUAGACCAAAUAUGUACUAUCAAAUGAAGUUGCGAAGUAAAAUUUUUUUGAUACCACAAGAUGAUAAAGUAAAAAAACUAAGUUAAAUCAAGGGUAGUUGAGUGCGAUAUUUUGAACCACAAUGUGCCAAGCUAGAAAUAAGCUAAACUACAAGGAGGCUACUAAAUUGAAGUUUACUUUUGAAUAUAUAUGGCUUUUUUGGCAUUUGGCCCUCUCAAAAAGUUUUUUCAUAAAUUGCCCCACUAAUUUUAUAAUUAUAAUUUUAGCCCUAUCUCUGCCACGCAAGCGCCACAUCAGUGCCAUUUGAGCAGGUGCGGAGGAUGUAAAAUAAGUUGAAUACGGUAAUUCAUUCACCGUAUCUAAACACGGUGAAUGAUUCAUCAGGAAAUAUAUUGACCCUGCACGCAAAUAAUAUAAUACAUUAAAUACGGUAAAUUAUUCACCGUGUUCAACUUAUUCCACAUCCACCAUCCCUACUCGCAUGGCGCUGACACGUCGCCAGCGUUGCGAGAAUAGGACCAAAAUUACAAUUAUAAAAUUAAGGGGGCUAUUUAUAAAUAUAAUUUUUUUCAGGGGUUCAAAUGCAAAAAGAAGCCCUUGAAUAUAUUAUCGUUGACAACUUAUUCCGACGGCCACUAAAAUGUAAAUUUGCAAACUUAGCAGGGACAUCCGUGCAAUAAUGCCCUUAAAAGGUCGCAGGGAAGCGGAGGGGUCUCCAUCCUCAGAUUCCAAACUUGGAGCCUUCUCCUUCUCUUCUAAAACCCCCCCACCCUCUCUCCAAAAACACUUCACAUCUCUCUCUCUCUCUCUCUCUCUCUCUCUCUCUCUCUCUCUCUAGGGUUAUGGGGUUCGUCUCCUUCGCCGGGAGGGUCCUCUUCGCCUCCGUGUUCCUCCUCUCCGCGUACCAAGAGUAAGCUUCUCUCUCUCUCUCUCUCUCUCUCUCUCUAAGAUCCGUUUCUUAUAGAUCUAUGUCUUCGUAUACCUAGUUACUUCGGAGUCGGUGGUUUCUGCUGCGUGAUGGGCCCAAUUUGGGGAGUUUUAGGGAUUUCUAGGGUUUUUCUGCUGUUGCUCCUCUUUUGGAGCCGUUUGAGUAAGUUCUUAGUUGGUUUGUAUGCGAAAGAUUGGAUCUUUCGAUGACCUGUUCUUGUUUCCGGUUUGGAUCUGCGGAUUGAUGAGUUUGUAAUGCUUGGAUCGGGUCGUUUGCUUUGUGGGAUCUUUCUUAAUCUGUUGGGAUUCGGCUGUUUCGGUGUUGUCUUCUGAAUCCUGUUGUUUUUGGAGCUUGGGAUGUGUUGCUAACUAAGAAUCCCUUUUUAGAGAUCUAUUAGCGGUUAUGAUCAUGUAAUCUUUGGACUAAUUUUGAACUGUGUGGAUGUUGCCUCUUACUUUAGCUACUUAUAUGGAAUGGUUGGUGAAAAGAGUUAGUGAACCCUUACCUUUGGCACUAAGAGGAGGCUCGUGAGUUGUGUCUAUCAAUAGCAGUUGCCAGGAAUAAAGCAUGCACAAAGUGUUACUCUUGGUAGUGAUUCUUGCGUUCUUAACUCCGAGGAAAGUUACUUUUCUAGAUUAACAUGAGUUCUUUUAUUGCGCAUCUUACUCUGAAGUUGUUCUAGUCCGCCGUAAUUAACAUGCUACUAGGUUGACACUGUUGUUGUCUUCCUGUGGUAAUGUCUUAGGAGCUUAGCUAACUAUAUUUGACUUGGAUAAGUUUUUGUCUUAUUGGUAUUAUUUCCUUUACAUUAUUCUUCUGAUAAAAGAAAACUGCUUUUUUGAUCAUGUACCAGUUCUCUUAGUUCUUCUUUAGCAAUCAAGGUAAAAAUAGUGUGUGUUUCCAAUUGCUUUAUAAAGUCCUCAUGACGUAUAUGUGAAAGAAAUGGCCUAUAGUGUAGCUCAACUCAGAUGGUAAAAUCUACUGUAACUAUUACCUCAAUAUGUUAACUUACUUGGUUGUGUUCUCUUAGAAUGCCUGGAAAGGAUCUGUGGUGCAUGAUGUCAUGAUAGACACUGACCAACAAAAGAAUAGUAUAUAAAACUUUAGUUGGUUACCAAGCAAGUGAGCAAUUGCAUUAAUAUAUUGUUCUCUUCCAUUAUAUCAGGUAAUUAAUUUUCCUUUGUUGUUGCUGUUGAUCAGAUUUUUUUUUUUUUAACUUGGUUUGAGAGAUUAGUGUUGAGUAGCAUCCUGCUUUGCUUCCCUCCGAAGCUAUAAACUAUGAUUCUAUUUGUUGCUGUUCUAAUCUCAUUUGGUAAAGGUUUGUUUUUUUCCUUUUUGGAUAACACUGGGGGUUGUUGGGCGGGGUUGGUUAUUGGUGGGUGGGGUAAAUUGUCAAGUAUGGAUCAUAAGAAAUUAGGUAAGACUUACUUUUAACAAAAGAAUGCAGUUUUUCUGGCAUAAUGAAUAUGUGUUGAAUAUGCUUAUCAGCUGCAGCAGAUAGAAAUAUUGCUCGAGAUUGGUCUAUUAUUCUAGCAAUUGCUGAUUGUUCUCAGUUUCUGGAACCAAGAUAUUUGUAUAAUGGUUGAGUUGUAAUUUGGGGCUAGUGCCUUGUGCAGUUAUCGCUUACCUGUAUUGAGUGAAAAGGGGAUAGGAUCAGUAUGUUUUACCUAUUGGGGCCAUGUGAUUGCAGUUCCAGUCUAGAGCCUUUAUGGUCAGCAAAACCCAUAGGCGUAUCUCCGUAUCAAAAAAGAGUUUAGGUGAUUUGGUUUUUAAGGUACAUACUUCUGAAUACGUGAUGCUACUUCUGCAAUAUAUGAAAUUUAUCAAGGUAUUAGUUUGGCCUCUCUAGCAAACACCUAACUCUUGAUUUGUACUAGAAGUUUGUCACUGCAAUGCUGUAGUUGAAAGUUUUAUGAUUCAAAUUUAAAAUUGUAUCCAUUUUCAAGUCAAGAAAUUUCUUUAUUUCUUAUAGCAGCUGUUUGACUUUCUAUCACAUCUCGUUAAUUGUUUAAAUUUUGAUUUGUAAUUUGAUAUGGCCAAGAAACCUCUUAUUCAGUAGAUGAAGUUUCAAACAGCGUUUUUCGAGGUAGAUUCAAUUAGAUAUGAACUUGGAGACAUCUCUGGCUGCAAAGAUAUUAGUACAGUUGCUAAGUUAGUUCGUUCUUAUGAAGUGUGCUCAAUUUCACUGGAAUCUCUAGUGUGAAUUACUUUGUUUCUGUAGAAUACAACUUUGCAUACCCGAAAGAAUCAUUUGAUGUUAUCGUACUUCCAUGCAUACGGACCUUGCAAGUAUUUUCUUUCUUUUGUUUUGAUAAUAUGGGGUUAGAUAGACACAUGACUCAAAAGUUAAGAAACUUCAGUAGAAUCCAUAAAAUACUAUUGCGGACGUCAAGGUGGGAUGUUUAUAGUGAGAAUGCUUUGUGCAUGCCUUUUUAAGUUGGUAUCAUCAAGGUAAUCUUUUAUGAGUUUACAUUGUAUGUGCCAUACUUCUACUUUUUUUGCCUAUCUUUGAACUUCCUGCUCUGAAGGUUUUGUGAUAGAGGUAUAGGUUGCCUGCUUGUAUGAUGUUCUUUAAUUUUUUCAUUGUUGUUGUUUUGUAUAUUGUUGCUUUUCGCUGAGAUAUCAUCUGGGCAGGUUUAUUGAAUUUGGAGUUGAUGGUGGACCGGCAGCAAAAGCUCUGAGACCAAAAUUCAACCUUUUUGUUAAUCAUGUUUCAUCGCAUCUGGGGGUAGCAGUUCCACAUAUUGAAGUAAGUUUCCUAAUUGCAUUCUUUUGUUUCUCUUGUUAAUGAUCAACCUAUCAUAAUUGUUUUGUGGCAUCUCAAAUUUUCCUUUUUCCCCAGAUGCAACAUGUAAUUGCUGCUACCAUAGCUCUGAAAGGACUGGGAGGUCUUCUAUUCAUCUUCAGCAGCUCUUUUGGAGCUUACCUGCUGGUUAGUAUUUCUUUUCUUUGCUCUGAAAGCACUUGGAGCUCUUUUAUUAUUGCGACUUCUCUUUAUUUAAUCCAUAUGAUUUUCCCUACAUUCAUAAUAUUUCCAAAUAAGUGGAAUCUCAUCAUUCUAAACCCUAAACUCUAUAUAUUGUUCCUGUACAGCUGCUAUAUUUGGCAUUAAUAACUCCUGUGGUGUACGACUUCUAUAACUAUGACAUUGAGAAGCCGGAAUUUGUGCAACUCUUUAUCAAGUUCACCCAGGUAAGAAGCCAUCUCAUAAAUUCAUGUGUUGAAAAAUUUUAGAGUUUCCUCAGGAACAAAAUAAGUUUCUAAUGAAAUCUUUAUUGCAGAAUUUGGCACUCUUCGGCGCGCUACUUUUCUUCCUGGGAAUGAAGAACUCUAUCCCAAAACGGCAGCCUAAGAAGAAGGCUCCCAAAUCGAAGACAAAUUAAGAUUUAGACCAUAGUGGUCGGCACCUAUAAUGUUGGUUCAGUGAAUCCCUCUAUACUGGAUGAAUAUUUAAAUUUUAAUGGGCUGUUCGGGUCGUAGAUUGUUCUAGGCAAAUUCACAAUGGGUUUAGUCCUUGGUGUGAUCUGAAUGGGGGAUUAGGAGCUGUCGGCUUGUGUGUAUCAUUAUAUACUUGUUCUUUGAUUCAGAAACCAUACUAUUGUUCCUAUGGGUUAAAACUCCCUUCUUUAGUUUGUUUUCACAACAUAACGUUAUUGGCUGUAUUAAAACUUGGUUUCAUUUUUGGUGACCAGCUCCCAACAUUUUGUUUCAUAUGCAAAAGUGUCCGCAAGUACUUUCAGUCCUGCAAAUGACUCUGUAAUCAGCCAUCUUUCAAAAGUUACGCAUUAUUGAGUAUUUCCUGCUUUUGUUACUGUUGUGCAGAAGUGACUAUAAAAAACAUCAUUGAGUGGGUUUUUGUCCUGUGAGAUUUUGAUAGUACCAUAUUGGAUAAGAAAAGAUGUGCAUGUGGGGAUUAGGCCUCACAUUGUCCGGUGAUUUUUUUAUUGUGUGUGAUUGAGUCUGACGAAGUUGUCAGGCCUAAAUGGAGAGUUAUGAUUGUGUGUAAUUGAGUCUGACGAGGUGGUUAGGCCUGAAUGGAGAGUUAUGUGUAAGUUUACGCCCGUAUUUUAUUAACUUUGGAUCAGUGAUUUGAGUGUGACAAGUUGUUGGUACUAACAGUUUCACAUUUGUGAAUGGGCUAAUUAGUUGGGAUGAUCAUUGUUUCUUGGAGAUUAAGGUUAGAGGUGGCAAAGAAGCUUAGAAUGACAGCCUUGUCUUGUUGUCAUGCCCAAUAAAAAAGGUGUAAUAAGUGUGGCAUUAAUGUAUUGAUGCUCAAGUUAAAGCGGACAUAUAGGCAUGUAGUUUGAGGACGAUGCAGAUGGGCACCAUGUGGCCCAUCCAACGGCCACUCAUGAAAGAAAAAAAAAAAAAGUGCACUGUAAUUUUAGAGAGAGAGAGAGAGAGAGAGAGAGAGAGAGAGAGAGGACGAUGCAUAUGGGCACCAUGUGGCCCAUCCAACGGCCGUUCAUGAAAGAAAAAAAAGUGCCCUGUAAUUUUAGAGAGAGAGAGAGAGAGAGGCCGUCGGAUAGGCCGCGUGGCGCCCAUCCACACAAUCCCCAAACUAUUAGUUUGGGGACGGUGCCCAUAAAAGUUUUGUCGGUUAAAGCCUAGAAUGAUAGCCUUAUAUUAUUGCCAUGCCGAAUAAAAAAAGGUGUAGCAAGUGUGGCAUUAGUGUUCUGAUAUAGUCCGGCUAUUAUACUCUUAUGAGUACGAUCGUCUUUAUACUCAUAAGUCAUUUUCGAUGAUAGAGUUUCCGAAUUAAUGAUUCAUAACGUAAAAUAUUAUAUAGAGCAUUUAAAACUUUUAAAAAUUAAACUUCGUAAUUUAUUGACAUUAUUUAUCUUACGAUCAAAAGAUUUCAAAAUUGACAAUUUUUAAUGGUCGGUAUGGAAUAUUUGCUAGUUUAACGAUGUAAAAGAAUCGAAAUCAGUUAAAUUUUUGAAAGAAAAUUCUAUUUACUAUUUAGAUAAAGAACAAUAACUCCGAUCUUAAAUUGAAGAAUCUGAUCAUCCAUUUUUAGGACGUCGUUCGAUUUUGACCGUUCAUUUUAUGCGCACUUGAUGGAUUUUAUUAUGAUUUCAAAAAAUUACAAAAUUUAUUUUUUAGAAGUUUCAAAUACUCUAGAUCAUAUUUAAUAGAGUAGAUCAUCGAUUUGAGAGCUCCAUCAUCAAAAACAACUUAUGAGUAUAAAAGGCUCUAUACUUAUAAGUAUAGUAGCCCCAUUUUAUAUAUAUGUUUUCGGCUGUUGAAUGAAAAGAUGUGCAGUUAGGAUGAUAAUGGUUUCCGGUUAAGAUAAUAGUGGUCUCAUAGCAUUGAAUGGGUGGUUGUUGAAUAGUAUGAUCUAACAGGUGGAAAUGAUCAAAGAAGUAGAUCUAACAGCUGAAAACUUAUUAAUACAAAAGGAUCCAUACUUGUAAGAGUAUAAUAGCCAAACUCUCUCUAUAUAUAUAAUGUAGAAGACAUCUUCCGUUUUAGAUAAUUAGAAAACGAAAUUAUCUUUUGGUAUUCAAAUUAUGAAACAGACAAUACUUCAAUUUUCAAAUUUUAAGUUGUUGUAAAUUUUAUCCUAGGGUUUAAAAAAUUCUAUUGCUUUUUAGUUAAAAAUAGAAAAAUUAAGGGAUAAUUGCCUAUAUACCUCUCAAAACUUCGGAAAUAUCUCAUUUACCCCUACAUUUUUUACUUUCAAAUAUACCCCUCAUAUGUUCCUCCGUUAUUUCAAAAUACCCUUGCAGUUACCACCCGUUAAAUUAACUUGGUUUGAACGUGAAUUAAAUAUUUACCACAGUUAAAAAAAAUUAAAAUGCCACUUUUGCCCUUAACUUAAGGGCAAAUAAGAAAUGUUGGUGAUGGUAGAAGGGUAUAUUUGAAAAGACCAAAAAGCAAAAUACUUUUUGUGCCCCUAACUUAAGGGCAAAUAAGAAAAGUCGGUGAUGAUAGAUGGGUAUACUUGAAAGGGCAAAAUAGUAAUUUCAUAGAGAUAACAGAGUUUAUUAACAGAUUUUAACUCUAGGGUGUAUUAGAAAUAGGUUGGAACGUAAAAAGGGUAUUUUCAAUAUUAGCCUUCUAAGAGGGAUAAAUCAGAAAGUCGGAAACUUUUCAGGGGUAUAUAAGCAAUUGUCUAAAAAAUUAAUAAGACAGGAAUGAUCCACACUAUAGUUGUAGAAUUUACAUCUAUGGUAUAAUUGUAUAGGAACCAUUGCUCUUUUUCAGACAGUGGUAAUUAAGUUCUAUAGUAUACUUGGAGAUGAUGAAGUUUGGAUUUCACGUCACGAACCGUGGGCUCCACAAGUGCUUGAAGAUUGCAAGAAACGUGGGAUAGUUGUUGGGCGAGAGGGGGAGAGAGAGAGAGGCGAAGCUGUGAAAAGAGAGUGUCACACAUGCGCCAUAUCAUUAAUAACAAAUGAAUCAAAUCUUUCAUUUUGAAAAAAAAAGUACAAUAAAAUUUUUUUUUAAUAAUCAUGAUGGAACAGGUAAACCCAAAGAGAAUUAUUUCAUUAGUUGGAGAUGUCACAUCACCGAUAUAAUCGGUGCAUUCUAGAAUUUUUUGUGAAGAGGAGGAGGGUGACUCUUUGGUUGCUAAGAGUGUAAAUUUGCACCAAGGCCGUCGAUCUUUGUCAUAAUCCCCUCACAAUUAUCUCUCCAUUUCAAUUUACUCUGCAUUUUACAUAUGAACUAUUGAACUUUCGAAUUUGAAGUCUCGGAUAGUUAAAAAACCCUCAUCCAAGGGUUGGGAUUCACUAAUCCCUUUAAACAUUUUAGCACAAAGAAAAAAAAAAUGAUAAGAUUUGUACAGAAAAACUGACUUUUGAAUUAGAGAAGUUGCAAUAUUACAAUCAAAGUGGAUUGUAGGCCAAAAUUAUAAAAUAGUAAAAUAAAACUUUUUAUGGCACGAGAUAACAAAGAAUAAAUGCAUUAAAAAGCAAGGAGCAAAAUGAAAUUAAAAACUAAAAAAAGAGGCCUUUGUUUAUAUACCCUUGAGUAUUAAAAUUUUUCAAAUUACUCUUCUAAUUCUCAAAGUCCAUUAGUAAAUCCUACGAUUUUGAGAAUAUUUGAAAUAUUUUUUAGAAUUAAUCAGAAAAUUUUGAGCAAUUUAGGACAUCUUAAAUAUUUGGGAAGUUUUGAAGGGUAUAUUAGAAAUUAGAGAUAAUUGCCUAUAUACCCCUUAAAACUUUGAAAAUAUCUCAUUUACCCUUAUUUUUUUUCUUUCCAAUAUAUCCCUUAUAUGUCCCCCGUUAUUCUAAAAUAUUCCUAUAGUUACCACCCAUUAAGUUAAUUUGGGUUAAACGUGAGUUAAAUAUCUAUCCGAGUUAAAAAAAAUUAAAAUGGCUCUUUUGCCCUUAACUUAAGGGCAAAUAAGAAAUGUUGGCGAUGGUUGAAGAGUAUAUUUAAAAAUACCAAAAAUCUAAAUUUUUUAUGCCCCUAACUUAAGGGCAAAUAAGAAAUGUUGGCGAUGGUUGAAGAGUAUAUUUAAAAAUACCAAAAAUCUAAAUUUUUUAUGCCCCUAACUUAAGGGCAAAUAAGAAAAGUCGGUGAUGGUAGAAGGAUAUAUUUGAAAGGGCAAAAUAGUAAUUUCAAAGAGAUAACCACUAUUGCUAACCGUUUAUUAACAGAAUUUAACUCUAUGGGUAUAUUUAAAAUGACUUGGAAUGUAAAAAAAGUAUUUUCAAUAUUAGCCUUCUAAAAGGGGUAAAUCAGAAAGUCGAAAAAUUUUCAGAGUUAUAUAAGCAAUUGCCCUACAUUAGAUAUUAUUAAAAAAAUUGGCCAAUUUGUAUAAAAAAUUCACAAGUUUUAGUUUUUGCAAAAUUGAGCCACAUUUUUCAAUUUUGAAGAUUCGGUCUGAAUUUUCAACAAACUGACCAAAAUUUUCUUAUACCUUUUUCUCUUUUUUUUUUUUCUUUUUUUUUUUUUCUCUCGUUCAUUUUUUUUCUCUCCGAAAAUGACGGCAGAGGCGGAGGCGGAGGCAGAAAUCGCCCGCCUCGCCUCUGCCUCUCCCACCCUCGCCCUCGCCUGCGCACCGCCCCUCCUUGUCUCCAACCCCACCGAGGCCGUGCUGUGACCCUCUUUUUUUUUUCUCUUUCCAACCCUUCUCCACCGCCUUUGUGGCCCUCCGCGACGAUAGCAAGGACGGUACCGCAUCUUCUUCCUCCGCCUUCGCCCUCUCCCUCCACUGCAGCAGAUUUUCUACUCUCCAAACAAACCCGUCGUUUCUACCGCCGCCGCCGGUGACGAAGAAUAAGUGCUUUUUGGGGCCGAGAAGCACGUCGGCGAGGGAAGGGGAAAAAAAUAGUUACAUUUCGACAAAGGCGGCGGUUGUGAUAGAGGGCAAGGGAGAGGUCGUGAAAAAAAAAAUAUAGAGAGAAAAAAAGAAUAAAAAAAUAAAAUAAAUAUUUUUUUUCUUACAGUAAAGAUAAAAAAUUAUAGAAGAAGGAAGAAAAAAAUAAAAUUGCACUUUCUCUUCUUCUUCCUCCUCUGCCUUUCCUUCCGCUUUCUCAUCUUCCUCCUCCUCCUUCUUCUUUUUCCUUCUCCUCAUUCCUCUUCAACUAGUAGUCGCCGCCGCCAUCGCCGUUGUACAUGCCCCCGUUUUCGCCGCCAUCCACAGCUGCAGCCGCCCAUCUACCACCGUCGUCGCCGCUAUUGCCGAGGAAGUCCUCGAGCUUCGGGUCCCCUACUCCUGCCAUCGCCAUCAGCUCCGCCGUCGCCUCCCUUUCCUUCUCCUCCGUCUCCUCCAUCUCAACUUCGCCACCUACUUACAUACGCACGCACGCCCAGGAUGCACAUAUAAAAAUUACGAGAAAGCGGAGGGAAAAAGAAGGAGGAAGAAGAAGAAAAAGAGAAAUAGUGUAAAUUUCAUCCAAAUAGUGCAACUUUCGCUUAAAGAGUGUAACCAUCAUCCCAAAGAGUGUAAUUUCUGUCUCAAAGAGUGCAACUUUCAUUUAAAAUAGUGAAAAUUUUUUUGAAACAGUGUAACUUUAUUUUAACAGUACAAUUUCAUCUUAUUCCUACUUCUUCUAUGAUUUUUGGUCUUUCCUGUAGGAAUUUUUUUUAUUAUUCUUUUUUUUUCUUUCUACAAUUUUUUUUGGUCACGACCUCUCUCUUUCCUUUUAUCGCAGCCACCGCUUUCGUCGGAAUGUAACUAUUUUUCUUUUUCUCCCUCACCGGCGUGCUUCUUGGCUCCAUGAAGCACUUUCUUUUCGUUGCCGGCCGGCGGUGGGGACGACGGGUUUGUUUGGCUGAUAGAAAAUAUGUUGCAAUGGAUGUGGAGAGCUAGGGAUGCAAACGGGGCGGAUCUAGGGGCGGGAGCCCCGCCCCACCUCCUGCCCCGAAUCCGUUAUGGGUUAAAAAAUACAUCCCAUAAUCCAUCCCGCCUCGUAACCCGCCUCCCGCCGGCACCCCAAAUCCGCCCGCCAAAUAGUAUUUGUUUUACAAAUUAUAAUAUUAUUAACAUUUUGUAAAUAUAAAUCAACAAAAUUUUUAAUAUUAAUUGAUAAUAUUAUCAAGUUAUAUAUAAAUACCAAUAUCAACUAUAAAAAUAAAAAAUAUCAAUCACAAUUCGCAACAAAAUUCAAAAAUUUUAAAUACAUACAUAUGGGAAAAAAGUCUACUAGAAUUACAAUAAUUUGUCAACAACAUAAAAAAUGUAAUACACUAAUACACCAUCAUGAAAAAAAGCAAAGUAUUCAAAUAAUAAAAAGCACUCCCCAAAAUCACAAGUUUAUACAACAACAAUAUUGUAAAGUGUUUUUUAAAACAUAAUUCACAACAAUCAAAUCUAGCAAAGUCAUUACAACAACAUUGCAAAGUCCAAAUCCACCAUGGCCACGAUAAAGUCUAAAUAGUAGAUAAUAACUCACGGCCAUGAUAAAGUCUAAAUAGUAGAUAAUAACUCAUAAAUAAAAAGAAGUUUACAACAAUAAAAAUGGGCUGGGAAUAUGCGUAGAUAAAAGCACUUUCAAACUAAUAAAAUAUAUAAACUCUGUCACUUUGCCACUUUCCAUGCGAUAAAAAAACAUCAUUCCACGGCCGGAAUUUCCUAAUGCACAUACCAAAUUAACAAAAAAAUAUUAAAAAAAUAUUAUACGUAACAUACAAAUUGAAUUUAAUGUAAAGAAUAAAAAAAUCGCAUACCUUAUUCUCGACAUCAUAACUAUCAUCAAGUUUCCCAAAGUUAGAAGAACUUGUCUCGUCCGAAGAAGAUGCGUAAAAAAUAAGAACAAAAAAUUGAUUUAUAGUUAGAAAAAUUAUGUAGCAUCAUAUAUUAAAGCUAAUAUUGAUAUAUGUAAUUGAUUUACCUUCUAAUUCAACCCAUAACCAAUUUCUUGCACACAUUAGAGCUUCUAAAGUUUCAGAAGUGAGAUUGUUCCUGUUUGGAUUCACAAUUCUACCACCAAUACUAAAUGCAGAUUCUAAAGCUACUGUGGAUACUGGAAUGGCAAGAAUAUCUCUUGCAAUCAAUUGUAAUGUAGGAUACUUGAGUCCAUUAUUUCUCCACCAUCCCAAAAUAUCAAAAUCUUCCAUCCUUGGCAAUAUAUCUUCCUCAAAAUACAUGUCUAAUUCUGACUUCACUAAUGAGUUAGUUUUUCUUUUAAUGGCAGCAAGAGUAUCAAAUUUUUUAAAAAAAUUUGAAGUGCUAAAUGUAUUGGAUAUAGAAGUUUCUGCCACAAUUGAAGAUGAGGUUUGAAAUGAAUCAGAUUGGCUUACCUCACUUCUACUUCGACUUUGGUACUCUCGAAGUAAACUAUAACAUAUGUCACGAAUUCUUUGGACUUCAUCACUUGCAUUUUCAUGAAUUUCAUUAUAAGCAACUUCUAACAUUGUUAAUUUGUAUCUAGGAUCGAGUACACACGCAACUCCCAUAAUUCCAUGAAUCACUGACCAAUACUUGUUAAACUUUACUAACAUCUUUUCCACCAUUGAUCUCACUAAAUUACUUGAAAAUGGAGAGUCAAUCCAUUCAUGCAAGUUUAAUACUUAGUUAGUUAAUUCACGUUUAAUACGUGAAUUAUUCGCGUAUUUUUUAACAUACGAAUUAAACGCAGAUUUUCGUAUUUUUCCAAAAAAUACGAAAAAAAACGGGAUUUUUUCAUCAAAAAUGAUUAUUCGCGAAUUAUUCGCGAUUCGUGAAUAAUUCGCCCAAAAAAUCGGCGACAACGACUCGCGGUCGAGGGUCGAUUCGUAGUCGAUCUCGUCGCCGCUCGCGUCGUCGCCGCUCUCGUCACCGCCGUUCGCGUCGUCGCCGCUAGCGUCGUCGUCGUCCUUCGCAGCCCUCGCCGGCGCCGGGAGCAAGGGCCGCGGCGGCGGAUCCCAUCUCCUCACCCGAGGUCGUCCGCAGAAAAGAAGAAGAUGAACAGUAAAAGCAUCGGGGCUUUUGGGAGAAAUAGAUGCGCGCGGUCCACGAGGCUAUUUCAGCCUCGUGGACCGCACGAGGGGGAGGUCCACAGUGGACCUCCCUCUCAUGUAUGUGUGUGUAUAUAAAAAAUUUUAUUUAUAAAUAUAUAUUCAUUUAUUAUAUAUAUUAUUUUAUUUUUAUAUAGAAAUAUUUAUAUAAUAUUUUGUUUAUAAAUUUGUAAUUAUUUAUUAAUAUUUUUAAAUAUAUAAAUUUUAUGUAUUAUUAAUAAGGUUUAUUAUUAAUAUAUGAAUAUAUUUAAUCUAUAUAUAAAAAUUAUAAUAAUAAUAUAUAUAGUAUAUUAAUUAUUAUAUAUUUAUUAUAUAGCCGAAUUUUUUAUUCUGAAUUUUUAAUUGGUGAACGUAUAAUAUCCGUGUAAAUCACGUAUCCGAAUAAUUACCGAAUCCGUUUUUUAGCCGUAUUUUUUAACGAAUUUAAAAAUUAAAAGGAGAAUUUUAUCCGAAUUAUACCCGUACCGAAUUUUUGCCAAAUCCGAAUUAACUAACUAUGGUUUGAUAGAAUGCUACAAAUGUAAGGAAAAUAUUGAUUCGCCGUUGGAUACUUAGUCCCUGAGAAAAGCGAUGAAACACUAUAAAAGAUCUCCAAUUUGCCACAUAUUUCUUUGGCUCUACUCCAAUCCUCCUCUGUUGGCAAACAUUUAUAGUUAGAAUCACGUAGCCUUAACCGAGGGAAGACAUCUUUAUAUAUCAAAGCUGUCUCUAACAUAAUAUAAGUAGAAUUCCAUCGAGUUUUGCAAUCAAGAGCUAACUUUUUACCAUUUUCAAACCCCUCUUGUUUUGCUAGCUCUUCAAAUCUCUCUACUCGUUUUGGUGUUGCUGUCCAAAAAGCUACACUUUCUCGGAUUCUCUCAAUGCCAUCACCAAUAACUUCCAAUCCAUCUUUAACAAUGAGAUUAAGAAUGUGAGCACAACAUCUCAUAUGAAAAAAUUCUCCUUGCAUUAUUAGAGAACUAGGAAGUAAAGAGUCCUUCAAAAUUUCAAUCAACAAAUCAUUACUAGUACAAUUGUCCAUAGUAACUGUACUAAUCUUUGUCUUAAUUUUUCAAGUGAUUAAACAAUCUUUCAAGACAUUUGAAAGUAUCUCGGCAGUGUGUGGGCAAGGCAUAUAAACAAACCUAUAAUUUGUACAAAUAAUGAAAGAAAAAUAUAUUAGUAGAUUAUACUAGUUUAUAAGAUAAAAUAGAUAGAAAUAGAAUAUGCACAUGAAAAAGAGUAAAUUGAGUGUGCAAAAGAAAAUAGAAUAUAUCCAAAAAAUAAAUAUUGUAAAAAAGCAAGUAGAUUAUGCAAGAAAGAAAGUACUUAAUUACCUUAAUAUCUGAUUUUGAAUGAGCCAAGAAUCAUCUAUCCAAUGAGCUGUGACUGCCAUAAAUAAUUUCUUUUGAUUGCUAGAGGUCCACAUAUCAGUGGUUAUAGCAAUUCUACUUCUGUUCCUUUCUAACAACUUCAUAGUUUUUUGCUUCUCAAUAUCAUAAAUCUUUAAAAUGUCACUCUUUAAUGUUGUUCUUGAAAUCAUCUUAAAAGCAGGUUGAAGACUUUGAUAUAAUUCUCAAAAGUCAUGAUAUUCAACAAAACAAAGAGGCAACUCUUGUAAAAUGAUCAUAUUGGCAACCUUCCUUCUACAAACUUCUUGGUCAAAUAUAUAAUUAGUUAUCUUGAGUUUUCCAUCCCUCACAUCAAUUUUCAAUCUUUUUUUAUUUCGCAUUGCAUAUUGGAUGUCUUUAUGUUUCCUCUUCAAGCAUCUGCUAUAAUGGUCAUGUAAAUGUCUUGUUUCUUUUUUCCCAUCACCUACAAGAUGGGCUUUAUAAUAAUUGCAAACUGCUUUAACCUCUCCAUUAAUUUUUUUUUUCUUAAAAUGUUCCCAUAUUUUUUAUGUUAAUUUUCUUGCUCCAAUUACAUCUUCACCUGAUCCAUCAAAUUGACUUUCAGAUUCAGCUGGAGUUGGAUUAGAAUCUAUUUGAAUUGACACCGAUGUAGAAGCCGAUAUUCCUCCUUUAGAACGAUUUGUUGCUGCUUCACCAGUUAUAGAAUGUGUAGGAGGAACACUUGAUUGUGCUUGUUGAGACAUUCUUUUGAACAACAAAACAAAAAAAUAAAAUUAAAACCCUUCACAAACCCAUAUGUAUUUUUAUAUUAGUGGAAUGAUUACAAACAAAUAAAAAAGAGUAAUAGUGCUACAAAUAAAAAUAUAUAAUAUCCAAAAUUAAAGGAUAAUAAUGAGUAACAAAAGAUGAUACUUCUACUGAUUUAUAAAAUUUUGAAUAGCAGUUCCUUCAAAAUUCUGCAUCUCUUACUUAGAAAAGACAUCUGAAUAUUUUUUUUUUUUCUUGAAUUUUCUGCAAUAUCCCAGAUUAUUGCAUCAUGAUGAAAAAAAAAAUGUUAAGAUACAUGAUAAUUAUUCUUUCAGUAGAAAACUAGAAGAUCAUAGCUUGAAAAGUAGCCAAGGGAUUAGAGACAAUUAGAUGAUAAUUAUUCUUUCAGUAGAAGUUCAUAGCUUGAAAAACAGCUUGAAAUGCCAUUAGAGACAAUUGGAUGAUGCUAAAAAAUGGUGAAAAAAAAAUAGGGAAAAGAAAAAAAUACGCGUGUUGAAGCCGUUGAGGGUAUGGUACUUGUAGACGGAGGCAAAGAAGGAGAUGGAGGCGAGAAAAAGCGCGGCGGUCGGCGGCGGUGAGGGACAGGGCGGCGGCCGGCGGAGGUGAGGAAAAAGGCGGCGGCCAACGAAGGCGAGGAAAAGGGCGGCGACCGGCGGAGGUAAGGAAAUGGGCGGCGGCCAGCGGAGGCGAGGAAAAGGGAGUUUUGGGAUUGUGAUUUGGAGCGGUUAGAGUUUUGCAAAAGAAAGCUAAGCUGCUAAAUAUAGUUGGGUUUUUUUGUAAAUAUAUUAACUUUCANAAAGCGCGGCGGUCGGCGGCGGUGAGGGACAGGGCGGCGGCCGGCGGAGGUGAGGAAAAAGGCGGCGGCCAACGAAGGCGAGGAAAAGGGCGGCGGCUGGCGAAGGGGAGAAAAUGGGCGGCGGUCGGUCGUGUUGGGGGAGAAGGAGUUUUGGGAUUGUGAUUUGGAGCGGUUAGAGUUUUGCAAAAGAAAGCUAAGCUGCUAAAUAUAGUUGGGUUUUUUUGUAAAUAUAUUAACUUUCAGGGAUAUUUUAAAGAAAUAUAUAAAUGGUUUUCGGGGCGGAUCAAAAAUUUUUCCGUUUCCUGCUCCGAAUCAGCCUCAUAUCAUAAAAAUUGCCUUGUUUCUUGCCCCGAAUCCGUUUAUUUUCUCCAGUUUACUGCCCCAUUCGGGGCAGAUCGAGGCGGGAGCUCCACCAACCCGAAUCCAUUUGUAUCCCUAUGGAGAGCGAAAGUGGAGGAAGAGGACGCGAUACUGUCCGCACUAUCGUCGUAGAGAGCCGACGGAGCGCCGCGGAGGUAGUGGAGGAGGGUCGAAGAGAAAAAAAAAAAGGGUCGUGACGCGGCCUCGGCAGAGUCAGAGGCGAGGAGGGCGGGGGGGUGCACGGACGAGGGUGUGGGCGUGAGGGGCAGAGGCAAGGUGGGUCGUUUCCGCCUCCGCCUCCGCCUCUGUCUCCACCGCCUUCUUCGACGAGAAAAAAAAAAAGAACGCAAGAAAAAAAAAAAAAGAAAAAAGUAUAAGAAUAUUUUGAACAGUUUGCUAAAAAUUUGAAUCGAAUCUGUAAAAUUAAAAAAAGGCGAUCCAAUUUUACAAAAACUCAAAAUUUGUGAAUUUUUUAUACAAAUUGGAAAAUAAAAUAAAUAAAAAAAAAUAAAACUAAGUUUUUAUUUUAAUUAAAAUUUAAGAUUGAAUUACCCAACCGCGACCCCUUCGCUCUCGGUUUCGUCGUUCGCGCGAGCGCUCUCCGCCAUGGUGAUCUCUCACUCUCUCCCCUCUCCCCCCAAUCCCCCUCCAAAACCCUAAUAUGCUCCUCCCCUUUUCGCUCCCAUGGAGAUCAAAACCCUAGUUUGUCGUUUUCCGCCCUUUUCUUUUCGACAUCAAAACCCUAACGCGCCUCUCUUCCUCCCCAGGAUUACCUCAGAACCGUCGUUCCCUCGCAGCUCACCGCCGAGCGCGGGUCCAAUCUCGUCGUCAUCAAUCCAGGUUCCAAACCCUAACUUUUUCUUCAUAAUUUGUAUCGAAAGAACGAUCUAAAGGCUCUUUUUUUUUUUUUUUUUUGCAUAUACUGUUGAUUCGAGCUAGUUUGUUGAUUGAAAUGUAUCAACAUUUGGCAAAGAAAAGUUAUGUAGUGCUAAUUUUAGCCGCAAUGCUCAUAAAUUUUCUUGUUUCUUGCAAUUUUAUUUAUUUAUUUUUUUUAAGAGUGUCCUCCCUUACUUUUUGGUUAAUCUUGUUGCGUGGAAGGUUCGGCGAAUGUAAGGAUAGGAUUUGCUCAUCAACAGGUGCCGUUCAAUGUACCGCAUUGCGUUGCUUGGCAUCUGAAGGGUCAGGAUGAGGGGCCAAGAAGAACUGUACAGGACCAGGUAAUCAAAUACGGUGAAAUUAAUAGAACUUUAAGCCUCGAUUUUGUUUAAUUCUAUUAGGUUUUAUCUGUAAAAUUUGUUCUUUCUUAUUUUUGUUCCCUAAUGAUUGACCUUAGAUGCUUAAUACUCAAGCUACUGCAACUCAAACGAGGGAGCGCGAGAAGGCAUAUGACAUUGUAUGGAAGAAAGCUAUAAUAUUUCUUUUUGACUUGACUUUCAGACCACAGGAAACUCUAUUUCAGAAAAAAAUGACUCUUGCAUUUUAUUUCUAGAUUGCGUCUCUAUUGAAGAUCCCUUUUCUUGAUGAAGAAGCAGCAAGCAACUCAUUCCCCCGUAAGGUAUGAUCUUCCAAAUUAUUUGAGUCAAUUAGUCAACAUUGAUAUUUAACUUCCCAAACUUUAAGCGUGAACUGGAGGUGUUUAGAUUGCAUAAGCUUGCCUAUGUUCAUUAUAGCUUGGACGUGUUGAGGGUUAUGCUCCACAUCAGAGUAGAAGUGAUACUACUUUCGCUUGGACGAAUGUGAUGGAGAAGAAUCCUAAGUUAUCAGUAGCAAUAGGUACUGUAAAACCAUUUUUUCGGUCAUAUCUGUUCAAUGAGAUUUUUUUUUUCCCUCUCCUUUUGUCUAAUUCCUUGAUUUUUAUUAUGCCAUCUCCAUAGUUGCCUUGCAUUGUUGCUUCUAAUUUGUUGAUUGUUGGAAAAGGCUGAUUAUUUACCUCACACGAAUGAUUGUUAUUCAUGCUUCCUCUGGUAAUGCUUAUCUUUGUUUGAAUGGUGGUAUUUUGGUGGUGUUUUCGUUCUGAAGCAAUGUACUUUUGGUGAUCCAACUCUAAUUUGAAUUUUUAAUUUUGGUGAUUGCUGCCAGUAAUUGCUAAAUUAGCAUUAUAUUUCGUUUGUGGGUUUAUGUUGCUAAUCAUCUAAUUGAUCUCUCAGAAAGGUCAGAACACAAUGCUGGUGAAAAGGAUUCCCUGGAUAGUGCAGGAACUCGUGGUAAAGGUCCUCAUACUGACGAAUGCAAGUUUAAGGAAUUUAUAAUGGGAGAAGAAGCUCUGAAAAUCCCCCCUACUGCACCAUACUGCGUGAGGCGUCCCCUGAGGCGAGGCCACUUUAAUAUUUCUCACCAUUACUCUUCACAACAGGUAUGCUUGCAUCUGACUGCAAAGUGCAUAUAUAUGAUUUACUUCACUAUGUACUUCACCUACCUUUGGCAAAUUGAUGGUCUAAAAAGGGUAGCUUAUGAUUAUGUUGUUGGACUUUGUAUUUAGUUGGGGAUGCUUUUUUCUUCUUUUUUUUUUUUCCUUCGACAGUACAACAUAAUAAUAGUUUCCGAAUGUGUUCAAAGUUUGCAUUCCUGACUUUGUUACAAACAUAGUAAUGUGUAGCAAGUGUUUUCUGAACUGGGUUUCAAACUGGAGAAGGGCAAACGUGAAAGGUCAAUGGUUCAACUGGGAUCCAAAUGGUGAUUGGAUGCUUCAACAGAAAAAUAACAAUUAAUUACAAUAAAAUGAGGACAUCCACAAUAUUUUUUCUUUUAAAAAAAAUUAUAAGUCAAGUUAAAUAUAGUGGUUUGCAAAUAGUACUGCAUUGCACUAUUAGAAGGUAACAAACAGAAAGGUCAAAAAAAAGAAGAAAUUGGUUUCAGCUUAGAUAAAAUGUAUGUUAAUCAACUGUUGAAGCAUGUAAGUGGAAAAGAUAUAUGAUCUAGUAUGUCGUGUUAGCUUUUAACCAAUAUUCCAAAAGGUGGUAUGUGGUAUAUAUGCGGUUACAUACUGCAUAGUGCAUGUGCGGUAUGUCGGCACAUGCAUACGCAUAUACAGUCCAUCUAUUAAAAUAUUAAUAAAAUAUUUAUAGGCAUUAAACAUAUAUAUAAAUGCUUCCUAACAAAGCUAAAUAACAAAAAUACCACUCGGUAAUUCGCAAAUUAAAAUAAGUAAUUUCAAGUAAAGGACCUCAUACGCACACAUAUAUCACUAAAAUAACAAAUAGCAAUUUACUUUUAAUUAUUAAAUAGAAUAAUAAAUAGGAUUUCAAUGCAAAAUUAUUAAAAAUGUCAAACAAGCAUCAAUGUUCUGUAAAGUAGUAUGCUAAACUUUUACGAAGAACAAUAACUUUUUGAAUAAAUUGUCAUUUGCAUUACUUGAUAUGUCCAACACUUACUAUAAUAACAUCUAACAUACUACAAAAUUAUGCAUUAGCAUUUAAACAUAUGUAUUAGAUACAUUUGGAAUAAUACCCACUAAAAUAAGACGAGAGAUAGUUAGGUUAUAUUUAUAUAGAGAUAAUUGCAUUUAUAUGCAUUAUUAUCAAUUAAACUUCUAUGAAAAUAGUCAUACAUAUAUGUAUAAUUAUUAAUCAGACAGUCCCAUUCAAUAUUAUAUUUUAAUCCCACCUUAAAGAAAAACUUUGCCGCAUCUGCUGCUGCAUAUGCGACCGCUUGCUGCAUAUGGGGCCGCAUAUGAGCCGCAUAUGCGGUCCGACCGCAUACUGCACCGAUAUUACAUAUGCGAUGCUGGUCCGAAUGGCAUAUGCAGCUGCAUUAACCACUUUUUGGACCAUUGCUUUUAACAACUUUGACUCUUUAUAUUAAAGAAUGGAAGGAAAGGGCAUCUGAAAUAGUUCAUGCAACUAUGUGAUAAAAAAAACUAUGCCCGUUACAUUAUACAGAAAUUACUUUAGGUCUAGAUUUAUAUGUUUCAGAAAUAAAGAUGAAAUUUGGUUGGUUUUCUUGGGGUUGUACCUGGUUUUCAGGUUUUGUGGUUCAAUCAACAGGUCCUCUAGUUUUGGGUGGUUUAAAGCUGAAAUUGAUAUUUGGCACGCAAAGUCCCAGAAGUACUAUGCAGCGGGCAUCUGAUAAUGACUUGCCGACGUCCUUUUCGGCGUUGGACUUGAGAUCUGAAACUCCCAACAUGUUCUACACCAAAGUUUUAAGUGCCCGUCGGUACGGGCCGUAUCCACCGUGCCGUACCGUGCCAACAAGAUACCGGCACGAUACAGACCCCGUGCCGAUAUCACAGUUCAAAACUCUCUGUUCUUUAAAUUAGUAAGUAAUUUCCACAAUAAAGUUCAAAAGAUGUGAUAAAAAGACAUAAUAAAUAGUUAGAAUAUUUUGUUGCUAAAGAAAAUAAAUAUUUUAUGCUAUUAUGUGUCGGCACACAAGAAUAUUUUUGACCGGCAGGCAUCGGCACGGCUCGGCACGCACCGUGCCGGUAAGUUUCCGGCACGACCCCGUGCCACGGCACUUAAAUCCUUGUUCUACACGAUUCUUAGUAACAUCUAAAAUCUUGAACUAGAUGUCUGACACUUUUGAGUAUUUUUAUUUUAUUGAACCGACAUUAGGUCAACUUGCUUUUUAACCUAGUCCACUGUUUGGUCCGUUUUGGUUUUCAGAUGAUUGGCAGUGUGCUCAAGUAGUAGUAAUGAGUUAAUCAAGUUUUGCUCUUCUUGGGCUUUUUAAAUUCAUGGUUCUGAAGCUUUAGUCUUGUAACAGAAGGCUGCAACAAAUGUAAAUUGCCAGGACUGAUGUCCAUUUACGAGCAAAUGUAAUGUUCUAUAGCACAUAAGGCUUCGUUUGGGAUUGCAGAAAAUUGCAUUGCGUGCGGUGAGAUACUAUGAAGAAAAAAUAGUUUGUUUGUAACUAUAAAUAAUAUUACAUUGUGCAUAUCAUAAUGAGUUGGUUAAGAAUUAAUUUCUGCUGUCCCACCCAAAAACAAAGAAGCAUAUCUCUAUAUGCUUUCACCCCAAGCUCCUUUUUGCCCAAAGCGUUAGUUACCGAUAGAUACCAAAUGGGCCCUAAGAAUGAAUGAUGCUAAAAGUAGAGAUUUAAGUUUUAUAAGUUAUUCAAAUAUCAUGUAAAGUUAGUUUUAACUUAUGUCUAUUCAUGGGAAUUUUGUGAUUAAACGAUGGGACAUAUGGGUAGAAAGAUUGAUUGUGAUUAAAGCCAAAAAAGGAGUAAUGAAAUAGUAAAUAGUAAGUACUUGACUGAAUAGCUACUUUUGAUAUAAGCAAGGAUUCUACAUGCCGCACCUUGCUGUACUAUGCCGAGGUCGUGCCGGCAUGUGGGACAGGAUCAUGUUGAUGCUGUAUCAACUAUGUAUUUUUAUUUUUAUUUUUUGAGUUUAAGAUAUCUCUUUUAAGUUUUUUUGAGGUGAAAGGUUUUAGAAAUGUUCUCCGUACUCGAAAUAUAUAGUUCUUGUCCAUCUACUACCAUAUAUUGCAAUUAGUGACUUCAACUGCAUAAUGACACCAACUUUUAGUGAAAAAAAAAUACAAAUAAUAUCUCCCUAAAUAUUUUUUAUCAUUUUAGAUUGUAGUGAAUUUACCUGUUGUAAUGUUUUUCUAUAAAUUUUAACCUAAUUAUAACUUCAAUUUUGUAUUCAUGUACAUACUUUCAUAAUAUAUGUAAAAUGAUUUUUUUAGUUAUCAAGAUCUUUAUGACUCUACUUUUACUAUUUUUUGUGAGAUAUAACAUCUGAGCCAUUUUAUUGCUAUUAGAGAUAUUAAAACAAUCUAAAAAGCUAUUUUUUCAUGAAAAUUUAAUUUAAAAAUGCGUUCCAAUGCUUCCCGGUUUUCUAGUAGCGUGCCACUAGAACAGGGGCGGCACACCAACGUUGGCACGAUCCAUGCCGCCGUGCCAUGCUGCUGGUACAACGGCACAUGUUGUGCUGGUGGCACAAGGAAUCCUUGGAUAUGAGAGAGUUGAGGGACGGUAAUGGGAAGGAGAAAUGGCUAAUGUAACAUCACCAACUAGCUAUUAUAAAAUUAUAAUUGGCACGCCCUGUGCCGCCGUGCCGUGCCGUCCCGUGCUGCUGGUAGAGCAGCACAUGUCGUGCUGGUGGCACAAGGAAUCCUUGGAUAUAAGAGAGUUGAGGGAGGGUAAAAUGAAAUGGCUACUGUAACAUCACCAACGAGUAAUUCUUUUUAAAAAGCUAAUUAUUACUGUGUGUCCGUAAGAUCUAUAAUGCAGGAAGAUAUUGCUUUGUCUUGCAGGUUUGUGAAGAUCUCUCUGCUAUUUGGAACUGGAUAUUGGUCGAAAAAUUGAAAAUUCAACUGGCUGACAGAAAUUUGUAUUCUGCUAUUCUUGUUUUGCCAGAGACAUUUGAUAGCCGUGGUACAAUAUCUGAAAUCUUGAGCAUCAUUUUUCUUCAUGUUGUAUACCCUUUAUGUUACUUUAUUUGAAGUUUUUUGUUUAAUGUUAAAUUUCAAUCUUUCUCAUUUUUCUUCUGUUUAUAAUUUUACAUUUGGUAUGUUACUGAUAUGAAUGCAAAGUCCAUUAGUCAAAAGUGAAAGCUUAUAGUUCUUGAAGAUCUUCUGGUUGGGGAAACUUCACCAGAGGAUCAGCAUACUGAAGUAUUAGUUUAUAUUUAUCCGUUUAUGUCUCAAUGAAGUUUGAUAUCUGAUAUGUCAAUGGCUAGAAGACAUGUUUGACGGAUCCACUUUGUUUUCCUUUGUUGAUUUUUAGACUGUUUUGGUCUUGGUCAACAGUUGACUUUUUAAAGGUUGUUUGCUCUUUGGUUUGGGCUGAAGUGGCGGAGAAUGCCAAAUUCCUCCCUUCUACUUUACUGGGCUUCCUUCACAAAUGCUCAAUAGUAGUAAUUUAUGCUUUAAGUGGAUAGAUUUUCUCGUGUAUCAAUGAAUGAAAGAAAUAUUAAACAUUAUCAAUAUCAAUAUACAUACUGUUAUAUUAGCAGGUUGGUACGUAUAACAGUAUAUUAAUAUCAUAUAGAUUAACUUGUUUUUUUUGUCCUUGUCAAUUGACGAUUUUGCUAUGAUUUAUGCUAUACAGUGUAAUGAAAUCCUGUCAGUAAGGAUUUUGGACCAAAGUAGAUUGGUAUGAAUUAUGAUCUUAUGUGGAUCUCAGUGCUUAUUAUACCUACAUUGCUUCUUUCAAUUGUGAGACAUUUUCAAUAUCGAGGCACUUUUUCACUAAUAUACUGUGCAUUUCUGGGUAAGGUAUCCGCAUUGUGUUUAUUGCUUACUGAAGGGCUGCAAAUACUUAGUGUUUUAACUCGAGUACCUCCUAAUCUAGAAAGUCAAACAUAUUUUCAACAUAUUCAAGAUUUUAAUUAUAUUCUGACAGAAAUCAAGGAAAUGCUCUCUAUCGUGUUGCGUGAUUUAAGGUUCAGCACAGCAGUAGUACAUCAGGUACGCGAUCCCUGUACUCCUUUAACUCAAUCAUUCACAUGACUGUACUUUCUAAUCAGUCCUAAGAAAUUACUUUUAAGACAUCUAUGGGUGUAAAAUAUUCUAGAAUGCAAAUCUAGAAAGAUUAUUUUUGUUCUUUGUAUUUAAACUGCCAGCUUUUAAUGUUCUAUUUGGUACGCAAGUUGAAAUAGAUAUGCCAUACUAAGAUAUGUGUGCAAAUAAUCAAAUUUGAGGGGCAAGUAGUACUAUUCAAUCCCUUUGAAUUGGGAAGGAAACAUGGUUACUUUGAAUGCUUUACUUCAAGAACAAAAGGCAAGUACAUACUACGUACCAUUGAGCCUUAUAAUGUAUUUAUUGCACAUAACCAUGCCAUCUCUGACUAUGUUUUCACUGCAUCCAAAUUACUGGAAUAUAUUAUUUACUGAGACACAAGAACUCCAGAAUCACUAGACCCAUAUCAGUGGAGGAGACAAGAUAGAUGGAGAUAUGAAAAAGGGCUUUGUUUGCAAAUAGCCCCCUGAUAAAAUUUUAUUUUAAAAUUGGUCCUGUUAAAAAUUUAUUUGCAAAAAUGGACCUGCCCCUGCCACGCAAGCGCCACGUCAGCGCCACGCGGGCGGGGCAGGAGUUUAAGUUGAACACGGUGAAUGGUUCACCGUGUCCAAUAUGAUAUUUGUAUUGGACACGGUGAACCAUUCACCGUGUUCAACUUAAACUCCUGCCCCGCCCGCGUGGCGCUGACGUGGCGCUUGCGUGGCAGGGGCAGGACCAUUUUUGCAAAUAAAUUUUUGACAGGGCCAAUUUUAAAAUAAAAUUUUGUGAAGGGACUAUUUGCAAAAAAAGCCCUAUGAAAAACUAUAUUGAGAAGAGUAUAGUUAAGAUGGGAGUGAUGGAUCUUGAGUUUUCAGUUUAUGUUCCACCAAAAUUUAUGUUUGCAUUAUGAUUUAGGUGUAGGUCAUGAGCCAAAUCAUGGGGAGAAGUAUUUUAGAGAGUGAAUAUAAUUGCAAUGACUGUGACAUUGGCUUUUGUGUAGGAAGAGUAAAUGAAAAGGAGCUGAAGAUGGGUGAAUUGGGACUUAUUUAAUUGUCCAGUAAUGAGUUGGAGAAGUAUUCACAUAUUUUGUUUUCCCGUAAGUUGAAUGUUUAGUAGAGCUGACGAGAUGGGAGUGAUGGAUCUUGAGUUAUCAGUUUAAGUUCAACCAAAAUUUAUGUUUGCAUUAUGAUUUAGGGGUCAUGAGCCAAAUCGUGGGGAGAAGUAUUUUAGAGAGUGAAUAUGAUUGCAAUGACUGUGACUUUGGCUUUUGUGUAGGAAGAGUAAAUGAAAAGCAGCUGAAGAUGGGAAAGUGGGACCUUAUUUAAUUGUCCGGUAAUGACUUGGAGAAGUAUUUUUCCACAUUUUGUUAUCCCGUAAGUUGAAUGGUCAGCAGAGUUGAGGAUGAUUGAAUUGGAUGCAUAACUUGAUAGACGGGGAAAAAUAAAGGAGGCUCUGUUGAAAAGCACCUUAGUUAUGUGUUUCAUUGCUUAGAUUGCUCUAGUAACUAAACAGAUGUUAAUGUUGUUUUAAUGCUUACUGUGGAAUUCCAUCUUCUCCCUCCACUAUAAUCUUUGUAUUUUGAAGUACUAUUCGUUUUCUUUCAAUGGAAAAGAAAGCUAUUAUAAACAAUUUGAUAAUAAAAAGCUAAAAAAAUGUCCAUAACAUGCCAGCGGUAAGUACUUUGUCAGCUUAUGACUAGCUUAUCUCUCUGUCGCAGAAUUGCAAAAAUUGUUAAGCACUAUGACCAUUAUAUCUGUAUCAAACACUUACAGUUGAAACAUUCUACUUGCAAAUAUAUUGAAUUCAUUUGUGCAAAAUAAAAAUGUUAUAUUUGGAAUAUGUUUUAAUGUUUUGAAGAACAGUACUAGAACACUUGAAAAAUAAUCUUUCUCAAUGCAUAGUGAACCAUGACUGUGCAUUAACUGUCAAAAAUUGACCAAAAUGCAUCAGUUUGGUUAGAGAUUUAAGUUUUUUUCAAAUGAUAAAAGCCCUAACAUGGACCUUCUAAAAAUGCACUGGAGUAACUUUACUUUUUCUUGGCCUACUUAAUACAUGUCAUCUAAUUAUCAUUGAACAAAUACAUGAUAAGCAUGUGUAGCAUCUCAAAAAAGGAGGGUUGCCAUCCCUUUUAGGUUAGCUUUGCAUCCAAUAAUUUCUACUUUUUUAGAACAUUUACACUUUUAACUUCGACAUUCUGAUUAAUUUUUUAUUGAUAUAGCUACUAUAAGACUCUUACUGGUUUUUAGUCUAUAGAAAGGGCCCUGGUCAAUCUUUCUUGUAUUUUAACUCUCAACAAGAAUCUCAUAUAAUUUGAUGUCAUUUUGCUGGGAGUAUUAUAUUUUUCUGCCGAAGAUGCUAAGAUUCUUUCUCAUGAUGUUGAAUUUAAACCAAUUUAUCUUUCAGGAAGGUCUUGCUGCUGCAUUUGGUAAUGGAUUAUCCACGGCAUGUGUUGUGAACAUUGGCGCUCAGGUUACAUCUGUAAUAUGCAUUGAGGUAGGGUUCCUAGUUUGAACUGAAGUUUCAAUUUCAUAAUUUUUUAUCUUAUCAUCAUAAAGAUGGCAGUUUGAAUCAGUUACAAAUGGAAAUAGUACAUGCUGUGUUUGCCUUAAAUUGAUGUUUAUUCUAAUGUUCAGGACGGGGUGGCUUUGCCUUCUACAAAUGUCAAUCUGCCAUAUGGUGGAGAGGUACUUGAUUACUCUUGCUUUUCACCUCCUUUGUUUUGUACUACUCAUUCUGAGAGUUUUUUCUCCUUUGUUUUGUACUAAUUCUGAGAGUUUUUUUUUUAACGUUUACUACAUAUUAUUUUCUGUUAGACUAGUUAAUGACAUAGUGAAACUUUUAACUAGGAUGAAAUUUGAAGGAUCGUACUUUUAUCCAUAUUUACUAUAUUUCAACGGACCAAAUCCUGGUCAGCUCAGCUCAUCGAUAGUCAGACUUCACUCCAUUCUAAGUCUGUUGGCCAUGUGAAGUCUGAAAAGUAUAUGAGAUCUUUCAUGUAAAUAUUCAUUCACAAGUUAAUCAUGUUUUCAUCUAUUUCUUCUCCUAAAACAAUCUUGGGCGAAUCUUUUCUAUUCAUUUCUAACCAUGUCAUGUUGGGCCUCUCACUGUUUUUUAUCAUAUCAUCUGCCAGGGGGACAUGCAUAUCUCUACCUUUCAUUUGGCUGUAGCAUCUCUCUUUUCAUGGAUGAAUGCUUUCCUUUGUAAUCGUAAUUUUAUGUAACUACAAUCGACCAUAAAAUCCUUAUCUUAGUUACACUUAUUCCAUGAGUGUGUUGUUUCCUACUGGUUCUACAUUUUGUUCAAUAACCAAUGCGACAAUUCUGUGAAUUUACCUGUCAGUUGGAAUAUUUGACCCCAUAUGUUUGGAAUGCCUAUUUUUAAGGAGGCCAUAGCCUUGAAUAUUUUUGAAUAUUUGUCGACUCUUCUCCUUCUAAGCAUAUUGCCUUGAAAGUUGGACCUCCUUAUCCGAAAUUUGUCUGUAUUGUUUCCAACUAUAUAUAUUUUUUUCCUGAUUUUACCUACUAAGAUAAAUUUUAUGCAAUGGAAUAAUCCAACGGGCAUUGUUUUGGUGGACACUAUUACGUUCAUCAAAAAGUAACAUAAAAUGUGAAGGAUUUAGAGUAGAGCCUUCAUGUUACCUUCGGGAUUAGCAAUUUGCUUAUUAUGCCGCUACUAGUUCUCACUGUGGGUAACUAUUUCUUGAUGCAUUUCCUUUGUCAAGUUGAUAUAUUGAACAAGAAUUGGUCAACAUUACAUUGAAAAGAGGAAAAAGUGGUCUCGAUACCGGCUAUGUGCUCGAUAAUCCUCAAUUAAAACCCUAUAUUAGAGGUAUUCAACCUUGUUCGAAUAACUUUAUCAUCAUCUCUAUCUGGACAGCAUUUUGUCGUUGUAGUUCAAAAGGGAAACAAAGUUCUAAACUACUUUCUUGAUACUUAAUUUCAAGUGGCUUUAGUUCUUCAAACAAUUUUGUAUCCUAUGGAAGUUUAAUUAGGAUAAAGUUAUGGCAGUGUCAGUUUACUGAGGGGUUGCUGUUAAGCCAAGGGAAAGAAAUCUAAGAGCUAUAAUAUUGUCCUGCCAUAAUGGGAAUCUCUAUUGUUUUUCGAUGAGCCAAAGGUGAGUCGGUCAUCUUCUUGAUGAACUGCAUUCAGAAAUUGGAUUAAAUAAGUUUCUUUCAUUGGGAAAUGGGAUUAAUUUUGUGGACUGCCCACGGCUCAUCAGGAAGAGUUAGUUUGUUACUUGCACAAUAAAUUAUUGAUGAUAAUAAGUCUGUGAUUGCUGCUUACAUCAGGCAUCCUGUUUGACAGUCGGAUGAGCAUGAAAUACCUACAUCUGUCGAUCUCUUGGUCAAACAUUAUGUAUAUGUACUAAUCCACAGUCUUCUUUGCAUGACUCGUUGCAUAAUUCUUCUUAGUUUAUUUUUCUUUGUAACCUAAUUAUAUAAAACUUCAAGCUAAAUGUUUUAUCUAUUUCCUGUAGGACAUCUCAAGAUGCCUGCUAUGGAUUCAACAGCAUCAUCAAACUUGGCCGCCUGUUCAUACCAAUCCAAUGAAUAAGCCUGUUGAUAUGUUAAUGCUCAAUAAGUUAAAAGAAUCAUAUUGUCAGAUCAGAGUGAGUGUUGUACACCAGUGUGAUUUAGAUUGCGUGUCUAUAUGCAUUUCAUGUAGAUUGUGAUUCAUGACAUCUGAUGGUUAUUUUUCUUAGAUGAUCAGUUCAUAUCUUGUGAUAUUGUUUUUCAUAACUGCCUUUAUCAUUCUUUGUCCCUUAAGAAUGAGUUCUAUUUUCCAACUAAACUUAUAAUGAUCCAACAUACUAGAACUUAUGCAUAUGCGUGCAUCUAUGAGCCUAAAUACCUGCAAGUUUUUUUGUUAAUUUUUUUUAAAAAAAUUUUAGGGUGCAAAAUAGAGUACACGAUCUUUUUGACUGUCUAUAGUCCUUUAUUAUAGUUCAAACCAAGAUAUCUGGAAAUUCAUUCAUCUUACUGAUGUGAUAUUUAUCUAAACCUGGUGCAGUUGAGUUAAAUUUUAGGAUUUGAGUAGUGGAUUCGAUGAAUUGGUUGACUGUGUUGUUAGGUUUUCAAUUUUUGCUUCGAAGCUUCAGUCGAGUUAUAAUGUAGUCAAUUGUUUAGUCUACACUGUCUUUUAGAUUGACAUUCAAACUUUUGUGUUGGUUUGAACUUCUCUUUUCCUGAUUUUAUAAUUGUCAUGAAAUUUACUGCAAAUUUUUGCUUCAAAUUUAUACUUUCUUCUACUUCUAUUAAAAUCUAGCUUUGUUAUUAUGCGCUGACAUCUGUAUAUGUUUCACAAAUCUCUUUUUUUCUGUAUAAGAUUAACCUCCUUGUCUGGAUAUUUUUUGUAGGAAGGAGAAUUUGAUGCUGUUGCUGUAGUUAAUUCGUUUGAUCAAGAACAUGUUGCCUCACAUAAGACAAGGCUAUCAGCCCUCAAUGUAAUGCUCCUUUAUAAAACUGCACAUUUUAUUCUCAUAUUUAGCGUAAUAUUCUUUCUUAAACAGUGUAAAAGUAGCAUUUUGUUUGUUUGUUUAUUUGUUUGUUUGUUUGUUUGGGGUCAAUUUAGCAUGCCUAAUUUAAUUACCAUCCUUUAAUCAUGAAAAGCUAAUUAUGUGUGUAAUUUGCUUCAUUGGUCACUUGAAUCGUUUGCUCUCAGGACACCAAACUUCAAUUUCCUGCCAUCGUUGUACUGAAUUUCAAUUUCUGUUACAAUUGGUUCCAGCUGUCAAGAAUGUUUAACUUUCCUAACUGAAUGAUGAUGUAGCAGCAGGCUCAGCUGCCAUGUCAUCUUCAGGACUAUCUUACAGUGAUCCUUCAUGAUGCAGCAAAUAAGUUAUGUGCUUAGAAGGAUGAUAUUGAAUCUGAUUUUAGAAUGGCAUGUCAUCUCUCCAUCAGGAAAUCUUAAGGCCAUCUGGAGUUGGAUAGUAACAGAAAAUUUUCUCUAGUUCAUCAGUUUAAUGACCACAUCGAAAUAUCAUUGUAAGUUCAAUAUGUAGAGGUGAAUUUGGUGACACUCAGAAAUAUGACUGGAUGAUGCUCAAUUGCUUAUAAAGAAAGCAUAAGUGUGCAAUCUUUACAUAGCUGUGCAAGAUAUGGCACGACUCCUAUAGCAGUUAAGUUUCAACGAUAUAUAAUGUAUUAAUUCGAGUGAAGGAAAUGUUCUUCUAGCAAUGCAUUGAUGCCAACCAUGAAUUAAAUUAUCUAUAUUAUUAUAUUGCUGAAAGCAAUUUAGAAAUAUCAUGGGAGAUGAUUUACUGCUUCAUUAAUGCACACACUGCUAAUGUUGAUUUCUUUGCAGAAAAUAUUUAUACUAUGAAUUUACUUUUUAAGUAUCUUGUCAUAAUUCAUGUAGGUUCCUCCUAUGGGUCUUUUCUACCCAACACUCUUUGUCCCGGAAGAAUACCCACCUCCUCCCCGCUCUUGGUGAGAUGUGAUUUGGCUAUUGUUGUAAUCUGGCAAAUGGAUAAUUAUUUAAUAAUCAGUCAUCGUUUUCAUUGUUGCCAGGUUUCAGGACAAUGAGGAUAUGCUUGAAGAGACUUGGCAUAUGGAGUUCCCUAGGAGGCCUGACAUGCCAGAUAGCUUUUAUCCCAGUGGUAAUGGUGGACUUAACAUGUGGGACUAUCACAUUUUUCCUCGGAGAUUGAAGAAGGAUGAGAAACUUGGCCUUGCAGAAGCAAUUACAAAUAGUAUUCUUUCAACAGGUAAUAUUUCUCCUACUAUCUUUCUUUAUUGUGUAUUAUUAUCAGCUUUGACAUGAUUAAUUCUGACUUAUAUUGAAUUAGGGCGUAUUGACCUUCAAAGGAAACUGUUCUGUAGCAUACAGCUGGUGAGGUGUACAGUAGAUUUGAGUAUGCUUUUAUAUGAUUCGACACAUUUGAAAAGACCUUAUUGAUCUGUUUUGCAGAUUGGUGGCGUAGCUUCGACAUCUGGUCUUGUUGCAGCGGUGGAAGAUAGGUUUGUACUUUUUUUUUCCUUUUUUGGAUAGGAGAUAGACUAGGGAGUUCACUUUUUUUGUGAACAGGUUAUGUAUAGUUUUAUUCAUGGAUAUCUAUGCUAGCCGUGCUGAUCAGUGUGGGUUGACAUGUUUUGUCCUACGGCAAGUAAAAUCUUGGUUUCAUUUCAGUCCAAGGAUUAUAUUCUGAUUCACUGAAAAUUAAUUUCGUAAGUUUUUUGUGUCAUAUCAUUAUUAAACAGGAGAAAAAUUCUUAAUUGAUCUUGAAAAUUUCAGUUGUAUCAAAAACUAUAUAACCACAUAUUGUUAUAGUAGGUUUUAUGCCAAUCCCCUUUGCUUCUCUAUGUUUAGCUUGAAAUCAUAUACAAAUGUUUAUUGGUUUGACAUCAGCUUAGCUGGUUUAAGUGGCGGUCAAAAUUUUCCACAAAUGCUUUUUCUAAAGCUUACAUACUGCAGAAGACUUGGGUGAUGAUGAUUUAUUCUUUUUCGUUCUUUCUGUAUCUGUAAUGAACUCCUUGGUCCUGGAUUCUAAGAACUUUGCUUCUUCGUUCAGGGUUUUGCAUGCCAUUCCUUCUACUGAAGCAAUAGAUACAGUUGAGGUUAGUUUCUUCCUACAAAAUACUAUUGCAGGAAUUGAACUGCUCUUGGGUUAAUGCCUUUCUAUAUUGCUUGGAGAUGCUUCAAAGAAAAUCUUGCAUUUUGCAACUGAUUUGUCUUAGGUUUAUUUUUACAAUAGGAAAUUUCACUACUAAUACUGAAGGGAAAAAUUUAGCGAAGCAUCUUAAUUUUGCAUUCUCCAGCUGAAAAUUACUUAUGUGGCUCAUACUCAACAAUUUAAGAGGAAAAUUUUUCAUUUUGUAAGAUUUGAUUCUAUACCUUGUGUAAUUUUAAGGUGCUCUUUUGUUGAAAUGCAUGUAGCAUUGCGGAAUAUCUAAGUCAAAUCCUGACUUUAUUAUAUUCAUCAGUUAAAGGUAGUUGAUUUUUUAUGUACUUGUAAUAGGUACUUCAAUCAAGAAGUGAUCCAUCAUUUGUGCCUUGGAAAGGGGGAGCAGUAAGUUAUUUUAUCCUCCCCAUUAUUUUUCUUAGUAACCUUAAUGUUACCUUGGAUAUGCAAAUGCACAAUGGAUCUCUUUUUAUGGUGUUUAUGUCGGCAUGUUUUUGAAAUUCUUGAAUAAAUUUUGCACUACCUUGAGUAAAUACUUAUGCUACAUUGAUCUUAUUACUUGGAAAUGGAGAAACCUAUCGUAUGUAGAAGGUCAGCAUGUUAUUAAUUUCUAUUACUAGUGAACAGACAAUCUAAACUUGAAAGAGUUCAAGUGCUGCUUCCUUCUAGCUUUCACUGUUCUUUAAAACAAAAAUAUCAACAAUUUUGGAGUUAGCAAUAAUAUAGUUACCUAUUAGAAUUUAAAUGUCAAAAUGGCUUUUGAAUUAUAUGCUUGGAUAACUGUGAAAUGGUAAAAUAUAUAAAAUAUCAAAGUAAUGUUUAAUAAUAAAAACAACUGUCAAAUGGCAGAAUUCUGUGCUCGGAUGACUGGAAUGGUAGUGAUCCAAUAACCUCUCUAUUUGUUUAAGAUAAAAUACGGAAAACAGCGUUGGAUUUAUUGCGAUAUGCAUUACACUCUGCUGCUCUAUAACUGAAAUCAAAGAAUGAUCCUACCAUAAUAGGAUGGUAAUAUCUUACACUCUUGUGUAGGAACUGUGAAAUGGUAACAUAGAUAGAAUAUCAACGUAAUGUUUAGUGAAAACAACUGCAAACGGCAGAAUUCUAUGCUUGAUUGACUACAAUGGUGGUAUUCCAAUACUCUAUCAAUUUGUUUUAAAGCUAAAAUACAGAACUGCCUUGGAUAUAUUGUGAUAUGCAUCAUACUCUGCUCUGGAACUGAAAUCUAGGGAUGAUCCUACAAUAAUAGGAUGGUAAUACCUUACCCUCUUUUGUAGGAAGCUACUAUGUAGGUUUUCUAACAAAUGGAGGGGGUUAUCUUUAGGUUUUGAUUAUCUAGGCCAGUAAAGUGCAACAAUAUACCCGGGACGGUUUCUGUCUUUUACUUGUUGCCCUAUUUGCACAUCUCAUUAAUUUUUACUGCAGCUGAUCAAUAUCCUAAGGUUUCUGUCGACUACACAAUAUAGAUACUCAGAUGUGUUAUGCAAUAUCCUUUUGGUGGAAAAUCAGUUCAUAUGUUUAUGAAUGGUGCAAAUCUGUAUAUCUUUGUAUUAGCAAGUUGUCGAUAAGUGGUAUUACAUUUCUUUUUCCAUAGAAAAGAACUUUUUCUCGUUGUUAGAUUCUUGGCAUACUUGAUUUCGGCCGAGAUGCUUGGAUCCAUAGGGAGGACUGGAUAAGAAACGGGGUCCACAUUGGAAGUGGCAGAAAGUACAAGGAUUCUUAUUUUCUCCAGGCUCAAGCAAUGUGCUAUUACAACACCCAAUAGGUAAUUUGCAAAUGGUGAGCUUCAAAAAGGAAUUUACUUUGAUUACAGCAUGCCUUAAGUGCUUACUGUUAUCUGCUUUGAUACUCUUUGCCUGGAAAAAAAAAAGUGGUGUAUUAUUAUUCUUCUAAAAUCUUGGAUAAAAAGUCAUAACUUUGAAUGAACAUUACAAUAAUGUGAAAUGAUUACUCAAUGGUCCCAUCAAACUGUAUUUUGUCCUAAAUCAGUUAUAAUUUUAAAUGUCCCCUUCACAGGUUUAAUCUUUAUAAAAAAAUCAAAGAAAGGGAAUAAUGAAAUGAUUAUUCAAUGCAUGGAAUGUUGCAAAACCAGUAAACCACAUUGAAGUUGUCCGAGGUUGAGAAGGCUAAGAAAAAGAACUUGAUAGAUAUAUACGAUGACCAAUAUUGUCAAUCCUGCUGGAAUUCUGGCUUAAUUGAUCAAGAAAGAAUAUUCAAUGCUUGAUUUUGUUUCUCUUAGUCUUGUUGCAAGUGUUAUAGCCGUAUUUUGGCACCCAAAUAUUUACCUCAGCUUGAAACACAUUGACUGUCAGUUGAAGUGAACACUGUUGUUGCUUUCGAUAGAGCUAUCUUACAUCUUGCAGUUUACUAGAAUUAUGUAUGCGUGCUCACAGAUGAUGCAUGAUACAGGACAGCGAGAGUUCAAUAGAGAUAAGUAACUGGUACAGUUGCAAAACCGUCGACCGUAUGAAGCACGGUGAAGCUUUCCCAAUUUGUUAAAACGCGUAGGUUGGGCCUGCUACUAGAUGGGCUUGUAGAACAGAACGAGUACUAAGAUCGAGGCUGCAAAUAACUUAGGAUAUAUGAAGUUGUAUUGUGAUCAUUGUAAAUAUGUCAUGAACUGAUGGAAGUGAUAAUGAUAAAUGAAUUCUUUUUGGAGAAAGUUUUGUUUAUUUGGUAUUUUUGAUGAAACUUUUAGUCUCUUUCAUGAACUGUUCUGAGUACCUCGAAUCAAAAAAUUGUUUGUGAAACCGAGUGAAUAUAAAAUAAAGUUGGGACGUGGGAGUGGCUAUGGGCCUCUUUGCCUCCACUGUGACUACUGCCUUUGCUUUCAGCAAUCAUUUCUGGUAAAGUAGAAAUUCUAAUCCAAAGCUUUUGAUUCUGUUCAUUGGAACUAUUUUAGUUAUAACGCUUACACUGUUAAAGUUCGCAAUAUUUUAUCAGAAAAUAGCAUGAAUCAGUUUAACAUGGUUUUGUUUUGCUAGCAGAGAGAGACUCAUUGUACUUUUCUGUAUAUAUAUCACUUAUGUUUAAAUAGUGUUACAUUUUAUAAUAUGCCAAAUCAUAUUUGAUCAUAGACAUGGUCUUAUCCUAUAUGACUGCUGUUGGUAGCACUGCCAAUGUCAGCCUUACAAUGUGAUCAAAACUCCCAGUGAGAACAAUCUCACCAAAACUAAAUGUGUUUGAUGCCCUAGUCACAUUUAACCUAAUCUCCAAAUUUUGUGUUCCUUGUGGAGCUAGGUUGAAUGAUGGUGGCUGCACACUAACUUCCACCCCCUCCGGCGAGAUCACGGAGCACGAGUACGUCUCCGAUUUGUUGGCGACGUUCUUCACCACGCGGCGAACUGACGGUGAUCCUCUUAGAUUUGAUAUUGUGAUCGACGGAAGGUUUAGAUUCGUCGGCGAAGCGAGUGAAGCUUUGCAUGCUGCUCCGGUGGCGGCGCGGACGACGCCUGGAGUAAGGUUGGGCAAUGAGCACAAGAAGCCCAUGUAGUCUCCAAAUUCUAUGGGAGAUAUAGAAGUAUUUUCAGUUAAUUUACAGUUCAAUGUCAGAAUAGAUGAUACAAAUUGGAGGUGGCCUCUCUACAAUACAAAUUGUUACCUGCUGGAAGAACUAGUCCUGGAUCAAGCGCUUUCACCGGAUUUAUAAAUCCAGCACCGUAGUCGAAUGGUGUGGCAAGAUGCACCGAGUACAGCUCUGCGCCUUCUGCCAUGAUCGGCCUGCCGGCAUUGCUAUGCUUAUUUGCGGUGGUCAAUAGAGCAGAGGCUAUCAUCGAUGGCGUCCAUGAUGGAUGCAACUGCUUGAUAAGUGCCGCGACUCCGCCGACGUGCGGCGCCGCCAUGCUUGUGCCCGACAGCAGCGCAAAGCGAUGGCCGGAGAGAAUCGGGUCGGCUGCGCUGAUCGGGCUCCAUGCUGCCCAUAUCUGCUGGCCGGGGGCGAGUAUGUCCGGUUUCAGCACAUCGGCCGGAUGCAACUCCCAGUCCAAGAUGUCGGGCCCUCUAGACGAGAAUCGGGCGACGACGGGUGCUUGUGUUGACCCGGCGAAGGUCGGGACUCUUCCUUCUUUGAUUGCUGCACUUGCAUGGUUGCCGACUAUCGCACCUUUUACGUCCCAGGAUGUUUGAUUCUCGUAGUACUCCCAGAGAGCCUAGUAAGUCAUUUAGUAUAUAAAAGAAAAUUUAAUUCUCGUUUGUAACACGAUUUCUCUGCUCCGAGAAGCAGCAGUCACUUAUCUAACCAAGAAAACGUCUCGGGCUAAGAAGCUUAGUUUGAAACUUUUGCUUUUGAUUCAAUGAUCAGCUGUUUAGAGCGUCUAAUGUUUGAAAAAGUUACAACUUGAGCUUCUAAUGUUUGAAAAAGUUACAACUUGAAUAGCUCUACUCAAAAAAUACUUAUACAGAAUGAGAUCUAUAAAUCAUACUGACCUUCGCAUCAGUUAUGCGAGGGAUCAUAAUGCCCGGAAUGGGGAAGGGGAGGGGUUGCGCGAUAAAGUCUCCAUACAAAGCACUAGCGACGAGAAUGAAACCGAGGAAUCCGAGAGUAUUCGCUGUGUCGAGGAUGGCGGUGACUGUCGACGUGCCAUUCAAGAAGCCCUGCAAGAACGAGCAGAUAACGAUGCCGCCAAGCACUUUUGCAGGCUGCAGCGCCUCCGGGUGCUGGCAUUCUUCGGCGUCCGUCGGGCUGCUUAGAUUUGCUGCUGCUGCAUCCCUAGCUGAGACCAGCCUGAAUUGGAAAAUCCCAUCUCCAGGAGUUGGUACUGUUAAUUGUUUCGAGCAAAGAAAAGAUAGCAUUUCUUGUUAGUAUACUUUCAUUCCCUUCAGAUUGAAUAUAAAAAGUAGAAGUUUCAAAUUAAAGAUAGUGUUUGUCGGAGCAGAAGCCCAUUCAAGAUUUUCCUCUAGUCAAAAGCUUUUAUAUUGAGCCUUUGGCUUAUGCUCCUCUUCAGUCAAAAUUAUUAUUGAAGAAGAGCAAACCAAGCAUUUUAGUAACAUGGAAUAAGUAGGUUGAUUGGGAGAAAAACCUUAUGGAACACUAAGAUAAUCUUAUUUUCUACCUUUCGUAUUAUAUAUUAACUGUAUUAAUUAAUAGUGCUUAACGAGUGCUCUUCAGGCGCUCGCUAAAAAAGCUCUUUUGGUAUUUGGACUUGCCUGACAAGCCAACACCCUGAAUUUGGAGGCCACUUCCCAGGACAAGCACAGGGCUAUAACUUCUUCCAGUAGUGCCAGCACCAACUCCCACCACCCAAGGGCUAAAAGAAACAACAGAGGCUUCUCCUGGUCCCUUGUUUCCUGCAGCUUGAGCCACAAACAUGCCAGCUCUUCUUGCUAAAAGCAAGGAGAUGUCAAGCACACUCAUGAAAGUUAUGGUGUCCACUGGGGGCUCAUCUGGUCCAAUGGAAAGUACUAGAACAUCCACCCUAUCUUGAGCCGCCUGCAAAUUUCAGUAUAGCUAACAAGUGAAACUUGAUUCAGUUGUUUCGAUUACUGCUAAAUAGACCUGAUCAAAUUCAGCCUGAUCUAAGCCGAAGAGUGUCGUAUUUGACCUAAUCUCGGUAAGUAGUAGGAUAAUACAUGCGAGUAUUUCUCAAACUUUUGGAGAAUUACAUUACGUAUUGGUUUGUUCUCAAAAUUUCACUUGUUUCUGAAAAUUCUGGAUGAAAAGUCCUUGCUUUUUGUUCUGAAUAGAGUUACUGUCUGUCUAGCAUUUUACACAAUGUAUGCCGCAUCAUUUAGUUCAAAAUGUCAUUCAAUUCUCAACAAAGUAAAAUUUUACUUUUCCAGGGGGGGGAAAAGAAGUAAAAGGGUCUUCUUUUAAAUGGAGUACUGCACCAAACCAAUGAUUAAGCUUACUUGGUCAAUUGCUGAAACAAGAUCAGCAGUAGUUCCUCCUGCAGGAUACAUGGCCUUGUAUACUCUGAGCCUGUUCAAAAACACACAGAGUGCUACACAAACUUAGUGAUCACUUAAUAGUAAUUUCAUGAGAUAUUCGUAUUUGAACUGCAGCUGUGGUCUUGCCUUGCUCGAGGCGCCAUUCCGCUCGCAAACCCGUACAUGGCACCGUCUACAAUCACAGGGACUUGCCAGUUCCCUGCCGCGAUCGAAGCCACAUGACUGCAUGCGAGGAUCCUCGCUUCGAUUAGUUCAUCUCUUCAAAUGUAGUUUAAGUUUAAUUGCACACUACUAGGGAACACUAACUAUUAAGAUGCUUUAGUUAGUCCUUAAUAUCUCUAUCAAUUUCAUGCACUACUAGUCCCUGAACUUCCAACUCGAGUUUCAUUUGGUCCUCAAAUUUGAAAAUUUGACCGCAUCAGCAUUUACGAAAUUCAAGUAAAUUGCACCCCUGAAUAGUUCUCCAAUAUCAAACUGAGAAGUUCAAGAAUUAUAUAAAUUGAUAGUUGAAACAGAAUGCUUGUGUUCUGACGGAUUGUACGUGCAAUGAAAACUCUGCUCAUGCUGCAGGUCUGUCGUAAACGAACCAAAAUGUGGUGCAAUAAGAAGAAAACCAUGCACAACAUAAGAAGCUAUAGAUAUAACCUGCCAUGUCCAACACCAUCAAAAGGCGACAAAUCUCGCGAAGGAUCGAGAGGAAGAACUGCAGCUGCCCCCGCCGCGAAGUACCGAGCCGACAGUAUCUUAUCAUUACACGAACCGACUGGAAAUUGCGCACCAGUCUCACAAACACCAACCAAGAAUGGUUCACUCUGGCUUGAACUCGAGGGACUGUACGCGAAGCUUGGAUGCGAGGGAUUGAUGCCUGUGUCGAUAACUCCGAUGACCAUCCCUUCCCCGGCGUGCUCUGCUCCGCCUUCUUGAGCCCAUACACCUCUAGGCAAGUCCAGCAAGUGUGGUGUGUAUGUGGUCAUUAGCUUUGUUCUUCUAUCUUUCUCUAUCUUAAGCACUUCAGGAGCCAUUCCAAGUCUCUUUGCCUAAGUCAAUGUCAUAGCCAACUUAUAUACAUAUAACAAUUGAUCUUGACUAGGGCUGUCAACGAGCUGAUCACGAGUGAGUUUGUUAUUAACGAGCCGAAUACGAGCUGGCUCGCGAACAAUAAGUUAGAUUGUCAUCCUUACUAUUAGGUAAAAAGCUGAAAGAAAAUUAGAAAACUAGAAUCUUAAUCUAAUAACUAAAAUUCAAAAAUAUUGCUCUCUUUAUAGAACCUAAAAUCUAAAUAGCUGGACAUGAGCGAGCUGACUCCAGCUCGUUCUCGACUUGUUUUGUUAAACAAGCAAUCGAUCUUGACCUCAUUUCGUGUCGAACACGAGCUGGCUCGCGAACAGCAAGCUAGAUUGCCAGCUCUUAUCUUGACCACCGACAGAGCUUUAAGAUUCGGAUGAUGGAUGUGACAGUUUCGCCGUGGUAAUGAUUCCUAUGUAAUUCCUGUUCUCAAAUCAUGUGGUUCACCUGAGAUGCAGAUGUGCGAAUUGCGAAGCCAUUGACAAUGUGGUGAAAGCUGCAGAGUUUGCUGUAAGUCCCAGAAUCAAGAUUUUUUCGAAGAAGUUCGGUGUGAGAUUCCACUACACGCUUUUUUUGGGUUCGAUAUUGUUCGCUGCAUGCACAAGCGUACACCGAAUUGAAAAUGUCAAUGUGAUUAUACAUUACGGGGUUGUUUCGAUGCAUGAGCAUGUUGUUUGAUGAAUCUUUUGUCGACGAUACUCGGAGAAUUUCUUUCACAGCAAUUGAUUGAUAGUUCAAAAGUUAGCAUUGGAUAAUGUAUUUUACUACAUAAACAAGAUCUCAUUCUAUGGAUUAAAAUUUCAUAGAGGUCUCUGUUAAUAUUAAAAUUUUCACAUUGGCCCUCUAAAUUUUUAAAAAUCACACUUGUGCUCUAAUGGUUCAUGAACUAUAAUUAUAAUGGAACAUUGUUGAAGGAAGUAAAGCAAUGAAAUCUUCUACUUAGGCUAUAAUAUUUCAAAGUAAUACAAUGGUUUUCUCCAAUUUACCUUAAAUAAAUAUCUCAAUUAAAAUUACACUAUAAAUGUUAUAUGUCUUAAUUUAUUAAGAGUGAACUACUCAUGUUGUUCAAAAUUUUGCACUUGUAAUUAUAAAAAUGUUUUACUUUGAUCUUAUCCGAAAAUAGAUUUUUUAGAUGAAAAUAAAGAUAAAACUAUAUAAUAGUUAAAUACAACUUUUUGAACCACAUGAUAGUAAAGUGAAACAUGAGUCAAACUACAGGAGGGGGCAAAUUAAAGUUUACGUAUUCUCGUUAUAAAUUACCUAUUAGGGUUGAGCAUUUCUUGUGGAUUAGGUGUUGAGAUCUCUCGGCGAAAGGCGACGCCUUCUCUUUCAACUAGAACAAGAUAGAUGUCUUGCUUCUCGAAGGAACUAGGUUUAACGAACUCGAAUGCGAUGAGAAUGCGAAGGAGAAGAAGAAGAAGAAGAGCGAAAGAUCGCGGAGUUUUGAGGUGGAGGAAAUGAAGAACUAGUUGGUUUGUGAUCUUCAUUGUGGUGAACAAAUUUAGGGAGCUAGUUUAUGAAUAUAUGUAUAUAUAUGUAUAGGAGCUCAAAUUAAUCCUUAAACCAUGCAAAAAGAUGGUGGAAUCACAUGGUUAACAUGAAACUAUGGUUCUUUAUUGUUAUGUCAUGUAUAUCAUUGGUUAGUUUAGUAACGGUUUGAGUUGUCCAAUCCUCUAUUUUCUUUUUUCGUUAAGUUGUUGUUAGUCAAAUUGACUAAGUUUUGCAAAGAUUAGAAACUAGUAAUUGUAAAUUAAUUUUACUGUUAGAACAUAAUUUUGAACCAUCCUUGGGGACAUAAUUGAGUUGAUUUAUUGAGAUUGCGGACUCGAUUGACAAAAAUAAAUGGUUAGAGACCCCAAUUGAAAAAUAAAAAAAUGGUUUGGGAAUUGUUGGAAAUAGUAAUCUCUAACUUAAUCUAAAAUUUAGUUAGAGAUAGAGUUUAUCCAAAUUAUAUAUUGAUUAUAUUUAAAAGUUUAUGUAAUUAGAGUAGCAUUUGUAAUUAUCCAAAGUAAAAGUUGGAUUUGUCAUCUAUUAUGACUUUAUAGCUAUAUAUAGCUAGACGUGAGUUAAUUAGAUGAAUCGACCACAGUAGACAUGACCGUAUAAGGCCAAGUGUGUCGUCCAGAGUGUGCUUAGAUACUUUUUAAUGUAUUAGCUUAGUUAUCUUCUUCUUUUUUCAAUGUAUCUUCUCCAUAUUAUUUUAUUCAGUUUUAAAUCCUGAGUUAUAUAAUCGAUAUUAACGUGAAAACCUGUUUCAACAAUUGCUAUCAAAGCAAAUAUCACUUCUAACAACAAGUAUCAAAUAAAAUCACGCUUCCAAUAAGAAUGUGGUUCACUGAAUUUAGAUUCUGGAAUCGAAAUGAAAUUCAUUAAUUCUGCUAGUAGUUGUUUGUUACGAAGGAAUCGAAUUUUGAUUCCCAUUUCAUUGUGGAAUGGGAAUAUGACCCAAUCCAUUUAUGUCCCAUUCCGACUUUAAAUUCCGGACUCGUCCGUUUUCAAGUAAAUCAUCCAAAAUCUUCUCUUACAAACAUCUCUUCCUCCCCUCCUUUAAUUAAAAUUCUAUCUCAAAAUUCUAUGUUCUUCAGUUGUUCACUCCAAGAAUAAUCAAAAUCCUAUUGAAUUAAUGAUUCGUCGUUCCGUUUUCCAUUCAAAUGCAAUCUACAGCUACGGAGAGCCUUUCACCAAAUCCUUAGCCAAUAGAAGCAGCAGGGUCGCCUACUUAUCGGUAUCACGGGUGAGAUAAAAAAUAUAUUUUUGAGCCAAUUUAUUUAAUUAUCAGUCGAAUCUCGACACCUUAGUACUGAUUUAAAAGAUAGCGCGAAUCAAACGCACCCUAAUAAAAAUGUAUUCAAAAUAUUUAAUCUUAAAAAUACUGUUAAACUCAAUUUAUCAUACUCUUACCUUAUUUUCUUGAAAUAAAAUAAUAAUUUAUACAUAAAUAUUACAUUUGUUUAUAUUUAUAUAACUUAUUAAAUUAUAGAAUAAUAUAGUAAGGGAUAGUAUUUAAUAUACUCCUCAAAACUUUUGAAAUAUCUUAUAUAUCUCUACUUUUUUUAUUUCAAAUUUACCACUCGUAUAUUUUUCUGUUAUUCAAAAAUAAUAUUGUUGUUAGUAUUCGUUAAGUCAUCUCGGAUUAAAUCCGAAUUAAAUUUUUAUCAUCAUUAAAAAAAGUUAAAAUAUAUCUUUUGUCCCUAACUUAAGGACAAAUAAAAAAAACUGAUGAUGAUAUAUUUAAAAAGACAAAAAAUCAAAAUAUUUUUUUUUGCCACUAACUUAAUGACAGAUAAAAAAAGUCGAUGACGAUAGAAGUAUAUAUAUUUGGAAGGGUAUAAAAGUAAUUGUAUAGAGAUAACGAUUGUUUCUAACCGUUUACUAACAAAAUUUAACUAUAAAAGUAUAUUUGAAAUAACUUAGAACGUUAAAAAAGUAUUUUUAAUAUUAGCUUUUCAAAAGGGCUCAAUAAAAAAUCUAAAUUUUUCAGGGUUAUCUAAGCAACUGCCUCAUAAAGGAAAGCUAGGUAAGACAAUAAAUUUUUCCCUUAUUUAUCUGAGUCCAGCUACUAUACUAUUGAUAGUAUUAACCUUUUAGUACUAUCGAGUUUUUCAUCGUUAGAUCUGCCAUUUGAUUAUUCCAUUCGUCAGAUUAAACUAUUCAACCAAUCAUCCACUCAACCUUACCACUAUCAUCUUAAUCGCGCAUCCUUUUAUCAAACAGCCGGAAAACUCGAUAGUAUCAAGCGUUUGGUACUAUCGAUAGUAUAGUAGCAUAAUUUUUUUUUAUUUUUUGUGAAAGUUUUAUUUUUCCAUAUCAAAUUUCAAUUUUUUGCCCCAAAAUUUCUCCUAAAUAUUAAACCGCAGUAAAAUAAUUUUACCGCCAUAAUUAAUUAAUCCAAGUUUAAAACCCCGCGAACUUUCCAAAAAAAAAUCCACCUCUCCAACGCACACUUGCCCAUUUCUUUCGCGCCAGAAACCGCGAAAUCUCCCACUUCAUUCCCGCCAUAUUUCAAAUUUCCCUUAAAUCCAAUAUAAACUCCCUUUCCCCUCCUCUCCAACAUUCUCCUCACUCUCUCUCUCUCUCUCUCUCUCUCUCUCUCUCUCUCUCUCUACACACAUUAUGUUGGGGGCCAAUGGGGUUCCGGAGUGUGAAACCCUAGAGCCCCGAAUCCUCCUUGCCGAGGAGAUCCGGAGCAUUCGAUCGGUUCUCGGCGGCGAAGUCGCUGAGGGGGACAUCGUCCGAGCCCUCGCGAUCUGCGGCAACAACCCUAACCGCGCUAUCAACGUCCUCCUCGACUUGCGGGAGAUGGAGUCCAACGACGUCGGAGGAAAUGGGAUUGUAAGUAAUUUAUGCUCCAACGAUGGUAGUAGGAUGGGGAAUUGCGGUGUUUUGAUGUGUGGUAUUGAAGUGAAAAAGGAGGAAGCUGAUGUUUGUAGUGAGAGAGAGAGUGCUCCGGUCUCGGAAAUUAGGGUUAAAAAGGAAGAAUUUGAGAUGGAUUAUGAGAAAGGUGCGAUUUUGAUGCCCCAAGUAAAGGUUAAAAAGGAAGAAAAUGAUGAGGGUUUUGAGGUCGAAGCCGUUCCGAUGCUGCAGAUUAAAGUUAAGAAGGAAAAUUUUGAUUCGAAUUAUGAGAAAGAUGCUGUAAUAAUGAGAAAUGAUGGAGAAGUUAAAAAGGAGCGUCAAAGCAGUGUUGUCGAUAAAUGGGAUGACGGAUUGGACGAGUAUAUUCGGGCGAACAAUGGCUUGGCGAAGAAGCACGAAUCCGGUGGAAAUGUUAAAAGAGAUGAGAAAUUAAUGGCCAAAAAGGAGGAGCCCUACGGCGGGGAUUUACCUGAUUUGGCUAUUACCCAUUUUACUCCGUACCUCAAUCCGCGCCCUAUCUCUGCUAUUCGACCGAGUGUGGUCGCCGAUCGGAGGCUUCAAGUGGUCUCGGAUUCGGAUUCCGCUGAGCUCGGGGAUUUUCCGGAGGAGCCUGAGUGGUUUCUUGUGGGAAAGACUUAUAUGACUGGGUUGUCCACUUGCCGCGGGAAGAGGAGGCUCGACGCCGGAGAGAUUGUCCAUUUGUCUUUUCCGGCCUCUGCAUUAAAAAGGGAUUAUGGUGGGCUUUCGGUCAGCGCAAAGGCGGCGGCUGCGGUGUCGGAGAUCGUCCGCUUCUCAACAAAGCGGUGUGGAGAGGUAUAAUAGUAAUUCGACACUCAUUGAACAGUUCUUUUGGUUUUGCCCUAAUCUAAGAUUGUUAGGGAGUUAUGUUUGUAGCAAAAAAAAAUCUGUGUGAUCAUCGUCUUGUUCAUUGAUUUGGUUAGAUUGGGAGGCUGCUUCCGGAGUGGACUAGAUGUCUCAUCCCGCUUGUGAAUUCAUCGAAGGUUAAGGUUCGAGCAAGAAGCGUGUUUCCUUCAGUGCAACUCAGUUUGAUGCAAGAUAUUGUUCUGUACGCGAGGUAAUUCAAUUGUUUUAAUUUUUGUUGCAGGUAAUGAAAAUGUCAAAUGCAUGAUCUUUUUUUGGCCUUUUUCUCUGCAGUUUUUACAUCCAUAGUUCGAUCUUCACAGAGGGAGACAAAUCGUCGUGGAAGCUUUCAGCUCCUUCGCACUUUGAUCCUACUGUUCAUCCUCUCCCAACACUAUUUAAACUACUAAAAAUCAAACCGUUUAAGAAGGUGUUUGCCAAAUAUCUUAUUAUUCUCCUUUUCUUUUUUCAUUUACGCAACUUUUUCUUUCCCUUCUUUUCCGUAUUGCUUUGAUAGAGUCAGGUCAUCCUCAUUUUGUCGCUCUUUUGAUAACUAGGCUGAUUUUACUCCAGCAGAGCUCGACACACGGAAACGCUCUCUAAAUCUAAAUGUAAGUUAGAUCCUUUAUAUGAAUUCCUUUUCUAUGUUGCAUUUACAAGCAUGUAAAUUCCUUUUGGUUGAAGUCCAAAUUCAUUUGAUCUCUUAAUCCUUUACUUGGUUACUUAGAUUAUUAUGUGAGAUGGCAGUCUUCAAAGUGAUUAAAUUGUUUCUUUUUGAAACUAGAAACUAUCUUUUUCAUGUUACUCGUGGGUCUGCUAAAUCUCUUUUCCUACUUGUGUGCACUGUAUCAAUAGAGAAUACGAACAUUAUUGUGGUUUAAGUAUGCAUCUAUGAUUUAAGUUGAAACAAAAUGCAUCUAUAAUGAUGUAUUUAUUUUUUGAUUAUAAAAAAAUUAGGAUGAUGAUGAUGAUGGAGAAUCAAAACAUAUAGUUGGGCUUGCAAAGCGGCGGAAGGGUUGUGAAACUUAUCCUGAGCAAUCUAAAGACGAACAAGCAAUCUCCGAAUCUGCCCUAAAUAAGCUUGUUGGAACGGCAGAUGUAUACGAUUUAGAGGUAAUCUCACAUGGAAAUUAGUCCUAUUUCAGAUUUUAGCAAGCAUGUAUAUAUGGAAGUAGGCUUUGAGAAAAAGUUAGUGAUAUGUCUUUAUGGAACAGGAAGCAGAGCCACCUAGCUCACUUGAUUGUGAGCUAAGGCCCUACCAGAAACAAGCACUCUUUUGGAUGUCUGAAUUGGAAAAAGGAAUAGAUGUUGAGCAAGCUGAAAAAACUCUUCACCCAUGUUGGAAUGCCUACAACAUUGUUGACAAGUAUGUAGUUGAGAUAAUUUCUCUGGAGGAACACUAUCACGAUUGUAUGUGUUGAAUCUUACUGAUCAUAAUUCAUUUCUCUAAAUAACUCGUCAGGAGAGCAUCUGCAAUAUAUGUAAAUGUUUUUUCUGGUGAAGCAACAACUAAAUUUCCACGUGCUACACAGAUGGCGAGAGGCGGAGUAAGUCUUCUUCUAUUUUCUAUCGGUUCUCUAAUAUGUAAAUUUGUAAAAGAAAUUGCCGAAUGUAGGUCCCUCCUGGUAGUAAGCACCAAACCUGCUUUGGAGUUUCGGGUGUUGCUGAAAGGGGAUGAAUUUUGUUUUUUUUGGCUUUUCCCUUUCCCUUUUUCUUCUAAUGUUUUGAUCAACCAAUGCUUUGUAUUGGAUUCAAAAAACAAAUGGAGUUAUAAAUUUUAAAAUUCAAGACACAUAUAUAUGAUUUCUUUUUGAAGGAUUAAAUUGCAAUGUGAAGUUGCAGUGGUCAAAUAUUUUCACUAAAAAAUUGUCAAUUAUUUUAUUAAAGCGGAUUUAUUCUAGUGAUUGCCUAUUUCAUUCAUAUAUAUCUAGAAGCUUGUAAGGUUGCUAGGAAAGUUAUUUUUAAGCUCUUAGGAUAUCUGUUGAAUCUAUGCUAAUUUUAGAGUAUCUGUGCGCUCUCUCCAUCUUAGGUGUCUAGAAAGAGCCUGACAAAAAGUUUCAGCUUGUGUUCUGCAAUUUAAGAGAAAUUAGAGAUGUUUUAUGUGUUCAAGUAUCUACGUUUGUUGUAUGUUAGUCAACUACAUGGAACUCGAUGUAAGGAACGAUGCUUUGGCAUAAAUUUGCCAUAUAACUGGUAUUAAACAACUUGUGUAUUAAACAACUUGUGUAUUCCACUAAAAUCAGCAAGUAUCGAAACAUACCCUGUUAAAAAAAAGUAACAACCAUAAAAAUUAGUACUUAAGCUGGCUUGCUUUGCCACAACAUUUUUGCCUAUAUUGCUUGCGUAGGUGUUAAAACCCCCAAAAGAUGAUUUGACUUGCAUUUGUUUCUACGGCUUCAUGGUCCAUUUCUGAUGCCCACCUAAUUUACUGGUUUAGUUAAUAUUAUCUUUUUUUCAGAAGGGUUUUAAUUACAUUUAUCAAAUGGGAAUUGAAGCUUACUGCGAUUUGUUUCCUUUUUCUCUCUUCUUUUUUUUAAUAGAUACUAGCAGAUGCAAUGGGUCUUGGGAAAACUGUCAUGACCAUUGCUUUAAUACUGACAAACCCAAAAGGAGAAAGAUGUGAUGAUCAAAGCACGAAGAUGGCUAUUGCGCAUGAUUCUGAGAAAGAAACAGUGGCAACGGCAACCCCAACUGUUAAAGGAGGCACUCUUAUUGUGUGUCCAAUGGCAUUAUUAGGCCAGUGGAAAGUAAGCUUUUCUUCAUAUAUAUGCCAUCAUGCCUUUUCUCAAUAUCAUUAGCCUGCUAUUUUUCUUAUUCCGUUGAACAUAUAUAAUUGAGUAGUUGUUUAUAACUUUCACUAGGUUACUAUCUGUCUUUUGUUUGCUAACAAGAUUUUAAGGGCCUAUCAGCACGGGCUGGGCCAACUGUACCGACAAGAUAUCGGCACGAUAUGAAUUUUGUGCCAAUGGCAAAGCUCAACAUUCUUUUUUUUUUUUAAAUCAGCAAGUAGUUAUUAUAAUAAAGUCCAAAAGAUUUGAUUAAGAUAUGACAAGCAAUUAGAAUAUAUUGGUGCCAAAUAAAAUAUAUAUUUUAUGUCAUAGUGUGUCCAGCACACAAAUACUUUUGUGAGUGGAACAAGUAAGCAUGACACGAAAUGCAUUGUGCCAACAAGUUCUUGGCACGACCUCGUUCCAGGACACUUAAAUCCUUGGCUAACUGUUAGCUCAUGGUUAAUUUAUUCUUUUGAAUCACAUAUGAAGCUUGAAGCUUGUACUUUAGCUGCUCUUUAGAUUGUUCCAAAUAAAAGUUCCUUUCAUGAUAAAAGUCAGUUUACUUAAAAAAUCUUCACUGAUAAUAAAAGAACUCUUUCUACUUGCAGGAUGAGUUAGAAGCUCAUUCUAAGCCAGGGAGCAUUUCCGUCUUUGUGCACUAUGGAGGUGACAAAACUAGUGAUCUCAAAGUGAUCGCAGAGCAUAAUGUGGUGUUGACAACAUAUGGAGUCUUAGCAUCAGCUUAUAAAUCUGUAAGUAACUCCGCCUUUUUGUUUCUCUUCUUUUUUACAUAUCAAGUUAGGAUAAUAUAACUAUUCCUCAUUUUACAGGGUUUGGAAAGGGAAAGCAUCUUCCACAAAGUAGAUUGGUACAGAGUAGUGCUAGAUGAAGCGCAUACUAUCAAAUCAUCGAAAACCCGAGUUGCUCAAUCAGCCUUUGCUUUGAGCUCAUAUUGUAGGUGGUGCCUGACUGGCACCCCUCUGCAGGUUGGUUUAUUUUCCUUUUUUUUUUUUUUUUUCUUUUCUUUAAGUCAUUUUGAACUCCAUUCUAAGUUACUAACUUAUAAAACUGUUAUUAGUGGAGCAUUUCACUAAUCUAUGAAGUUUGAUUUUGAAUGCUGCAAAACUUUUAUAUAUCCUGAACCUGCGUGAGUCUGCGAGUAUAAUAUGCAGCACUUGUUUUUAAAGCUGACUUAUUCUGAUAUCAUUACAGAAUAACUUGGAAGAUCUUUACAGUCUCCUUUGCUUCUUACAUGUUGAGCCAUGGUGCAAUUGGGCUUGGUACGUACAGAAAUGGCAACAUUACUCUUAUUAAAAUUUAACUUAUAGUAGAAAUUUAAGAAAUAUAAAAGAUUUAAGGUAAUUGUUUCCUCACUAACCAAGUAAUACAGUUGAUGGUUCACUAAGUGAGAACUAUAAUGUCAGAGUUGUGCCCAAUUACAAAACCUGCAAUCUCAUGCAAAAUUUUCUGCGAUGUCUUGUUCAUCUGCAAAUCAUCUUGAGUUAUUCUUUUUAACUCUUUUUUUUUUUCUUAUUACUAGGUGGCAAAAGUUGAUUCAAAAGCCUUAUGAGAAUGGUGAUGAAAGAGGACUAAGACUGGUUAAAGCCAUCCUAAGGCCAUUGAUGCUGAGGAGAACAAAGGAAUCAAAAGAUAAAGAAGGAAGGUAGGUAUUCUUAUCUUUCUACAUUUUCGUGGCUUUCUUGAGUCAAGGAACUCAAUUAUCAUGUAUUGCUAAUUGCUGCAUCAUCAAUUUUUCUCUUUCUCCAAAAACUGGUGGUGAUUUCAGGCCCAUUCUUGUCCUCCCUCCUGUCAAUGUGCAAGUUGUGGAGUGUGAUCAAUCAGAAGCCGAGCAUGAUUUCUAUGAAGCUUUAUUUAGGAGAUCAAAGGUUAGAUUUAGAUUUUUUUUCCCCCCUUUCUUUCACUAAACUUGCAACUCGAUAUUGAUAUAGAGAAUUAAUUUAAUUCCAAAUUUGAUUUACAGUAUGUCCAUCCUUUUCUUUUAAACCGUUCAGCCUGUUCAAUUAAUUUAGGCACUGAGAAAUCAAGGAAAUUUCUCUUUGUGAAUUAUAAUUAAAGUUACUUGCAUGGUGCUAUGCAGAACUCAGUUAGACACUAUUUCCUGAAGUGGUUGUUCUUGAUUAUACUGUUUAGUUUCUGUGAAUUAGUGAGGGAAGUAUCAUGUUCUUUGUACUUUUUGUCAAUGCUUAUGUACUGUUUUCUGAGGAGCGGCUAGGUUCUAGGUUCUUCAUAACAUCAUAACAUUGAUGUAGUAUUUCAAAGUUGUGCUGUGUAAUUUAUCCUUCGGCAUUUUUUUUUCCCUUUUUUUAACAGAGGAUCUUGUGGGGGUUUACUAAAAUGUAAUGCUUCUGACGCCUACGCUAAACUGAUUUUCCUCAUUUGCAUGAACAUCUGACAGGUUAGAUUUGACCAGUUUGUAGCACAAGGCAAAGUUCUUCACAACUAUGCUUCCAUACUUGAGCUUCUCCUUCGAUUAAGACAGUGCUGCAACCAUCCUUUUCUUGUUAUGAGGUUAGAUACAACAUGCAUUAUCCUAAUGUAUAGAAAUCUAUCGAUUCAUUUAUCCAUUAUUGGAAAAUAAGGCAAUAGAUUGUAUAGAUGUUGCCUGAAGUAUAACGCAUUUUGAAAUGGACACGGACUUCAAAAUUUUGAUUUUACUAUCUAAUCUGGCAACAUGUGUGACUUAUAUACUGUUGCAUGAGAUUGAACAGUUUUUGAAACUUUUUGAUAUUCUAAAACUAAUAGGAAUAUCCUAUAACGUUUUUUAGCUUUUAACACAAGAUUGUGGGAUUUUCUGAAGCUAAAAGUAUGAAAGGUGAGAUAGAAAAAUCAAAAUUUUGAACUUCCGAUGCACUCAUUUCAGAAUGUACUAUAGUUGAGGUAACUUCUGUUGUUGGGAUUUUCUCACCUUUUUCGCUCUCUCUUCAUUUCUGAUGCUCUGUAAAACACGCAGCCGAGGAGACACUCAAGAGUACGCCGACCUGAACAAGCUUGCUCGCCGCUUUCUCGAAGGAUCUCAUAGCAGGAAUGUGGUCCCAACGCCAGCCUUCGUUGAGGAGGUGGUUGACAGCCUACGGAAAGGUGAGAUGAGGGAGUGCCCAAUCUGCCUCGAGUCGGCCUCCGACGAUCCGGUGCUCACCCCAUGCGCACACCUAAUGUGCCGUGAGUGCCUCCUCUCCAGCUGGAGGACCCCGUCAGGCGGGCCGUGCCCCCUCUGCCGCAGCCCGUUGAGCAAGGCAGAUCUGAUCACGUGCCCGACCGAAAGUCGGUUUCAAGUAGAUGUUGAGAAGAAUUGGAAAGAGUCAUCUAAAGUCAGUAAGCUCAUGAAGUGCUUGGAGGGUGUUCAGAAGCUGGGGGAGAAGAGCAUUGUGUUCAGCCAAUGGACUGCUUUCUUGGAUUUACUAGAGAUACCAUUGAGGACUCGAGGAAUUGGUUUCUUACGGUUUGACGGGAAGUUGAGUCAAAAGCAAAGAGAAAAGGUCUUGAAAGAGUUCAGUGAGAGUGGGGAUAAGCUGGUAAGCAAGUAGCCAUUACUGGCCUUUUUCCUGUUUACAAUGUAGUUAUCAGUGAUUUUCAAGCUUUUCUCAUAUAUUGCUAUCAUCAUUAAGCAAAAUUUACUAAAUCUUGUUUCUUUUUUUUUGUUCUUUUGCUUUUUGGAUAAAAGGUGUUGUUAAUGUCACUCAAGGCGGGAGGUGUGGGGCUGAAUCUCACUGCAGCUUCAAAUGUCUUUUUGAUGGUAAUAUUUUCUGAUAUUUGCUCAUCACUUCUUGUAAUUUAUGUUCCUAUCUUAAACUAUUUCUGUUAUGACUCUGAUAUUUCUUAACCAUGUGAUCUUUUUGAACAUAGGAUCCAUGGUGGAAUCCUGCAGUGGAGGAGCAGGCAAUUAUGAGGAUUCACCGGAUCGGUCAGAAGCGUCAGGUUCGAGUUAGGCGGUUCAUUGUCAAGGUAAAGACCUUAAAAGAAUAAAGGGCUUAGAGCUAGUUGGAUGCCAAUGAGCAUGCAAACCUUUUGGGUGAAAAAAAAUUUCAAACAAAGACAUUUGUUUUUCCAACACAAAUAGUGGAAUGUCAGUGAACUUGUGCGCGAUUUUGUAAUGUGCGGGGUGUGGUACAUUGCAGGAUACUGUUGAGGAGCGAAUGCAGCAGGUGCAAGCGCGGAAGCAGAGGAUGAUCGCCGGAGCGCUGACGGACGGGGAAGUUCGGACCGCUCGGAUUGAGCAGCUCAAGAUGUUAUUUACAUGAGUUAUUAUUUUGCCGGCGAGAGAACAAAAAUAUGUAUUGCCUCUUCCAGUUUUGCUUGUCAAGGAAGAGUUAUUUGUUUCAGAAUUAGCAGGGCUAAUCAGAUGGAUAGCUGUUGAUAGUCCCUAUCAGUUCACUGAUUUUGUAAAUUUUUGUUCAUAGUGGUGGUAAAAAAGCCUUUUCUACUCCAUUCAAUUGGAUGGUUGCUUAAAGUAUUAUCUACCUGCAUAUUUGACAUGUGAGGAAUCUGGCAUUCUUAUUGUCAUUUUAAACAAGAAUAGCUUUUGAUAGAUUUGUCUCAAAAGAAAACCAAAAACAGAUGCUUUUAUGAGCAGUAGUGGGCCAGAAGUAGGAGUGUCAACCAGCGGAACACCAGUGAGCUUGGGCCGGCUCGUACGCUCGUUAAAAUAUGGAGCCGAACAACAAGUAAGAAGAAUUCGAAAGAAUAUAUAUAUAAAAAAUAACGUUAUGAGCUUUUAUCUAUUAGAUUUUGAUUUAGUGGUUGAAAUUUUAUUUAUAAAUAUGCUUUAUUAUAAUUGAGUUGGAAUUUAUAUUUAGGUUGCAUUAAAAAUCAAUAAUCGAAAUCUAUAUUAUAUAUAUAAUUAUUUAUUUAUAUAUAUAAAAUAUAAAAUAUAUAAAUUAUAUAAAAAUAAGAUAUAUGUAUUCGAGUUAUUAUCUAGCUGAAUACGAGCGAGUUGACCCCAGCUCGUAUUCGGCUUGUUUUUUUUUUUUUUUUUUUUUUUUUUUUUUUUUUUUUUUUUGAGAAAAAGGUAGCAUGCUAUCCGCUUCAUUCAAUAAGUAGAUGAAAUAAGCAACAUGGGUGAGACAUCAAGGUCUCAAGGAAGACGGAGACAAAAAACGAAAAAACAGGAUAGUGGAAGUUGUUUGCAGACUACAGCUGAUUCUCCUACACUAGCUACGAGGUCUAUCUGCAGCUCUACGGGUCAGGAGCACCCCACUGAGCUAUCAGGUGUUUGAUCUUAUGAGUACCCCGGAUCGGAUCGGCCUGGGCCUUCGCGAAGAUGACUCCAUUCCUAGUCUCCCAAGCCACCCACCAGCAAGCAAUAAUACCGCUUAAGUCAUUAUUCGAACCUUUCCGAUCCCUCCAUAUAUCCCACUGGCGGUGUACGUCAGCUCCCAAUUCUCCUAGCUGGACAUCCUCAAGCGACAUAGCCAUAAGGAAUCUGACUAGAGCACAUUGUGUAACCUUUUUCGGCUUGUUUUAUCUCUCAACUUCGGCUUAUAUUGUCGUGUCAAUCCAUAAUCAUUCAAAAAUUAAUUUUAUUAGAAAAUGAUUUUUCAUUUUUUUAAUCCAUGCUGUAAAACUGCCUCAUUUCUUACAGUUUAAUCCAAACAGGAUUAUAAAAAAUCAAUUUUUUUUUUAAAAAUUUUUGAAGACUAAAAUACAAUAUGUGUCAAAGUUCAGAUACUAAAAUACAUAAAUGAAAAGUAUAAUGACCAACUAGCAAUAUUGGGGUAGCAAGUGCAGGAACUUCUCCAUACAUUUAUCUUAAUUUUUCUGUAAAAGUCUUUUGCUGACAAAUUCUAUAAGAUGAUGCUGAAAUACCAAUCCUACAUACUACAUUGGAUUAGGCAAAAACCCAUCAGAAACCCAAGUGUUUUUUCUUUUUUCUUUUUUUCAAAAUAAUUCUGUUCCGACGAAUGCACAAAUAGAAACAAGAAAUGACGAGCGUGAAAUAGACGAACAAUAAAACAUUAAAUAAAAUAGAAUACAAAGAUUUACAUAAAAAAUUCUUUUGCAGGUUAAGAAACCACGGGUGAAGAACUUUACUAUGAAAAAAAUGAAUAUGAAGUUUUUGUUGUGUACAACAUCCUGUAUUGCGUCUACCACAAAAGAAGAAGGAAAUUGCUAAACAGAUUUUUUUUUCAUUAUUGGAUUCGCAAAACUGUCACCGAAUCAGGAGCACAAAAUUAAAGUCGAUAACCAAAAUUUCGAGGCACACAUCGAACGAGUUCCCGACAAUAAAAGAUUAAUCUAACAAUCCUAUAGAAGCUGAAGCCAGUAUUAUGAUUAAUUUAGUAGGAUGUAAGACAAAGUUAAUUAAAUCAUCUAAUCACAAAAGCUGAUGAGAGUACCAACAAUGCAGCAUUAACAACACCUUGCUUUUUCUUUUCCUUUUUUUUAAAUUAUAAAUGAUUGAACAACCUGAAUUUUUGUCUUCAGCAAAAGCACCUUGCAUAUUGUAUUCUGUUCAAUGUACUAAAAAGCUACUGACUCAAACCCCACCACUGCCGAACUAAAACUUUUCCUGUGUCCCCUAAACUGGUCUGACUAAAUGCCUUUUGGAAUUUGGACCUUAGUAAUGUAGAAUAUAUAGUAUUAUUUUGGUUAUAAUUAUUUAUAAAAAAUUUUCUUAUAAAUUGUUGGCUUUUUAAUUUUUCUUUUUUAAAUUUCAAAAAUCUACAUUUUAUUCUUUCAACAUUUCAAGUUGUUGCAUUUAGCCCCCUUCUGUCAGGGUUUCAUCAUUAUUGUGUUUAUUUCUUAUAAUUUAUAUCAAAAAUAUCUUUCAAAAUGACGAAAAUAUAUUAAAUUUUUUUUAAAAAAAUAAGAAUAAUUUGAUUAUUUUGCCUUUUCUAUUAACACCUUAUACUCCUAAAAAUAUUUUUAAAAUUUUAAGAUGGUAAAAUAUAGAUUUUUAAAAGUUAGAGAAAAAAAAGUAAAAUAAAAGAUAUUUAUAAGAAAAUUUUCUGCAUUUUAACCCAUUAUUUAAUAUACCUUUUUGCAAUCUAAAUUGUACUAUAAAGAAGAUCUAAAUAAAAAGUUUCAUAAGUUUUAUUUCAAAAAGAUACAGCCGAAUUCAGUGCAAGUAGUCCACAAAUUUAAGCAAUUGAUGAAGGAGUGGGAUAAUUACCUUCUCACAGCUAAGCAGACACCUUGAUUUUUUAUUUUAUUUAUUUAUUUAUUUAUUUAUUUAUUUAUUUUUUUGUCAAACUCUUGAGGCCCAUGCUGCCUUACCCCUGUAGCCUAGUUUCUUAUUCCAACGAAUGAAGCGGGUAGUGUGCUAUUUUUUUCUCAAAUUUUUUUUUUUCUAAAUUAGAAGUAACAGUUUUAAAUUAUAAUUUUUUUAUUUUUUUAAAUUCAUAAUCUUAGUUAACUUUGGUUGUGAGAAAAUAACGGAUGGUGCUUCUUGCAGUAAUAGAGUGUAAGAUAUAUAUCCAAUAAUGAUUAAUGAAGUGAUGGAACAGCAUUUUUCUUAGUUCUACACUGUGUACUUUUGAGUUGCUAGCUGUUUUCACUCUCAAAACGUUUGGCAAAUCAAGAGAUCUAAACGUUUCGUACUGCGAUAGGCCAAAAAAAAGAAAAAAAAAAUCCCAAAGUUGGAGAAUCUUACACUCAUCAUCUAUAAGGGUUUUACUUUUUUUUUUUUUUUUUUUUCAUUUAGAAAUAAAUUUAGCUGAAAAUGUGAAUCAACUAGAGUUUUACUUUUUAGUAUUAAAAAAUAGAGGUGAUAUAAGACUACAGAGAAAAACUUGGCCCUUCGUGAUAAGGAUGUAAGAUUUAUACCUAUUUUUUGGUACAGUGACAGUAUUGUCACUAUAACAAAAACGAUAUAUAGCGACAUUUUUAAAUGUCGGUAUAUGUCAAAAAAAAUGCUGCUGGCUAAAUUACCGACACUUUUAAAAGUGUUGCUAUAUGUGGGGUCGCUAGGUAUAUAGUGACAGUUAAAGAGUGUCGCAAUAAUCUAAAAAAGUGCUGCUAAUUUACCAACACUUAUUUAAGCAUUUAGCAACCGCAGAAUCUCUAUCUCGUUGGCUGCAGUGGCGGAGGAGGACGAGAGUAAAGGCUCUUCGUCUAGAAUUUCAGUGGAUUGAGUGAAGAGAGAAGAAAAAAUGGUAAUUGAUUUUUUUUCUUUUUUUUUUUUUGUUUGUAAUCGGGCCAAAUGAGCUGGGUGGGUGGGUUGAGUAGAGUAACCUUUUCUUUUUGAUUGGAUUGAGCUUUAUAUUUAGGCAUUAAUAGGUGUUUUUUUAAGUUUUGGCAUAAAUGGGACGCUUACACAAAAUGUGUCCCAAAUAUGUGUCCCUAUAACCUAAUUCUUUUGUAGUGUUCUGAAUAUAAAGGUUGAACUGCACUUUUGAUCAUCAAACUACAAGCACAUGAUAUUUUGGUUUUCCAACUCUAAUUUGUUAAAAUUUUUUACUUCAACUUUUUGAGUGUUACAUUUUAGUACCCUGUGCUUUAUUUUAACUUUUUCACUGAUUUAAUAAAAAAAAUUAAUAUAGAGAAUAAAAAAUAAGAGAAAAAAAAAAUACAAGAUACUAAAGUGAUAUAUUUUAAACUACAGGAUACUAAAGUAAGAAAAUGCAGAACCAUAGGAGUGGUAUUUAAAGUUUUUUUUUUAAAAAAAAAUAUGCUACCCGUUUCGUUUAUUUUUUUUAAAAUAAACUUAGUUAAAAGUAUAAAACAAGUAGAUUUCAAACUUGAGGUCUCGAAUACCAAUUAUUAAGCCAUUUGCCACCUGCACUAGAGAUGAUCGGUGAUGAGCGUAAAACUUAAACUCCGCUUUUGAGUGUACAGCUAGUAUUUCUUAUUUUAUAAUAUAUAUGUUAAUGAAAUAAUAUGUUAUGUAAGCAAUAAGUCGAACGGAAGCAAUUAACACCCAUGCGCGUUGCAGUAGUCCCGAAGUGCGGCGGCGUUCGGCGGACAAAAGGCGUUGGUGCACUUGGAAUUCUUUAUUCUAACUUAUUCAAACCUUUAAUAAGUGUUGUCUCAUGUUGGAUACAAAAUUAGAACUCUUGUUUGUAUAUAUAUACUGGAUGCAUGUGUGGCUUAGUCCACUUCAGCUUAAGACUUUUGAUUAUUAGCUCUAUAUGCUAAACUAUGGUACCAGAGUUUGAUUCACGUGUUCUCAAAUUUAAAUGCUGUUUUAAAUUCAACUUUCACAUAGUUUUUUUAAGAAUGACAUGUUGAGAAAUAUCAAGAAUAUUAGUUAAUUAGACCAACCUAUUGCAUGAGUAAUAGAAUUCUAGUCUAUAUAUAUACAGUGUGUGCGGAUCGAGUUACUUCACCUAUCAGCUUAAGUUUUUGUGUUGGAUCACUACACCUGAGUCUAUACGUAAUGUUUUUUAGUUAACUCCUCUGAAAAGCCCUAAACAGUUGCCGAAUAAGUUGUUUAUCCAAAAUUGCACUUUGGUAAACUGGCUUUGGAAAGCGAGUAGAUUCAAAGGGGGGCCAGAUUUAGCUAUAAUUGCUACUUCAUGGUGGGCUAUUGAGUUGGAGCGGAGCAAAAGAAUUUUCUUUUUUUUUGAGAGAAAGGUAGCAUGCUACCCGCUUCGUUUAUUUCAUUUAGAAAUAAACUUAGCUGGAAAUGUGAAUCAAUUAGGAUUCGAACUUGGGUUUCGGGUACCAACCAUCAAGCCCUUUCGCCACUUGCGCCAGGGACGGCCGGUGAGCACCACGAGACUAGUGUUAGCAGAUAAUUACUCGCUUCUUAGCCUUUGAGAUUUUUACCGCAUCUUUUUUUUUUUUUUUUAAUGCAGCGAGGCCUAGUUGGCUCACUUUAUAGCAUAGUUAAUUUAUUAUCUAAAUAAACGAAGCCAUAGCAAGCUACCUAUUUUUCAAAAAAUAAAAAUAAAAGUAACCAUAAAACAAGCAAAAACAAGCUCCAAAUUAUUCAAAGAAAAGAAUACUCAUCUCCUAGAUCUAUAUACAAACAUUAAUACUUUGUUCCCUGGAAACCCUGCACCCCCUUCUCUUCAUGUCUCCUCCUCACACUCCUCCCCUACUCCAAUAUAUAUAUAUAUAUAUAUAUAAGUUCCUGCGGCGGAAGUGCGCGGCCGACUGCGUGUUCGCGCCGUACUUCUCGUCGGAGCACGGGGCGGCGCGGUUCGCGGCCAUCCACAAGGUGUUCGGCGCGAGCAACGUGUCGAAGCUGCUCCUCCGCGUACCGCCACCCGACCGCUGCGAGGCGGUCGUCACCGUCGCCUACGAGGCCCAGGCGCGGCUCCGAGAUCCCGUGUACGGCUGUGUCUCGCAAAUCUUCGCCCUACAGCAGCAGGUAUAUAUCUGCAUAUUAACUUGUCGGCAAUCGAGAAACUUAAGUUAUCAAAGAACAGUAUUAUUUUAAUAUUUUUAUGUUCAAUAGAGAGCUUAAACCUAUGCUUGUUGCUUUCUCCGAUUCAGUAUAAAUGAUUAAAACACUAAUUUAUCAUCCUAUUGGAUGUAGCUAGUUUUGUUGAAUAAAUGAAUUAUGUUAUCAUAGUGGAUUUUUUUUUUUUUUAUUUGCCAGAUUCUCUAUUGAAGAUGAUUGUUACUAAAAGUUACAUAAAAAGCUGGACCUAAUCUUUAUUGGCACAUUACCAGAAAAUUAAUAUUUAAAAAUAUUUUUUUAUAUAUUUAAUGAUGUUUAAAAGUGUUUCAAUAUAGUUUAGCAUCAUAUUUGAAAGUGUUGACGAAUAAAGAGUCGCUACGUAUAUACACUACAACAAAAUUAGGUUAUAGGGACACUUUUUUGGGACACUUUAGUGUAAGUGUUCCAAAUAUAUUCAAAAAUUUUUAAAAUUAGAAAAGAAUUUUACAAAGCCCAAAUAAAAACCUCAAUUACAAAAAAAAAAAGGGAAAAAAAAGGGUCUUAUUCGUAUCCCUCUUCUCCCCUCACCAAACCCGUCGAAACCCUAAACCUCACCCUAACCCUAACACGAACCAAACCUGAUGCUACUCCACCGCACCUUCCCCCGCGUCGACCUCACACGAGCGCCCCCACCCUCAACCCCUUCUCUCCCUCACCUCCUCCUCUCCGAGCUCGAGCUCUCCCCCUCUCCUUCACCUCUACUCAUCCUCUCCUCCCUCAUCCUCCACGUUCUCUCCAAGCUCCGAACCCAUCCCCAAAUCGCCUUCGUUAUCGCCCCUGACCUUCUCGGCCCCGCGAGGAGGAUCCUCGACCCGGCGAUCCGAUCCGUGCCCUCGGCAGUGCGGCUUCUCGAUUCGGUGCUUCGAACCAUUGGUAAGGUGGUCUCCUCUCUUCUGUUCCCACUUGUUCUUCCUCUCUGUGCCCAACAAUCAGGUAUGGGCUCUCUCUGUCUCUGUCUCUCUGUGUAACUUCAUCUCUGUAAUUAGAUGGGUAGGUGUGUAAUUUCCCAUGUUUGGGAUUUGGGUUUUCUGUGUGAUCCAUGUUUGUUGCCUCUGAUGUGUGGAUUUGAUGUUUUUUUUUGGGUUUAAUUUUGGUGGGUUUUUUUGGAUUUUAGUAGUUUGUAAUUGCUGUUACCUCUUAAUUUGGUGUAAAAAUUGGAACGUUGGUGAGUUUUUUUCCUUUUUUUUUUCACCUUUUAGAUCCUUGAUGUCUCUGUGGGGCUAUAUUCUCAGAGGGAGUUUAAAAAUAAGGCUCUUCUUUAAAGAGAGAGAGAGAGAGAAGAGGGGGGGUGCAGGGCCUAAUUGUGGAUUUAGGUUUUUUCAAGUUGGGUUUUUGCUGAUCAUGUGAACUGAGUUUAUGCAGGAUUUUGAGCUGAUUAUUGGAUUUAAAUGUUAAUUUUGUUUUGAACUCACUCAUUUGGAUCAACAAAACUCAGUGUUUUUGUUUAAAAAUGAAGGAAUCCUUUCAAUUUAUUGGGUUUGUAGUAAACUUAAUUAGUCAGCUAUAAAUGAUUCAGUGGAUUCUAUGGAUUCUUUACACAGCAUGUUGGUGAAGAAAUGUAGAUUCUGUUCCAAAUAUGCCCAAGUCAGAAAUUCAGAAAUUGGAUCUUUCUCAUGUUGAUUCAAUCUCCUCGAUCCGCAUCCUCCAAUCGGAGGCGAUGAAGAAGAAGAAGAAGAAGACGAAGAAGAAGAAGAUGAUGAUGAUAAUGACGACGGUUGGUGGGAUGAGGUGGAUUAGGUAUUGCUCGCUCCUUGAUCGCCAUGCGGUUCUUUUUCUUUUUUAGGAAUUUUUCUUCUUUGGCGGGAUAGAGUGUAUUUUUAUUUUCUGCUGUAUUUUUUACCGCUCUGUUGUGAAAAAUCUUCCUAUCUGUAGUUCUGCCUAUAAUUGUAAUCAAGUCAAUGAAAUUUGGCUAUGUAGGGAUGAAUCUCCUAUUAUGUACUUGAUUUCAUGCUAAUAGAACAAAGCAUGUAAAUUUAAUGAUUUACGUUGUAGGAUUCGGGUAAAGCUUUUAUAUGAUGAUGCCAUCUAACUACUUUGCUCUUCUGGUUCUGUUAGUUUCUAUUGCUCAGCGCUGUUUCCGUUCCCACUGAUGUACCUCGCCUGAAAAGUGGCUUGAAGUUAGAAGGGAGCUACAAGUAUAACUGUGGCAAGUAAGCAAUUUGCUUCAUUUUUUCUUCCUUACAGAUAUUGUUAAAACUGCACGGUGCAAUAAUCUGUAGGCCAUUUUAAAAUAGAUCUUUGAACUAUUUCAAUUUGCCAAAUUAUGACCCAAAUCAACUAUAGGUUGUUUCGACAUACACCUGCAACUCUAAUUUAUAUUUGACUCAAUUUUAUCCUAUGAAACUCUCCUGUUAUUUAAUUCUACCCUUUUUAGCUAAUGGAAAUGUUGAGAGGCCAUGGCCAGUUUGAGGCACUAAUAUAUGCCCUCUAAUAUGUUUGCAUGUUACCUGUAAUUGAAACAAUAUGCAAUUAAAGGCCAUGCAUGCCAAUUAACUGACGCAUGCAUCCAUGGCCAUGCAUAUUAGUUCACAUGCAAUUAUGCAUGCAUAUUACCUCAAACAAUAUGCAUAUUACCUCUAAAUGCAUAUUAGUUCACAUGGCCAAUUAAUAGCAUGCUCCAUGCAUGCAUUAAUUGCAUGGCCUCAAUUAAAGUGCCUGCAAUUAAUUGCAUGCAUGCAUGACCUUUAAUUUACCAUGCAAUUAAUUGAGGCAUGCAUGCAAUUUACCAUGGCCGUAAUUAAAUCUACCAUGCAUGCAUGCCCUCGGCUUCUUGGAGGAACUAUCAACUAUUUUACUAGCCAUGAUCAUCCUCCAUAGGUUAAAAAGAGAGAACAGAGAUCUUUAUUUAAUCAUGAUUGUAUGCAUUCCAUAUAUUGGUAUGCUUUGUCCUGUAUGAUCUUCAGUCACAGAUAUCAUCUGGAGAUCUGCUGAAAGUGUAGAAACCAUCACGUUUAGAGAAUAAUGAAUGGGGACUCUCGUGACAAUUUUAAUCUACGUCAGGUAAAUUGCAUGUGGUAGUUAAUUACUUGAGGUAAUUAAUUAGAUUUAAUUUAAUCUAAUUAGAACUUCAUGUAAGAGCUUAUUAAUUAGGCCAUGCAUGCAAGUGCAGGUAAAUCUCUAUGGCGAGUAUAUAAAGGUCUUGCCCUCCUCUUCUUCGAUAUCGACUGCCCUGCUUCUCCCCUGCCCGGGUGCGUCUAGUCCCCCCCCCACCCCCACUGUCUCUGUUCGCUUCUUCCUUCCUUUUUUAUUUUUUUACCCCUUUCUAACCCACCUGCCUCGCUUUUUUUGUUUUCCCUUUUUUUUUUUUUUUUUUUCUUGCUUUGGAUGAGGAACAAAAAUAGAAAAAAGGAUUUGUGUAGCAUUUCGGUACCGAGCAAGGCUGCGUUGCUGUGCCAGAGGAAGGAUAGCUAAAGUGAUUCGGUAUACCCGAAAUACACCUUUGGUACAAAAUUGACGAUCUCACAAAGAUGCAAUAUCAGUAGUUUUCUAUUUACUGAUCCCAUCUUUCACGGAAUCGAUUCCCCUUUUUGAAUGUACAAAAAUUUGUGGAGCUCAGCAUGUCUGGAAGCACGGGAGAACGUUCUUUUGCUGAUAUUAUUACCAGUAUUCGAUACUGGGUUAUUCAUAGCAUUACUAUACCUUCCCUAUUCAUUGCGGGUUGGUUAUUCGUCAGUACGGGUUUAGCUUACGACGUGUUUGGAAGUCCUCGGCCAAAUGAGUAUUUCACGGAAAGCCGACAGGGGAUUCCAUUGAUAACCGGCCGUUUUGAUUCUUUGGAACAACUCGAUGAAUUUAGUAGAUCCUUUUAGGAGGCCCUCAAUGACCAUAGAUCGAACCUAUCCAAUUUUUACAGUGCGCUGGUUGGCUGUUCACGGANAGAUAGAGUUUCGGCGGUUGCUAAAUGCUUAAAUAAGUGUUGGUAAAUUAGCAGCACUCUUUUAGGUUAUAGCGACACUCUUUAACUGUCACUAUAUACCUAGCGACUCCACAUAUAGCAACACUUUUUAAAAGUGUCGGUAAUUUUAGCUAGCAGUACUUUUUUGACAUGUACUUAUAUUUAAAAAUGUUGCUAUAAAUCGUUUUUGUUGUAGUGAUGUCGCAUAAAAUAUAUUUUGUUGUAAUGCUAAAUAUAUCUUUUAUGAAUAAUGCUACGCUCGGUUUCAGCUUGGAAGUAGAAUUUUGACUAUAAAGUGAUUUAGUUCCUUUCGGUGAAGUGUUUUCAUUUUCAUAGAAGUACUUAUCUAUUAAUAUUUUUUUAUAAUAAACUAAAGUAGGUGAAGAACCACAAAGGCCUCCUAGAUGAGGAGACAUGCUAUUAUUAUUAUUAGGGACAAUUGAGAAUAAUGCUCUUAUAAUUAAAGUUACAAAAUUAUUUUUUGUAUUUUUAUUUUUACAAAACUUUGAAAUUUUAUCUGUGUUCAUGUAAGCUACAAAUGUACUAGGGACAAACUGAAAUUACAUACCUAUAAAGUUAGAAUAUUGUAUAUUUAUUAUGAGCUAGAAUAUUUCUGCGACUUUAAAGUACGGAAGCUUUCUUGCUUUAUAAGUUGUCUUUGAUAAUGGGAUAUCCGAUUUGGCGAUCGAUUUUGUUAGAUAUAAUAUACAGUAAAUAUUGAAACUAUUUAUAAAUAAAAUUUUAUAAUUUUUUGACUUCUUUCACCUCGUAAAUAAGUAGCCUUAAAAUGAAUGGCAUAAAAUAAAAUUUUAUAAAAAACAAUAUUAAAAAACUUAAAUUUCAAAUUAAAAGUACCGAUCUAAUUUUUGAUGUUAAAUAGAAUUUUUUUAUUAAAAUUUUAUGUAAUUUGGAUUGGUUUACACCGUUGAACUUUCAAGCUGCUGCAUCGGCCGUUAAAAUAGUCAUUUUGAGACCCUUUGGUCACUUAGUGAAUGAUGUUGAAAAUUAUAAAAUUUGGUUUUUAAAAAUUCUAAUAGCGUAGAUUAUGCCUAAGAAAGCAGACCGUCGAAUCAGAUAUCCUAUCAUCGAAAAUAACUUACAAGCACGAAAACUUUCGUACUUUCCACAGCAUAUGAGAUUUAUUACUAGGCACUUUGAAAUAUUUAUAUAUAUAUAGAGAGAGAGAGUCCAGCUACUAUACUCUUAUCAGUAUGAUAGCCUUCGUAUUCAUAAGUUGUUUUCAAUGAUAGAGAUUCCGAAUCGACGAUCCAUACAGUUAAACAUUAUCUAGAGCAUUUAAAACUUCUACAAAUCAAAUUUUAUAAUUUUUUGAUAUCAUUUACCUUACGAUCAAAAGCUCACAAAAUUGACAAUUUUUAACGGCCGAUAUGAUAUAUUUGCUAGUUUAACGGUGAAAAAGAAUCGGAAUAGGUUGAAUUUUUGAUAGAAAAUUCUAUUCAUUACCUAAAUAAAGAUCAAUAACUUCGAUCAUAAAUUGAAGGAUCCGAUCAUCAAUUUUUAAUAUGUCAUUCGAUUUUAACCGUUCAUUUUAUACCUGCUUGAUGGACUUUAUAAUGAUUUUGAAGAAUUACAAAAUUUAUUUUCUAAAGUUUCAAAUGCUCUAGAUCAUUUUUAACGGUGUGGAUCGUCGAUUCGAAAAGUCCAACAUCGAAAACAACUUAUGAGUACAAAGGGCUAUAUAUAUAUAUAUAUAUAUAUAUAGUAUAUGAUACAUACGUGACGGCUAGCUAUGGCUAUCGAAGCACGUAGCCUUCCGUGCUUCCAGCUCAUUUUCCGAUGUUCGCGAGCUUUCGAAUUGUCGAUACGGCUCCGUUAAACUUAUCUAGCGUAUUGAAGUACCUAGAAAUAAUAAAUCUUAUGAAUUUUACGAUACUCCAUGUUACUAGUGAACGAAGGGCUUAAAAUAUCAACGCUGAAAAUAAAAUCUUACAAACUGUGAUAAUAUACAUUAAAAAUUUUACAACACCAUAUUGAUCUUGUUUUAGUAUAGUAUAAAUAAUUUCUAUCAAAAUUGCACGUGAUUGAUAUUUCUAAUCACGCGUUAACAUGCAAACACGACCAACUACGACCAUUGAAAUGUGUUGAUUUUGGAGCCAUUCAUCAUCUAGCAAAUAUAUCGUAAAAUAAAGAAAUUCUAUUUUCUACGUACUUCAAAUAUCUCAGAGAUCAAGUUUAGACGAAGCCGGAUCGAUGAUUCGAAAGUCGCAACAUCAAAAAACGUACUGGAAGCACGGAAGGCUCCGUGCUUCCGAUAGCAUAGUAGCACUCACUCUAUAUAUAUAUAUAUAUAUAUAUAUCUAGGCUGGAAUAUUAUUAAUAGUACCAAUGACUUGGUGUUAUUAAGUUUUCUGCCCUUGGAUUAAAAGAUGUGUGGUUAGAAUGAUGUGGGCCCCCUAGGUUUGAGUGGGUGGUUAGUUGAAUAGUAUAAUCGAACGGAUGAAAAUGAUAAAAGAGAUAAAUCUAACAGCAGAAAACUUGAUAGCACCAAAUGCUUCGUGUUAAUGAUAGUAUCUCAGUCGGACCAUAUAUAUAUAUAUAUAUAUAUCCGGCUGCUAUGCUAUUGAUAACACCAAGCACUUGGUGCUAUCAAGUUUUCUGCCGUUAGAUUAACCCUUUUGAUUAUUUUUAUCCGUUAGAUUAUGCUAUUCAACCAACCACGCACUCAACCCUAGAGAGCCCACAUCAUUCUAACCGCACAUUUCUCAAUCUAAUGGCUAAAAAAUUAAUAGCACCAAUAGCUUGGUCACCAAUAGCUUGGUGCUAUUGAUAGCAUUCCAGCCUAAUUAUAUAUAUAUGACUAUAGAUUGUAUAGAAUUAGGCUACUAUACUAUCUAUAGUACCGGAGCUCCGGUACUAUAGUCUUGUUUUCGAUCUUAGGGUAUUUAAAUUAAUGAUCCACACCGUUAAAUAUGAUCUAGGGUAUAUGAAGUUCUUAGGAAUAAAAUUUUAAUUUUUUUCGACAUCGUUUAAUUAGUAAAUAAAUUAUGUCAAAAUGGUCGGUGGAAAUUGAAUAAUCUUUAAAAUUUGAACAUAGGACUUUUAAAUUCAAGAUCUAGAUAGUUUAAAGUAUUUUCUUUCAAAAUUUGAAGAAAUUUAGAUUCUUCUACACCGUUAAACUCCAAACUCGUCAUAGUAGCCAUUGAAAAUUGAUAAUUUUGAAAUGGUUUGAUCAAAAAGUAAACUAUGUUGCAAAAAUAUAAAAUUUUAUUUCUAAAAACUUUAAAUACCCUAAAUCAGUUUUAACGGUGUCGAUUGUUGAUUUGAACACCCUAAAAUCGAAAACGAGACAAUAGUACCGGAGCCCUGGUACUAUAGAUAGUAUAGGAGACUAGCUAUAUAUAUAUAGAGAGAGAGAGAGAGAGAGAGAGAGAGAGAGAGGAAGAGAUGAGAGAGAGAGAGAGAGAGUGGGUGGUAUGUUUAUGGAAGCACGGAGCCCUCCGUGUUUCCAAGUUGUUUUCGAUGUUCGGACUUCCGAAUCGACGAUCGGCCUCCGUAAGUUGAUCUAGAGUAUUUGAAGUACCUAGAAAAUAAAUUUUGUGAUUUUUCAAUAUCAUUUGCCUAGUGAUCGAAGGGGCUCAAAAUCAAUAAUUUUAUGGCCGUGGUGAGCCGGUUGCAAGUUUAACGGUGUAGAAAUAUUCAAUCAUAUGAAAAUUUUGAUAGAAAAUUCUUUAUACCAUAUAAAACAGAUCAAUAACUUUGAUCUAAAAUUUUAAUGUCAUAUCAUCAUUUUUGUAAGAUUUUUAUUUUCAGCCGUUGAUUUUGAGCCACUUCGAUCACUAGGCAAAUUAAUGAUAUCGGAAAGUCGCAAAAUUUAUUUUCUAGGUCUUCAAAUACUCUAGAUCAAGUCUAACGGAGCCGAUCGUCGAUUCGAAAGUCCAAACAUCGAAAAUAAAGUGGAAGCACGGAGCCCUCCGUGCUUCCAUAAGCAUCCUAGCCGCACUCUCUCUCUCACUCUCUCUCUCUCUCUCUCUCUCUCUCUCUCUCUCUCGCUAUAUAUAUAUAUAUAUAUAUAUAUAUAUAUAGUCCAGCUACUUUACUUUUAUGAACAUUAACUUUUUUAUACUCAUAAGUUUUUUGGCCCUUAGAUUUAUUUCAUUAAUCAUUUCCACCCGUUAGAUCAUACUAUUCAACCAACUACCCACUCAACCCUAAAGGACCACUAUCAUUCUAAGUGGGGACCACCAUCAUCCUAACCACAUAUCCCAUCAAUCAACGGUUAAAAAUUUAUAAGUAUAAGUAGGUCUAAGAGUAUAUUAGUCCCAGCCUAUAUAUAUAUAUAUAUAUAUUUAUUUAUUUAAAGGCAAAUAUAUCUCCCGACUAGUUAAAAGCACCUUAUAUUAUAUAUUAAAAAGACUCUUUUGUUAACGACCAAAGAUAUUCUAUCCAAUUGGUCAGUAUUACUGAUGGGCAAAAUACUCAUAAUACUAAAAUAUGAUUAGUUUUGAUCUGUCCUGCAAUGUAUUUUUAGGUUUCAAAAGUUUAUUUGUAAAAAUAUAUAAAAUAUUUUUAAAGUUUAAGAGAAAUAAACAUGCAAUAUUCCUAUAUAGUUUUUAGGGAAAACUUCAAAAACCCCUCUGUGGUUUCACACUUUUUCAUUUUAGUACCUUGUGGUUUAAAGUGUAUCAAGUUAGUACCCUGUGGUUUCUCACUUUAUCACUUUAGUACCCUGUGGUUUAAAGUGUAUCAAAUUAGUACCCUGUGGUUUUGUACUUUAUCACUUUAGUAGCCUGUGGUUUCACACUUUAUCACUUUAGUACCCUAUAGUUUAAAAAACCACAGGGUACUAAUUUGAUACAAAAUCAAAACCACAGAGUACUAAAGUGAUAAAAUGCAAAACCACAGGGUACUAACUUGAUACACUUUAAACCACAGGGUACUAAAGUGAUAAAGUGAGAAACCACAAGGUACUAACUUGAUACAUUUUAAACCACAGGGUACUAAAGUGAAAAAAAUUAAAACCACAAGGGGGUUUUUUGAAGUUUUCCCUAGUUUUUAUUACUCAUUAGUUUAUCUAUAAAAGGGUUAGAUACACUUAACUCAAAGCACAAGAAAAUUCUCACGAAGCUCAAGGUCAUUUGCUGCAACUCUAAAAGAGCAAUGUCAACAGUAUUGACUUAUUUUAAUUUAUUUUAUUUUUCUUUUUAUAUAUGUACAACAGGUAUAAGCAAGAACUAGCUAUUACAGGGAUAGGUACAAGUAUGGGGAUAAGAAAAAUAGCGUUUGGAUGAAAAUUGGGUUGUUCCCGAGGAUAAGAAAAAUAUUAGGAAGUUUUAUAUAGAAAAUGGAGGUGUUGGUGGGUAUAAGCGAGAACUACUAUUCUCGGAUAAAAAAUUAGCGUUUGGGUAUAAAGGGGGGAUAAGGGCAUAUCCCUAUCCCUAUUCCCAAACCAAACAGUGCCUUAAUAUUUAGUAAGAGUUAUAAUAGUAGGUUGUGAACAACAAACAUAUAUAGUGGUUUGUCACCUCUAUAGAUAUCUAGUGACAUUAUUUGAUACAUUCCGAACAAUUUAAGUUGUCAUUUGUGACACUUCAAAAUUUAAAAUAACUAUAUAUGUAUAAAAUAUAAUAGGGCUAAAUUUUUUAUAUAUCUCGACUUUUUUUUUUGAGAGAGAUAGAUAGCAUGCUACUCGUUUCGUUUAUUUCAUUUAUAAAUAGGCUUAGCUGAGAAUGUGAUCAACUAGGAUUCGAACUUAGGAUCUCGGAUACCAACCGCCAAGCCCUUUGCCACUUGCGCUAGAAACAGUCGAUCUCUUAUUCUGACUAUAAUAUGUAAAAAAGUGUAGUUCUAAAAUAAAUAUACUGACACACACUCUGGAAAGCAAGAUGUCACUUAAUGAUGCUACGCCACAGCACAUGCCCUAAUAUUUGCGCGAAACGAGACAAAUAAGUCUCAUAGUUUAGAGUAUUUGAUAUAUAUCAACCUGCUAUUCUAAGUAGUUGUGAUAUAUACAAAAAAAAGUGUUUAUAAUUAAUGAACUGGCAUUUUGUCUUAUGUUAUUUAAUUAUGUUGUUAUAAUUUUCCUAAAAUUUUUGUCACCUUUCUAAUUUGCUGAACUCGUCCCCUCUGUCGCCUUAUUCGAACAGAAUGCCGCUUAUUCUCUUGUCUUCGCCUCAGCCCACAAUUACCGUCCGCAUAAUUAAUUUAGGAAAAAUUUCCAAUACCACCCCUAUAAUUUCGUAUUUUUUUAAUUUUACUACUUUACUGUUUAAAGUGUAUCAAUUUAGUACCCUGUUAUUUUAUUUUUCUCUUUUUAUUAUUUCCUCCACUAUUUUUUUUCGUUAAAUCAAUGACAAAGUUAAAAUUAAAAGAUACAAAAGUGAAUAUUUGAUAAACUUAGGUAGAAUAUCUGAAGUUUUUUGUAUAUAAUUUAAGAAAUGUUAAUGGAGGAGCUGAAAAAAAAAAAAAUCAUAGGGUACUAAAUUGAUACACCUUAAAUAACAAGGUAUUAAAGUGAGAAAGUGCCAAAUCGUAGCGGAAGAGCUGACAAAGAGAGAAAAAUAAAACUAUAGGGUACCAAAUUGAUAUACUUUAAACCACAUGGUAUUAAAGUGAGAAACUGCAAAACCACAGAGGCGGCAUUUAAAAGUUUAUCCAUUAAUUUAUAAGAUAAAGGACGAAGUUGCAAAUUAAAUAAAACAAAGGCCUUUUUGCAUAAUAAGUUCAUUUAUUUUGUGCUUUUGCAAAUCUUACCAAUUCUUUUUUUUUGAAUCUUACUGAUUCGGUCCCUUUUUUUAAGAAAUAGGACUAAAUUGACUCUCUUCCGACAUAUAAGAUAAAAUAUAUAUUAAAUUUUUUGAAAAGUAUAAUAAAUAAAUUAUAAUUAUAAAUGUAUUUUUUUCCGGAGCAACGAGAACUCCAUCUAAUACAAACAUAGAAAGCUAAAUACAGUAAGUAAAAAAAAGGUGUAUAAUAUAUUCUUCUAAAUAGUAUAAUAUAUUUUAUUAUUUUUAUAAAUAUUACACAAUUUUUAUAAUAUAUUAUAAUAUAUUAUACGAUUUGCAGAUAAUAUUAUAACAUUAUUCGUAACAUAUUAUAUAGAUUGUACAGUAUAAUUUGACACUUUAUUUUAA